CGCACAUUGAAACACUCUGAGUCUGCCUGUCUCCCCCCCCCUCUCUCUCUCUAUAUAUAUAUAUGUAUAUAUGUGCAUAUAUUAUGUGUGUGUGUGUGUGUUUACGUAUGUAACUCGUGUGUCGGCAACGGUGUGUCCUGAACGUUCUGAAAAUCCGUUUAAUGCUGUCGCUUCUACUUUGUUUAUGGUGGAGCCAGUGAUGUGCGAAUGUACAUUUCUUUCUGUUAAAGGUUUGUACUCGUGAUGUUUGCUCACGUUUCACAUAUUUUCCUUCUCUUUCCUCUUCAUUAACACAUAAUACAAACUUCCUUCUUUCAUUAUUUUAUUUCUCGCACGCUCCCUCUAUUCUGUAUUUGAAAAAAAAAAAAAAUAAUAAUGGGCAAGCGUUAUUCAUAAAUGAAUUUAUAAAGAAACAUUGCCGAAAAUAUCUUUACAUUUAACAAGUACCAUAACGGAUAAAUCUGUGAUUAUGUUUUUCUCCUGUUGAAUUUGCAUGCUUAAAUUGCUAGCCUACGAAAUAGCACCACAUAAUCAAACGAUGACAACUCCCUCCUAUGAAGAACCUGACAACUAGGGAGUCGAUAGAAAACGUACACUUAAGACUAACAUAUUCCGGCAAUGCAUCUACGAUGCGAAGGGAGUUUAUGAUAAAUAAACAUUUUCUUUAUAUUUAUUUCUUAUGUGAAUUAUAUUUUUUAUAGUUGUGCUGCCUUGUGAAAAUAGAACAAACAAACAUGCCAGUAUUGUCAAAAUUCUAUGAAAGUGUAGAGGUACCAAGGUCUCUCAGUCGCUCUUUCUCUCCCACUCGCUCAGCCCGUUUCUCUCUUUCUCACUCGCUCUGUCUCUCUCCCUAUCUAUCUAUCUAUCUAUCUAUAUAACGAGCUACAUCACCCCCAAUACUUCUAACACACACACACACACACACACACACAUAUAUACUUAUAUAUACACAUACACCCCUACAUAUACACGUGUAUAUAUGUAAAUGUAAUAUAUGUAUAAACACACUCGUGUGCAUGUGUGGGUGCACGCGUGUGUACUCGCACACACGUAUGUACACAUUUAAUAUGCAGUUAUGGGUAACUUCCACGUUAGCUUUCGUUAACUUGUGCCCAGGUGGGGGAAGAUUCCUGAUUAAUACCAAGAAUUUCCUAACCACAUAUGUUUCCAUAUUUCUACGAGAUGUGGUGGAUUGAACAAGCUGAUGUAAGGUUUACGAAUAAAAAAAAAGGCAUUUCGACUCCUGAAUGCGAUUACUUGACAUAACUUAUUUUAUGUAUUUCAUCUUUUUUUGUUUCAAAAUUGAAAAAUCCAUCACUUUCUUCCUAUUUUCCACUCUAAGGGUUUUUCUAUUGAAAAUAUAUGGAUCAAAAGAUCCUAAAUAUUUACGUAACACAUAUGAAAUAAAGGAACUGAUUCCCGUGUGAGUAUUUUGCUUAUUCUAAGUUAGUCACUGAUUGUUGAUAUGGUACAACAUAAUAUACAGGACAAUAGUGGUGAUGGCGAAAGUCAUGAGAUAAAAUCGUCGGCUGCACGUGAGUUCAAAUCACGCUGAUGAGAGAGAGAGAGAGAGAGAGGGGUAAAAGUGACUGAUCAAAUUUUUAGUUUUAGUUUGUAGCCAUCUCAGCCAAGCCGGUACUUGAGUACUCCCUUCAGGUGAAUAUGAUAAAAAUAUAAUGUGAAAAACAAUCUCGUAAAGAUACACAGAAAACCAUAUUUCCUCUUUUAUAUCUGAUGUCUAAGAAAUAAUAAUUAAUUUUAUUAUGGGGUCAAUAAAAUGAGUACCAUUUGAGCACUGGAGUAGAUGUGGUCGAUUAACCCCAUUUCCUAACAAAUUGCUGGCUUUGUGCCCAGUAGAUCGACGGGAUCUGUCAAGCAUGGGAUGAGAUUUUGUAAUGUCUAUCUCUUCUUAAUGGGGAAGAAAAUGAGCACGGCACAGAAUCGAGCCUUUUAUCUAUUUAUUUUCAUGUUUUAUACAUUUAUUUACGUUUUUAGUAUUCAUUCGCUAGGAAUUCCAAUUCCAAUUGAAUUUUGUUUUGUUUUUUUCACAAACAUAUUUCAAUUUUCAUUCCCCCACUCCGUGUUUCCUUCAUUUUCACUAUGAGGUAUAGCUAGCUCUGUCAAAUCUCCGCUAAGUAUCGGUCAAAAGACCUUGUAAUAUUUUAAGGUCAAGCUGGUGGUUUGGCAGAAACGUCAGUGUCGGGAAAAGUGCUUUGUACUAUUUGUACCGGCUCUUCACGUUCUAAGUUAAAGCCCAGUAGCAGUCAACUUUUCCAAUCAUCCCUUCGGCGUCGAUAAAUAAAUAUAUCAAUUACUAAAUUCAAUGAUAUCGACUUAACUCCGUACACUCAGAGAUCAAUUCUGAGUUAAGGUCUUUACGUUUUGGGGUUUUACAUCCGCCAAGUUCAACUUUUACCUUUUACAAUACCAGGAUCGAUAAAAUAACGCACCAGAAAGUUUAUUGAGAUCAAUAUAAUCGAUUAUAUUCUUCUCCAAAAUAUUUGGCAUUGAGUCAUUGCGAAUAUUUAUUCACUUUUAGAGUUCAAAUCCCGCCCAAGUCAACUUUGUUUUUCAUCCUUUUGUGCUUGUUAAAACAAGUCUUUGUUAAAUUAUUGGUGUAUGCAACCCACUUCACAUUCCAAUUUGUCACACCAUGACUACAUUAAAAGUCAUUGUUAGAUCAGAAACCAUUAUUUUUCUUCUAGAAAGUGGCAUUUAAAAAAUAUUUUGUACCUGUCGUCCCGGCUGGUGUCCAUUUGCAGUUUGAUACAAGGGAAUCACUAUCUAGUCAAAAAGCAUACUAAAAGUAACGAUCAAGUUUCUAUAAAAUUACAUCCCACUUUCAAAGAAAAACCAAACAAACGAGACGUUAAAAUAAUGUAGUUCUAGGCUUACGACGUCUGAACAUAUAAACGCACGAAAACGAAGGAUGAUCAAGCUUGGUUUGGAAUUCCUUAAAUCAUAGGCUGAUCUGAACAAUAGUAACUAAAAGUAAUUCUCUCUCCCCCUCUCUCUUUCAAGGUGGGUGUCUGUACCUUUCGUAUCCGAACGUUUCCAUGGUAAUAGUUGACAUCAAAGGCGGCGUGCUGGCAGACUCGUUAGCAAGCCGGGCGAAAUGCUUAGCGGUAUUUCGUCUGCCGCUACGUUCUGAGUUCAAAUUCCGCCGAGGUCGACUUUGCCUUUCAUCCUUUCGGGGUCGAUUAAAUAAGUACCAGUUACGCACUGAGGUCGAUGUAAUCGACUUGAACCGUGUGUCUGUCCUUGUUUGUCCUCUGUGUUUGGUCCCUUGUGGGUAGUAAAGAAAUAGGUAAUAGUUGACAUGAUGUAAAUAGGGUACCAAUGAGAUUUUCUUCAGCUUUUGUCCUUUCAAAAGUUAAAAUCAGAUGAAACAGAAAAUUAUCCUUGAAAACAUUCUUUAAAUCAGCAGAUUAAAAAAAGAAGAGAGUUAACGAACGUGUGAUUCAGGAAAGGAGUCACAAAAGUUUUCAUUUCUCCUCCCAUCAUCUUCAUUUUCGUGUAUCAUUUGCAGUUGGUAUGCUUCUCUAUAUAAUCUAAUCUUACCUUACUUUAACCAUCUAAUCUCCUCAAUGAAGGAGCUUCAACAUUGUUUGAUCUACUAGAAGUAGGAGCCCAAACUUCCUUAAAGCACAAUGUCAGUUCUUUAUGAAGAGAUGACAUUUGGAUAAGGUUGUCCUGAAUUAUAUGUUUGAAAAAAGAGAAGAAAGACAAAUGAGUCAUAUUUGGAACGUCUUUCCAAAGUCUGCACUAUCGGGACCGAUAUUAUGGUUAAACAGCCUCUAUAUUAAUGAAUCUUUGAAAGUAGUGUACAAGAUGUUAGUAUCAAUUAGUCAUUUUUUAAAUAUAUACUGACCAUUUAUUGAUUAUUUUUUUUGUUAAUUCCACUUCCAUAGAUUCCUUUCAAGAAUUCCUUUCGAGAAUUUAAUUAGUUUUUUUUUAAGUACAUUCACACAUUCUGUGGUGUGUUUGCACGUGUAUUUACACUUAUCAGUAUACAUACUCCACAUACGUCUACUUACAUCCAUGCGUUUACAUACAUAUAUGCAUGCAUACAUACAUAUAUACAUACGUAUAUGCAAUACAUACAAAGACACGCACACAUACAUACUGUUAGAUAGCUAUUCACUCUUUGACGCUCAAAUCCUUAUUGAGUUAUGGUGUGUUUUAGGCAUUUUAAACCUAGCAUGGCCCGAUCCUUCAAACUCUAGGAUCGGCCAUGAUUUCUUCCGAUUAGAAUGAAAAUAAGUCGCCCCUUGUACUGGUACUUUAUUUAUCGGUCCCGCACAGAAAUUCACACAUUCAUUCACUCAAGAUAAGAGGGGCAUUGCUUAUGACCUUUGUAACUCGCGCCGCGCCAAAAAAUGGAAAAAAGCAGACGAUAGUAAUAUUAUUGAUGUUCAGCUGGAACAUUCGAAGCUAGGUGUGUGGCGGUUGGAAAUUUCCAGAGGUUUUUUUUAAAAUUUUUAUUUUAGAAAGGAAGAAUUGGAUAAAUCACAUCAGUGUAUGAAAUGAAUUCGUACACGAUUUAAUUCAUCACCCUGUUUAACACCCACGAUCUAGUCUUUGGGUGUCCUUGUUGGCUGGAGUCCACUCUUUUGCAAUAAUCUUCUGUGAGAGCAUUGUAGUAAUAGUGUUUCCUAUAUGACUCGUGGUUUCCUUUUUCCUGUCUUCCUCCUCUGUACCAAUCUCAAGUGUGGUUGCAAAGGUCAUGAAUGCUGCUUUGAGUAAACCAUACGCGCACACAUACAUACGGAUGCAUGUGUGCGUAUGUAUAUUCAUAUAUAUGUGUGUGUGUGUAUAUAUAUAUUUAUGUAUAUAUAUAUAUAUAUAUAUAUAUUUAUGUAUAUGCUUGUUCAUAUAUAUAUAUGUGUGAUAUAUAUAUAUUACUGGCGGUGCUGCAGCAUGGCCACAAUCAAAUGACUGAUGCAAGCAAAAGAAUGUGUGUAUAUGUAUGUAUAUAUAUAUAUAGGUUAGGUAUGUAUGUGUGUGUAUGUAUAUAUAUAUAUAUAGGUUAGGUAUGUAUGUGUAUAUAUAUGUGUAAAAUCAAAAUAAGCAACAUGAUAUCCAGAUGUAUGUAUAUGUAUAUAUAGGUGUAUGUAUAUAUAUAGGUAUGUGUGUAUAUAUAGGUGUAUGUAUAUAUAUAGGUAUGUGUGUAUAUAUACGUAUAUAUAUAUAUAUAUAUAUACACACGCACACGUAUUUACAUUAUGUAAAUAUAUAUAUAUAUAUAUAUAUAUAUAUAUAUACAUACAUACACACACACACACACACACACACACACACACACACACACACACACACACACCAUGUACACGUGAACCGGCAUGUUUAAGUUACUGACUAGAUGCUUCUUCAGUCAUGUGGACGGGUAUCCCAUUUUCUGUUUAAGCAGGUGAAUCUGUUGUGUGCAUGUGUAUCCGUAUUAAGCUUGUAUUCUCAUACAAACAACACCUACUUGUCUGUAUGUCAACUUUUCCUAGUUUAUCAUCUUUCGUCCGUUAUAUCUCCAUCAGCCCCCGCAGUUUUACCCCGCAGCGACACUAAUAAUUUUUCUCUGUAUUCCCCUACUUACUCCCCUAAUAUUACUAUACCUACCUACCUCUUGUACCAUCAUCAUACUAUUCUCGUACAAAAUAUCUGAUGAUGUCAUCGGUUUUCUACUCCUCCUCAUCAUCACCCUUCUCUCUCUCUCUCUCUCUCAUACUCUCGUACCCUCUCUCACUCUUUCAUACCCUCUCUGUCCUCUUUGUAGUGAAACGAAGGCGGACGUCUUAUAUGUUGCUGGUUGUGUGUCUAUGGAAACCUAACCAAUUCUUUUCUGACAUUCAUCUUUACUGUAUUUUUCUUGUUAGCCUGACACAUUCUCUGAUAAUAAUUACCUCUAUUUUCUUUCUUUCUCACCUUUUCACUUCUCUCUCUUCUUCACUUUAUUUUAUUUUUUUGUUUCCUUCUCUUUCCUCUAACCACUCUUUGCACUAUAUGUAUAAAUGAUGUUUCUCUCUUUCUUUCCUUCUCUUUACCAAUAUUCUUUCUUAAUUGGUUUUUUCUCGUUCACUUCUCCUUUUCCCUCUCUGCCCUCUGUAUUUCCUUCCUUCUUUUCUCCCCCCCCCACUUACUCCAAUUAAUCCUUUCUUUAAUCCCACUCCGGUCCAAUUGCAUCUCAUUUUAUACAUCCAUCUCGAAUUCUCCCUCUGUUUUUCUUUUAACGAAGGGGCUUCUAAAUUGUUGGUCAUUCUAGAAAUAACAACCUUAUUCUCUCAUAUAUAUCCUAUUGUCUUAACAAAAAUAGACAAGAUGGUCAUGUAAGGAAUAACAUUGAUCACGAGUUUAUUCAGAGCAAACCUGAUGCUAAACAACAAUUUGCUCCUGUCCUGUUUCUCCCACCCGUAGAUCUCUAUAUUAUCUGACAUUUUCUGAUUUCCUUUCCUCUUACCUUCCCGAUUCUCAUGCCUCACCACCCUUCAUUCAUUUCUAAAUACUCACCCACCACUAUAGAUUAGCUUUCUUAAGGAGCGUCUACGUCAAUGAUGGACAUAUUGCGGCCCGCUGGACUCAAUGAAUGACACGCCUGACGAAAAAUUCGAAUUUUUUUAGUCAUGUUGUUCGCCUGAUGAUGACCCACGUCUAAUGUCACUUCUCGUAAAAGAUUUUCCAUGUCUGAUCUGCGUGUUCACUCGCAGCUAGAAACAGUAGCUAAAUUUCCAAAUCGUGUUAAAAUAUGAAUGACACAUGUAGUUUUAGGUAUACUAUGUAUGAAAAUAGAGUGAUAUGAGCAUAAGUGGAACACCUUUGCUCAGGGGCAGACCUAAAAGGGGUGUCCCCUCAAGAAAAAAUUGCACCUUUCUAAAUAAUGUUAUUUUGCCCGUUUCUCCUGGAAUUGUAUUCCCUUUUAACCUUGUGCCCUUUCUUCGAAAAAUUCCUGGGACCACGCCAGUUUGCUCAUACACAGCUGUGUCUUUGACCAGGGCAGACUUGGAGGAUAAACAAGAGCAAUUAUUUUCUUUGUUCCAACUAACAAGUGAGCUUCAUCAUUGGUUGUUUGAGCUGCUAGAAAUAGCAGUAGAUGUUCAUCAUGUCACACACCCUACUGUCUUAAAAUGAAUUACAUUUUUAAUAUAGUCUAUACACUAUACUAAACAGGACUGUUAUAGCACUGUCUUCUGCUCUGUCCCCUUUGCUCAUUUUCGCUAGUUUAUUAUAUAAACCAGUUACUACAUUUCAUCCUUACUCUCUUUGAAUUCUAAUUUCUCAAAUUUCUUUGUAUCCUCUUUUCUUUCUGUCCAUCUCUCCUCUGUUUUUCUUUUCAACACACCUUGUAUUCCUUUUACUUUCUCUUCUUUCCUACUUUAGUCUUUAUGUGUAUUGUGGACUAGCUCUUCUAAAGUACCACCACCAUUAUCUUGAUCACAUUUAACCUAGGUAGGAAUUUCCAUGUGGUUGCUGAACCUGCUAGAAAUAGUAGCUAAAACUUGUUCAAAUCGCUGCGUACAGAAAGGAAUACAUCAAAUAGUGUAAUUUUAGAUAUAUAGAAAAAGAUGAAUUGGUCGCAGUUGGAAUGCCUUUGACGACAGAUAAGGCAUUUUGUCUGAUAUCUUACAAAUUCUUCCAAUCUACUCUCUCAUGUUCAACCUGCUAGAAACAACAGUUGAAUUUCCUUAAAAUCACUCCCUAGUAUCAAAAAUACAAAAAGAAAGAUAGGCAGGUUGGAUGUUAUGGUCCUGGAUAUUGAACCUCAGAAUAGAAUGUUCAUGGUUUGAACAUCUGUUAUCAUUUGUUUGCUUGAUCAGAGCUGAUCUGAGACUAAACAACAGCCUGAAAAUAUGCAGUGAAAAUUUCUUCCCGAUUUUUAGUUCAUAACUCCAAAGUGCAUCUGCUAUUCCAGUGCAUUUGAUGUACCAGUUAGUGUUGCCAGUGACAUGUAAAAGGCACCCACUACAACUCUUGGAGUGGUUGGCAUUAGGAAGAGCAUCCAACCAUAGAAGCCAAGCCAAACUCGACUGAAGUCUGGUACAGCUCUCUGGCUUACCAGUUCCAGUCAAACUAACCCAUGCCAACAUGGAAAACGGAUCCUAAAUGAUGAUGAUGAUGAUAUAUAUUUAUGGUUUACUUUUCUAUGCUUGCAUGGGUUGAUGGAAUUUGUUGCAGUGCAUUCUUUAUGGCCUAUUACAAACCCUCACCUGUUUCCAAGUAUGGUAAUAUUUCCCAUGACAACACGUGUUUUCCUAUGAGAUUGGAAACAAAAGACACUGUGUACAUGAUGGUGACACUCAUAACUAUCACAUGAUGUCAAGCCAAGGAGACAAAUGCACACAUACAUAUAUAUAUAUACAGCGAUGGGGAUGUUGGUCACCAUCUUUCUCUCUCACUUUCCCCCUUUCUUUCACACCUUUGUGUACCAACUGGGUAGCCAUGUAUCUCCUCUACAGCAAGAUACCUAUCUUUGUUCUAUUAUGCUUCUGAUCAACUGGCACAAAGCCACUUCUCUCAAUACUUCUCCCCCUCCUAGUCCAAAUGUCUGUCUUGCAAGUUACGUGGUGACCCUGACAGUGCUGGUGCCACAUAAAAAUCACCCUGUACACUCUGUAAAGUGGUUGGUAAUAAGAAGGGCAUCCAGCUGUAGAAACCAUGCCAAUGCAAACUAUACAGAGCUUUGUGUUGUCGUCUGGCUUGCCGACUCUUGUUGAAUCAUCCAACCCAUGCCAGCAUGGGAAAAUGGUCAUUACAUAUAUAUAUAUAUAUAUAUAUAUAUAUAUAUAUAUAUAUAUUAUUAUUUAAUAAACACAGUAUAUAUAUUUUCUAGGAGCUACCGAUAGUUUCAUGUGAUGAAAAUUACCCUGACACCAGAUGCUGUUGGAGUUGUUUUCCUUGCAUGAAACUAUUUGUAGCUCAUAAAGAAAUAGUUUGUUUAUUAAAUAAUAUUUAUCUCUCACCAAAUGGAGUACUUUUUUGUUGAUCUUACCACCAUGGAACAGUAUAUAUAUAUAUAUAUAUAUAUAUAUAUAUAUAUAUAUGAUAGACUUCUUUCACCUUCCAUCUACCAAAUCCACUCAAGGCCUUGGUUGACCUUGGGCUAUAGUAAAAGACACUUGCCUAAGGUGCCAUGCUGUGGUACCUAACCCAAAAGCAAGUUUCUUACCACAAAGCCACACCUAUCUGGGCGUGGGGGAGAAGCAACUCAUUAGCUGGAAUGCUUUUUUGAUCAUAGCUCUACUUGACCAGAAAGUGCAUAAAGAUCACUGCUAAAAUUAGUUUCUGUUGAUUGGAUAUUUGGCUUUGUUUUUAGGGAAAGAAAACAGUCUUCUUGUGUGCUAAUAUUGGAUUUUUUUCUUAACAAGCCAGCAAAGGAGUAUCUAUAUUUUUGUUUGUCCUGCUAGUAUAUAGCUGCCAAAUCUCAAAUCACACACUACUGUCUUAAAUAAGGAAAGUACACUUUUGAUAAUAUAGUCCUUGAUACAUCUAGAAGGUCACAACUGAAAUGCAUUUAAUCAUUGGUCUGCUCACUCAGAAUCGAUAAGGGACUAAGCAAUAAUAUUUAGCUCCCUCAUAUAUUGCCAUAGCAAUCUGUUGAGAUACUCAGUGCUUCAUAUAUUUUUCAUGCCUUAUCAAUUUAUGGAAGAUGGGAUGGUGUUAAAGAACUUUGUAGAUCAACAUGUAUUAGGCAACCAGAUAUUUUGGAAUUGUUUCAUCAGGAGUAUAGAAUCUAUGGUCCCAUUAUUUUUAUAUGCUCGCAAACUCAAAAUCAAAUUUAUCCAAUUUGUACUUCACUAUGAUUAUUUCUACCAAUACCAAUUCUCUGACCUGUAUUAUUCACUUAGUACUAUCUAGUUUAGCUUGAUGAUAGCUGCAUAAUCUUCUGUGAAGUUUCUAGAUAAUCUAUUGUGUAGUAGCUGGAUAAUCUGCUGUGUAGCAGCUGGAUAAUCUUCUGUGUGGUAGCUGGAUAAUCUUUUGUAUGACAGCUGGAUAAUCUUCUGUAUGAUAGCUGGAUAAUCUGCUGUAUGAUAGCUGGAUAAUCUGCUGUAUAGUAGCUGGAUAAUCUGUUGUAUAGUAGCUGGAUAAUCUGUGUAGUUGCUGAAUAAUCUGCUGUGUAGUUGCUGGAUAAUCUGCUGUGUAGUUGCUGGAUAAUCUGCUGUGUAGUUGCUGGAUAAUCUGCUGUGUAGUUGCUGGAUAAUCUGCCGAGUAGUUGCUGGAUAAUCUGCCGAGUAGUUGCUGGAUAAUCUGCCGAGUAGUAGCUGGAUAAUCUGCCGAGUAGUAGCUGGAUAAUCUGCCGAGUAGUAGCUGGAUAAUCUGCCGAGUAGUAGCUGGAUAAUCUGCCGAGUAGUAGCUGGAUAAUCUGCCGGGUAGUUGCUGGAUAAUCUGCCGGGUAGUUACUGGAUAAUCUGCCAAGUAGUUAUCGGAUAAUCUGCAGAGUAGUAGCUGAAUAAUUUGCUGUGUAGCAAUAGCAGCAUAAUGUGUUGUGUAGUAACUGCAUAACAGCUGUUUAAUCUGCAAUAUAAUAGCUGUACAUAGGCUACGUAAUCUACGCUAUAGUAAUCUGUAUAAUCUGUGGCAUAGUAUAAUAGAUAUAUAACAGCUGUUAAACCUGCUGUGAAGCAGCUGUAUAAUAACCAUAAUCUGCCGUAGAAUAUCUGAAUUAUUGAUGUAUAAUAACUGUAUAAUAGCUCUGCAGUACAAUAGCUUUAUAGUCUGCUGUAUAAUUCCUAUAUGAAAGUUCUAUAAUCUGCUGUAUAAUAACUGGAUGAAAGUUAUAUAAACUGCUCUAUAAUAGCUGUAUAGUCCGUUGCCUAAUAGCUGUAUUAUGAGCAGCUAGUGCAAAGAAUAAUGCCACCAGUGAAGCAGUACCUAGAAGAUAAUCUUCUUGCUGUUGUAUAACAUGGUAAAAAUAGCAGCCAAAUCUUCUAAUUAGAUCCCUCUAACAUCUUAAAGAAAGGAAGGGAUGAAAGAUAAUGUCUUAGAUAUACUAUGCUUUAAAAUUGUUAUAUUUUGAGCACCUUUUGAUCAUAAAUUUGUUGGAUAAAGUCUGACCGGGGCUAAACAAUAACAAUACAAAUGGGCUCUUGACAAGUGGCUUUCAACCAUUUUUUUGCUUAUCGGCCCCUUUGAUUCCUGUUUUACUCUACAGGAUAUACAUAGCCAUUUGCUGUAUAUAUCAUCAUCAUCAUUUAGCGUCCGUUUUCCAUGCUAGCAUGGGUUGGACGGUUCAACUGGGGUCUGUGAAGCCAGAAGGCUGCACCAGGCCCAGUCUGAUCUGGCAGUGUUUCUACGGCUGGAUGCCCUUCCUAACGCCAACCACUCCGCGAGUGUAGUGGGUGCUUUUUACGUGCCACCCGCACAGGUGCCAGACGGUGCUGGCAAACGGCCACGAACGGAUGGUGCUUUUAUGUGCCACCGGCACGGGGGCUAGACGAGGCUGGCAACGGACACGAACGGAUGGUGAUUUUAUGUGCCACCGGCACGGAGGCCAGUCGGGGCGGUGCUGGCAAUGGCCAUGAAUGGAUGGUGCUUUUUAUGUGCCACCGGCACGGGGGCCAGGCGUGGCUGGCAACGGACAUGAAAGGAUGGUGCUUUUAUGUGCCACCAGCACGGAGGCCAGUCGGGGCGGCGCUGGCAACGGCCACGAACGGAUGGUGCUUUUUACGUGCCACCGGCACGGAGGCCAGUCGGGGCGGCGCUGGCAAUGGCCAGAAUCGGAUGGUUCGCUUACUUGUCACCGGCACUGGUAUCAAUUUCCAUUGAUGUUGAUCGACUUCGAAUUUGUAUAUAUAUAUAUAUUAAAAUCUUACUUUAUUUUUAUAAUUACAUAUUAAGAAUUGUAUAAAAGAAAUUAAAAUAUUGCGCAUAAAUUUUAAUAAUAAAAUUUUAUAUGGAUCCUGGUUGAAAACCACUGAUUUAAGUGGUAGCUCAUCCUGCUACAUAUAGCAGCUAAAUCUCUCGUAAAUGAGAUCCUUUUUUCAACUUAGUAAAGGACAGAAACAUCAAAUAAUGUGGUCUUAGAUAAACUAUAUCUGAAAAAAAAAAUAGCGAUAACUUUGACUGGCCUGCCUUUGUUCAUAGGUCUGAUGAAUUAUGGCUAACAUAGGGUUACAACUUACUGUUAGAAACAAUAGUCAAAUCUUUCCUAGAUCAUACUCUACAAUCACAAAAAAAUAAAUAAAGAGAAAGACACUUGGAUAAUGUACCUCUUAAAAAUAAAAUGGAAUGGUCAUGGAUGGACUGCCUUUGACAGUAGAAGCUAAAGAACAACAUCCUUGACAACAAAGGCUAAAGAACAUAAACAAGAGCAGUUAUAAUAUUCACAUGAUCACCUCUGUGGUUGCUGAAUCUGCUAGAGAUGGCAGCCAAAGUCCCUCAAGCCACUACACUUCUCCCUGUUCUUUUUAAGAUGGAAAUAACACAUCAGAUAAUGUAAUUCUAGAUACUAAUAAAAUAAUGACAGGGUGGUCAAGGUUGGAUUGAUCUUGUUUAUAAGUCUGCUCAGCGAAGGUUGACGUGCAGUUAAAUGGCAACAAGCUCGUCAAAAAGAUGAAAACAGCAAUUGCCAUUGAUAAUUAACUUCAAAGAGAGUUUGCAUUUCUGCUAGUAUUCUAACAAUUGAUGUAGCUGCUGCUGCUGUUAUCAUCAUCAGGGAAUCAUUUUCUUGAAAGCUAAACAAGGAACAUCAACUUAAAACAGAUGUUUCUAUGUUAUUUCAGCAACUGUUUCCUAAAAUUUCAGUAGCAUCUUCUGUCUUUUUAUUCUUACUGUCUAGCAUCUGCUCUCUAUGUCUACACACAAACACUCUCUCUCUCUCUCUCUCUCUCUCUCUCUCUCUCAUAUACAUACUGACUCAUACAGAUAUACAUAAAUAUAUAUAUCUCUCUUUACUCUCUUUUACUUGUUUCAGUCAUUUGACUGCGGCCAUGCUGGAGCACCGCCUUUAGUUGAGCAAAUUGCCCCCGGGACUUAUUCUUUGUAAGCCCAGCACUUAUUCUAUCGGUUGCUUUUGAUGAACCGCUAAGUGACGGGGACGUAAACACACCAGCAUCGGUUGUCAAGCAAUGCUAGGGGGACAAACACAUACACACACAUCUCUCUCUAUAUAAACGGCAGUUUGUCUGUGCGUUUUCUGUGUGUCUGUUUUCUCAUACCCUCACUCUGACCACGGCUUUCAACCGAUUCUGAUGAAACUUGACACACACAUAGCCCAAUGUCAUAAUUCAAAUCUAACGCAGCGAAAAUUUUGAAAAGUUCCCCCAGUUCUGAAAAAAAUCGAUAAAUUCGACAUGGGGUCGACAAUCAGAAACCCAAACCACAGACCGUCUAGGGGACGCAACUCCACCUUUUUUAACUCUCAAAAAAAAUUUACCAUCAUUUUUUUUCCAUUUUUUUGCUAUUUUUUGGCUAUAACUCUCUAAAAUGCUUUAUAGUUAUUUUCCUUACCAACCUGAGCAACGCCGGGCGAUACUGCUAGUACAUAUAUAUAUAUACAUAUAUACGACAGGCUUCUUUCAGUCUCCGUCUACCAAAUCCACUCACAAGGCAUUGGUCAGCCCGGGGCCAUAGCAGAAGACACUUGCCCAAGAUGCCACGCAGUGGGACUGAACCCGGAACCAUGUGGUUGGUUAGCAAGCUACUUACCACAGCCACUCCUGCGCCUGUAUAUAUAUAUAUAUAUAUAUAUAUAUAUAUAUGAAAUUAACAAAUAUUCAAUUAAUUUAGCAGAUGCUAGUCAUAGUUAACCUGACUGUAACAUGGAUUUCUGUUUAUGCAUCACAAUUGGAACUAGUGAGCAAAAGGAUCAGUUCUACGAUGAGGCUGUCUUGCAGACUAUAUCAUCAUCAUUUAACAUUUACUUUUCCAUACUUGCAUGGGUCAGAUAGAAUUUGCUGAAAUGGAUUUUUUGUACAGCUUGAUGCCCUUCCUUUCACUGACUCUCACCUAUUUCCAAGUAGGGUAAUAUUCCCCAUGACUUGACAUGUUUUCACAAAGCAUUGGAAAUGAAGGAUACCACUCGCAUGAUGAUGACAUUCAUUUGCAACUAUUGCAUAAAAUCAAGACAAGGAGACAGUAAUACACAUGCACACAUACAUAUGUAUACAACAGGCUUCUUUCAGUUUCUAUUUACCAAAUCCACUCAUGAGGUUUUGGUUGACCUGGGGAUAUAGUAGAAAAGACUUGCUGAAGGUGUCUCACUCAUGAUCAUCAUCAUCAUCAUUGUUUAAUGUCCGUUUUCCAUGCUGGCAUGAGUUGGAUGGUUUGAUGGGGCUGGCCAGCCUAGGAGCUGUCCAAACUCCAACUAUUUGUUGUGGAAUGGGUUCUACGGCUGGAUGCCCUUCCUAAUGCCAACCACUUUACAAAGUGUACUAGGUGCUUUUUCCAUGCCACUGGAAUGGGUGCAUUUACAUAGUACCAGCAUGAGUGUAUCAUCAGCAACACUUCCUUUAGGAAACUGGUCAGUCACCUCAUCAUUUGCUAAUUAGGUGAACACACAAGCCAUAAAAGCUUCAUAUUUACCAUGAAGUGGAAUACAAAACUGAUUGCAAAUACUAAGUCCUUUCCCAGUGAAGAACGUAUCUCUCAGUGUACUCUGGGCUUGUGAUCAGAGACUUCAGUGUAAGAGUAAGAUCAUUAGAGAAAGGAAAGUAUGGAAGCUGAAAAAUCCUUCAGUAGUAUGUAGGAUCCAGGAAGUGCUGGUUGAUAUGUAUGACAAGAAGGGUAAGGAGGUAAAGACUUAUUGGCAGAGGAGUUGCUAUGGGACUGUCUGCUACAAUCUACAGGUCAGAUGUCUGGUUGGAGCAAGGCUCCAAUUAGACAGAAGGUGACAUGGUGAUGGAAUGGUAUAGUAAAAAGAGACAUGAAGCUGAAAGAUAGGCCUGUGGAUAUGUGUGUGUAUAAAUAUGUGUAUUUAUAUGUGUGUGUGUGUAUAAAUAUGUGUGUGUGUAUAAAUAUGUGUAUAUAUGUGUAUGUAGAUGAGUGUGUAUAUGUGGUUAUCUAUGUAUGUGUAUAGAUAUGGGUGUGUUUGUGUGUAUGUAAACAUAAAUCUAUAUCUAUCAUAUAUGUGUGUUUGUGUGUUCAAGCAUAUAUAUUUUCCUUUACUGCUAUGUGAUAAGUAGCUUGUAAUAUUCAAUUUCCAGCAAUUUAUCUUGAAAGCCUCAAAACCGAAUUUUUGUAAUAUAAAUGCAUUUUCUAAAAUGGUAUCCAUAUUUUCUGGCUAUUUUUAACUUGAGUUUGUCUUUUAAUAGAUGCUGAUGGUAACAUUUGUGUCAGAUUGUUUCCUAUUAGAAAUUAAAGAGUUCAAGACACCUUCUGCAUUCAUCUGAAAAGCAAGAGGUAAAUUUUAGUGUUAACAUAUGUGAGCAAUAAUACUUCAUAUGUUUAAAUAAGUUAACAGUAACCUACCAGUUGUUUUCCAGGUGGAUGGAGUCUUUGAAAUAUUAAAUCUUUAAACAAUUCUAUUUUGCUUUGUUAACAAUAUAUACAAUAUGGUACAUUUAUUUAGUGGUUCUUUGCAAAAUCUGUUCCACUGAGGUCUUCUUAGACCAAAGUGUACUCCCCACUUUAAAUAUGUUCACACUGAUUUAAUUAGUGUUUUUCAUGCAGCUGACACCUCUGAGUAAUUAGUCUGUAAUACAUCAAAAUAAAUAUCGAAUGGAACUUGUAGUUGUGAUACCUGUGCUGGUGGCACGUAAAAAGCACCAUCCGAAUGUGGCCGAUGCCAGCGCCGCCUUGACCGGCUUCUGUGCCGGUGGCACGUAAAAGCACCAACCGAUCGUGGCUGCUGCCAGCCUCCCCUGGCACCUGUGCUGGUGGCACGUAAAAAGCACUCACUACACUCACAGAGUGGUUGGCGUUAGGAAGGGCAUCCAGCUGUAGAAACACUGCCAGAUCAGACUGGCGUCUGGUGCAGCGUCCUGGCUUCCCAGACCCCGGUCGAACCAUCCAACCUGUGCUAGCACGGAAAAUGGACGUUAACCUAUGAUGAUGAUGAUGAUACCAAUUUUCUCCAUUGAUUAAUGUAGAAUAUUGUAGAGUUACUAUGUGAUUACUUCCCUACUUUCGCAACUAGGCUUUAUCAAGAAUAAGACUGAAAUAUGCUUGGAAUUAUCUUCCUUGUUCUCAAUAAUUGUUUCUUAUUUAGGCACAAGGUGAGCAGUUUUAAGGAGAGAUAGUUGAAUCCAUUGAUCCCAGUUCUUGACUAGCACUUUAUUUUGCCAACCCCUGUGGGAUGAAUGUCAAAGUUGACCUUAGCAACAUUUGAUCUUAGAAUGUAACGAGCUAGAGGAAUAUCAUCAGAUAUUUGUCCAAUGCUCUAAUAAUUCUACCAAUCUAAUUAUCCUCUUGUGCUCAAUAAAGGGAAGAGGUUCUAUUUGUCAUUGACUAAAAUAGUUUUUUGUUGAUCUUAUGGAUAUUUCUAAUAAGCUUUUUAAUUCUCCACUUAUGUUCAAUAUAUUAAUAUUUACUUGACCAUUAUAGGGUAGUAAGCUAGUAGAAUUGUUAGGAUACCAGACGGAAUGUUUAGUAACGUUUCAUCCGUCUUUACAUACUAAGUUCAAAUUCAGCUGAGGUUGAUUUUGUCUUUUAUCCUUUUUAGGGUCGAUAAAUUUGAGUACCACACAAGCACUGGGAUUUAUGUAAUUUAUGAGCCCAACUCUCUCAAAGUUUCCAGUCUUAUGCCUAUAGUAGAAAGGAUUUAUUUCACUAUUGUACCUGUUUCUCAUAGCAAUACUGUAUAUAUGUUUAUCAAAAAUAUACAUGUGACUUCUUAUUCAUGCUGUUUGUAACCCGUGCUGUACAUUCUCUGUAGUCAUUUGUCUUCAGUUGUCAACCAUGCACCAUUAUUUAAAUGAUUUUUGCCAACCACAAUCUUCAUAUUUUUAUUAAGCAGCUCUGUUAGUUUUCUUCAGCAGUUUGGGAGGCAGAGGUAAGCGGUCCCUGGUGAGUUUUAAAUGUAAGAUGAAACUAGUUCAUUUGAUCAUCAGUUCAAUCUGCCACUAUAGGACCUCAUUUAUUUACUCAAGUACUAUAUUAAUUUAUGUUGUAGAUUGGAAUGCUCCCAAGCAAGUUGUUUAUAUACAUAAGCUUUUGUAUAGCUAAGACUAAAUAAUGUAACACAUCUCCCUCAUUUUACUUGUCCCUACUUCAUCUCCCAGCCUAGAAUCAUUGCACACUUUCUCUUCUGUUUUCACUUGGUUUUAAGAACAUUUUAGGCUCUUAUUCUUACACGUUACAAUGUGGUCUUUACUCGUACAAGUGCCCUGAAAAAGGCAACCGGUACACUCUGUAAAGUGAUUGGCAUUAGGAGAGAAAUCCAGCAGAAGUAGAAACUAUGCCAAAGCAGGCAUUAAAGCUCAAUGCAAUCCCCCAACCUGUCAGAUCCUGUCAAGCCAUACAAUUCAUGUCAAUACGGAAGCCAAACAUUAAACAAUGAAGAUGAUGAUGUCCACCUUUUGUCAAAACCAUAGUGUGCGAUUCCGAGGAAAAUUUGACUGCUAUUUUUAGCAAAUCAAACAGCCAUACAGUUUCCUUCAUUGUGGAGUUGGUUGAUGUUAUGACAUUCUAGUGUGUUGUGGUUUAACCACAGGUCAGCUUUUGGUGAAUUUAUGACCAAAGCUGUUCUGGCUAAGCCAGAAAUUAUUUUUCUUACAGACAUUGUGUUUAGAACUCUAUUAUUGAUUAGUUCCUUUCCUUUUUAAUACAAAAAUGUUGAAUUUUAUGUAAAAUUCUUAGUUGCUAUUUCUAGUAGGACAGGUGACUGAAUAGAGGCUUUGGCAUUGGUUUGUGUUUGUGUUUUAGAUGCUGUAAUACCUACCAUAGCAAUUACAGUAAAAGCUAUGACAAGUUAGCAUGGAAGCCUUGAUGUGGUUGCUAUAACUGCUAAAAGUAGCCACCACAUUAUAUCUGUUUAAAAAAAGUGUGGGACACAUUGCACAAUUCAGUCUGUAAAAGUAAAAAAAAAAUUUCAAUGGACUGUCUAAGCUAGCAUAAGUGCCUUUAAUUAUAUAUCUUUGUUCAUUGUAAACCUAAGGCUAAAAAAUAACAUCUACUUUAACAGAAACUGCUACUGUAAUGAGUCUAUAGUGGAACAUCAGUAUGGUUGCUUGACCCGCUGGAAAUAGCUGGCAAAUUUCUCCCUUAAAUGGUACCUGACUAUCUUAAAAAAAGACAUAUUGGACAAUGUAGUCCAUAUGAUAUAAAAGAAAUUGGAUUGCCAUGGUUGGAAAGCCUUUGAUCACAGGUCUGCUCAAUGAGAGAUCUAGCAAUAAACAAACAACGGACAGUUGCUACAGAUACAAAGGCAACCAUUACCACAGUCGCUAGGAUAUCAGCUAUAACAGUUGCUAUGAUAGCAGUAACAUCACUGCUUGCUUCAGUAGCUCUUCAGUAGUUACCAUAGCAACAACAAUAACAAUCACCUCUAGAGAUUGUAACUCAAAUAAGUAAAUAAAAUGCUUUCUUAAUUACAUUUAUAAAAUUGAAUCUGUAAGAAUUAUUAAAAAAAACAAUGCAUGAGAGUGUGUAGUUGUUUGACCUGCUAGAAAUAUAGAAAUAGCAAUCAAACUUCCUUUAAAUCAUUCUUGACAGUCUGAACAAUAGAAGGACAAUGAAUGAUUUAAUCCUACCUAGAUACACAAAAAGAUGGCAUGGUAAUAACUUAAAUGCCUUUGAUAUUUGCUUGAUUAAACCUGACUUGGAGCUAAAUAACAAGUUACACACACACACACACACACAUACUUGUGUGUGUGACAGAGAGAGAACAAGAAUUAAUGAAUGAAAUAGUUUAUUAAAAGCUAUAUAUAUAUAAUCAAAAGGCAAACUAUUAACUGUUUAGGAAUAUUCCAGUCUAUUAAGUAAACUAAAACUAACAAUAAAUAUAUACUGUCAUAUUCAUGUGUAAUUAACAUAUAUAUUUCGGCAAGCUGUAAAAAUACUAUAAUGUGUAUACUUCGAGAAAUUUUGAUAAAAGAAGUCAAAAGUGGUGAUAGUGGUGGGAUUUGAAUAGCAUUAUACUCAUGCAUAAAAUAAAAGAUAAGAAGAUAAAACUGAUUACUGGUUUUUAGGUACAAAAUAUAGGGUCAUAUUAUAUUUGAGGUCACAUUGUACUUGAGUAUAUACAUUUAAGUCCAGUGAUUACAUCAUUAGGCUUUUGUCAGCCUAGAGUGACAAUCAAACAAACUAGUUUCAUCAUAUCUUAAAACUCAUCAGGGAUCUCUUACCUUGAUUUUUUUCUUUUUUUUUCUUUCCUAAUUUAUCAAUAUUAUUAUUGAUUUAUCAGGACUGAAAAUGGGUAGAAUCUGCAGAGGAGAAAAAAAAUGCAUCAAAGUGUUUAGUUGCAGUUUUAUGAUUUGUGUUCACAUCCUGCUAAGGUCAAGUUUGCUUUUUAUUCUUCUCAGGUUGAUAAAAUAAGUAUCAGUCAAGUAGCUGGAUUGAUUAAAAUAGUUGUGAAAAUAAUUAAUAUUAUCAAAUCCUGUCGAGGUUAACUUUACCUUUCAUCUGUCUGGUAGGGUCGAUAAAAUGAAGUAUCAAUCAAAUACUGAGAUGAAUUUAAUUGACUAUUCCCUAUUCCAAACGGUGUGGCCAUGCUAAUGUUAGAAAUCAAUUUAAAAUUAUUGAUAAAGAUGGUGGAUUGUCAAAAUUGUUAGAGCACUAGACAAAAAUAUAUGUUAUUUAGUUAUGGUUUUUCUUUCUGAGUUCAUAUCAUACCAAGGUCAACUUUAUUUUUUAUCUCUCUCCAAAUGAGAAACUAUAGUAUCAGUUGAAUAUUGAAGUCAGUUUAGUUUAUUAACUCCCUCCUCUGAAAUUUCUUAGCCUUGUGCCUAAAUUAGGAUUUUUUUAGGUUGGUAGAUUGAAAGAAUUGUUGGACGGUCACCAAAUGCUUUGCUGUUUUUAUUCUGAAUCGUUACUUUCUGAGAUCAAAUUCUGCCCAGGUCAGUUUUCCCUUUCGUCUUUUGGGUGUUGAUAAAGCACCAGUUGAGUCCUGGGAUCAGUGUAAUCAACUAACUCCUCCCCACAAAUUUCUGGCCUUGUGCCUAUAGUUGAAAGAAUAAUGAUGAUAAUGAUUAUGAUGAUGAUGAUGAUGAUGAUAAUGUAAGGAAAUAGAAAAGAUUGAGAAAUGCCAGCUACUGUGGAAUGAGAUAGGAAAGUUAUGGGGCAUGAGUAAAGUAAUGGUGAUACCGGUGGUAAUUGGAGCAUUGAGAGCAGAUUCCAAGGUCUUUGGAAAACAUAUUAAAAAUAUUGGAGCUGCUGUGAGGCUCGAGGUGAUCCAGAAGACAGCAUUGUUGGGUACAGCUCGCAUUCUAAGGAGAGAAUUGUCUCUUUGAGUCACAGUAACCACUACUUGAAACCUUUGGUGAUUUGUUACUGCCUGAUUUCAAGUAAAGAAUAACUGGUAAUUAAGAACUAUCCAAGAGUCUUUUUAGAAUAACAACAACAACAACUAAUAAUAAUAAUAAUAAUAAUAAUCAUUAUUAUUAUAUAUUUCACUUUUCAGAGCUCUUGAUUUCACUUUCUCCGGCUAAUUCUGUAAGAACAGACAACCUGUUGCCAAGGGUCUCACAAGGUCUUCUCCCAUGAUAAUUAACAUCCAAGCAACAUAUUAUUAUUAUUAUUACUAUUAUGGUGGUAGCUGGUAGAAAUGUUAGAGAGUUGGACAAAAUACUUAGCCAUAUUUUUUUGAGCUCUUUACCUUCUGAUCCCAAAUCCUGUCAAAGUCAGCUUGCCUAUCAUCCUUUCGGGAUUGAUAAAAUAAAGCACCAUCCAAUUACUAGAGUCAAUGUAACUGACUUCUCCUCUGCCUCUAGAAUUGUUAGCCUCGCCACAUAAAAAGCACCAGUGCUGGUACCACAUAAAAAGUACCCAGUAUGCUCUGUAAAGUGGUUGGUGUUAGGAAGGGCAUCUGAUUGUAGAAUCCAUGCCAAAGCAAACAAUGGUGCUUGGGGCUAUUCUCUGGCUAUCAAACUAGCCAAUCCAUGCCAAUAUGGAAGAUCGAGGUUAAAUAAUGAUGAAGGUCAUUGUUGUUGCUCUUAUGGUGAUGGAUUGACAAAUUAUAUGUCUUGAGAUAUUUCACUAUGUCCUUGUACAUUCUGAGCUCAAAUCUUACCAAGGCUAACCUUGUCUUUCAUCUUGCUGACUUCGAUAAAAUAAAUUACUUGUCAUGUACUGGGAUUGAUGUAAUCUAUAAUUGUGUCCCACUCCCCAAAGAUUGAGUCCUUGGACCUGUGUUAAAAAUGAUGCUUAUUUAUGCUGUUAAAAUAAAUACCAGUUAAACCCAGAAGGUCAAUGCAAUAACAAUAGCCACUUCCUUCAAUUAUUUACUGCCUUAUCCCUAUGUUAGAGAUUAGAAUAUUUUAAAACUUGUGUGUGUGGGAGUGUGUCAAAAGUAUACCAGAAAAAUUACCUUGCAGCACUCGUGUAUUUUUACACUUAGAGAGGAAGGUGAAGGUUGCUGCUCUCUAGUUAAUUAGCUGAAAGGUGUGUAAAUGUAGUGAGAUUGGUAUGGGUGAAUGGACUUAUUCUAUGCAUGCACUUGUAGGCCUAACAAUACAACUGGGAGGUGGCAAUCAUCCUUGGUAGUCAAGUAAUCUUGGAUCUCUGAGGUUCUGAAGUAAUUUUAGGCAUUUAUCCCUCUAUUUGAACACCUCAUUUUAUUUCUUUGUGUUCUAGCUUUUGCAGUACAUAUACAAAAAUUGGAACAGUACAGAGAAGAUUUCUUUUGUGUAUUAUUUCCCAUGCCUGUUUUCCAUAAUUGAUUUUGUAUAAACUCUCACCAUUUUUUUGUCAUUUCUCUUAAUGAUGUAUCCUCAUCCAUCAUUCCUGUGGCUAAUAAAAAAUUCUACUCCUUGGUCAGACUAAAUGAAUACUUGUUUGAGCCAUGGUUGCAGAUCCCAGAGGCAGUAGCAAAUAUUUUGAACUGUACACCUUGGAGACCUGAACUGUUUCUGUUGUUUGGGGGGCAUGUUUGGUCUGUACCUCCAGGUAGAUCAUAACUGGGGUAAAGUUAUGAACUGGAUGGCCAGUCUCACUCAGAUACAGAUUGAGAGGACAUGAUCCCUGAGCAUGUGGCAGUGAUAACAAACAUUUGUAUCACAUUUCACCUGAUUGUUGUGCUGUUCCCCUUUUUCUCCUGACUAGAUCAAAGCACUUUUUACUUGUAGAUAAGAUGUAGUCCACCGUUCAUGUGAUCUGUCUGCUGGUACCUCCUCUGCUUAGAGAGUUGGGUAAUAUGAACAUGCUGGGUUCCUUGAUUGACUCUUAGGAGUGGUUCUGUACUCUUAGAUCUAAAAUACACUCUUGAAUAUUGCAUAUACCACUUUUCCCUCUUUUCUUUCUUUUUAUAGCCUGUCUUUGUAAUCUCUCAUCAUCUACCACUUUUUUUCAGGUGGAGUGGGGUACUCCUUGAGUUUCCCCCUCACUCUGUUAUAUAAUUCCCCUCAAAUUAUAACUUGUCCCUGUAAUGUCUUCUUUAUUCAAUACCCCUGUGGCAAAUAAAAGAAAAUUGUUGUUGCUGUCAUUGCUAGUUUUUACUGUAUUUACAAAAUUCCACAACUUCCACAAAUAAUUAAUUUCUAAUGUUUGACUAUUCACUGACUUCUUUUUGAAGUUCAAUUUCCACCAAAUUAACUGUAUUGCAAGUCAACUUUGGUAAAUGGUCCAUUGUAAAGAGUGGGAUUUAGUUUAGCUGAUUAAUGAACAAUUCUUAUUUGCUUUCUUCUAACCAUAUAGCUAACCCACCAAAAUGUAAUUUGCUGAGUUUGUACUUGUGUCUAAUUAAGAGCAAGGCCAACCAUUUAUAUAAAUAGCCACUUGCUCUUGUGAAAAGCCUUCAAUGUUUGUAUUUUUCUUUAUAUUUUUUUCCUGUCCUGUCUAUUUUUUCUUUUAAGAAUUUUCUUUAUAUUUUUUCAUGACAUUAUUUAUCCUAUUAUUUAAUUACGAAGUUCAGAAUAUUUGCUUCCAAAUUGUCAAGUGAUAGCUUGUGUGUGUGUGUGUGUCUGAAUGGGUGGGUGCACAGUUGUUUAAGAAUGUAUGUGUGUAUUGUCAGUAUUGUUUAUUUCCAUCUCAGUCCUGACCCUGCAGACCUAUGAUCAAAGAUAUUUUACCCAUGGCCAACCUUUUUCUUUUUUCUUUUCCUAUGUACAGGGAACAUAGCAUCAUGUUAUCCAGCUUGUUCUUUUUCUUAAGAUGGUAUUGUAUAAUUUGAGGAAGAUUUGACUAUUAUUUCUAGCCAGUUUGGUUUGUGGAGUUGAUGAUAUUGUGAUGUAUAGUUGUAACAAUAAGUAGUCUGAUGUAUAUUGGAUAUCUUGUCCUUCCCUGAGCAUCUGCUAAUAUUUCACAUGUAUCAUGUCCUCGCAUUGUUGUUUUUUUGUGUUUGUUCUUCGUUUUUGGGAUUUACUAUAUAUAUAUAUAUAUAUAUAUAUAUAUAUAUAUAUAUAUAUAUAUAUUUACAUACACAGCCACAGCAGGAGAUGUAUUAGGACAUGAAAUGUAAAAGCCAGACUAGAUUAUUUUAUGCGCAACUCCAUUAUCUUCCAAGACAAAAAGGAUGCCAACAACAACAACAACAAUAUAUAUACAUAUGUAUGUAUAUAUAUAUAUAUAUAUAUAUAUAUAUAUAUAGGUGAAGGGAUAGCUUUGUUGUUGAGAAGUUUGCUUCCCAACCACAUGGUUCCAAGUUAAGCCUCACUGCAUGACACCUUUGGCAAAUGUGUUACACUGCAGCUCUGUUUGUUUGUUCCUUCUCAAGCCAUGCCUGGCUCAUAAGGGCCAUUUUCCCGGUUUCUUGGCGUAUAGGUUCCCCACCUGGACGGGAUACUGGCCCAUCACAGGUGAGCUGCAAGAUGCAAGAGUGAGAGAAAGUUGUGGCGAAGUUCGCCAUUACUUUCUGCUGGAGUCGCGUGGAGCUUAGGUGUUUCGCUCAUAAACAAACACAUCAUCCGGUCUGAGAUUCAAACCUGCGAUCCCUCGACCGCAAGUCCGCUGCUCUAACCACUAGGCCAUGUGCCUCCACUACACUGCAGCUCUGUGCUGACCAAAGCCUUGUGAGUGGAUUUUAGAGACAAAAACUAAAAGUAGCUCAUCAUAUGUGUUCAUGUAUGUGUUUAUGUCUCCUUGUCUUGACAUCAUGUGAUUGUUGAUGAAUGUCAUUCGUUUCCAAAAUUCUGUAAAAACAUAUCAGGUCAUGGAAAAAUAUUGCUUUGCUUGGAAAUAGGUAAGCAUCGAUGAGAAGAGAAUCUGGUUGUUUAAAAUCUACCAAAAAAACCUCUAUUCGCCUAAUGAAAGCAUGGAAGUGGAAGCUGAAAUGAUGAUAUAUAUAUGAAGCAAAAAUAGCACUCUUUAUAAAACAGUAUUUGUAUAUUUGUUACUCUUUGUACUUUAAUUCUCCAUUGUGUAUAGCAAAGGUUAAAUGUUGGUCAAACCUGCAGGUCAUAAAUUCAAGCUUGAUUAAUUGUUUCACACAAAUCUUCCUUGGCUCCAUCUGCCUGGUUGGAUUCUAUUCUUUUUGUUUCGCAGAAAAAAAAAUGUUAUUAAUAUCUUGCAUGAGAAUAGGCGUAGCAGUGUGGCUAAGAAUUUCAUUUUGAACCACAUGAUUCUAGGUUCAAUCCCUUUGCUUAGCCCCUUGGUUAAGUGUUCUCUUCCAUCGCACCAGGCUGACCAAUGCUUUGUGAGUGAUAUAUUAUUGGCUAAUAAGUCCAUCAUGUGUGCGUGUCUGAGAAUUUUUAAAUUUCAAGCAAAUCUUUUCAUCAAACAGAAAAAAAUUUGCUAACUUCACUAUACUCACUUAGCAACCACUUGAAUUUGGUAGAUGGAAACUGUGGUAGUUGUUAGAGGAUUUGCUAGAACCAGAGUUCACUUGAUGCUCAGGUGUCUUGGACUAGCAGCUAAGGAGAGAAAAGAUGCUGCCUAAAGAUUGUUAGAAGCCACUGAGAAAGCAAUCCAUUACAUCUUGCUCAAGAGAGAGAACAAGUGGUGUAACAAGACUGAAUAUUUGAGGAUGGAAGAAACAUCUAGCCCAGAGCCACAUCAUCUGACUCAACAAAGCUCAUGCUGGUGUUUUGUUGCCUACAUAUUGGUGGGUGGCCCCAGGAAGGAGUCAACUCACCUAGAAAGCUGCUGCACCUCCUGGUGAGACAUUGAAUCUUGAAUUCAGAGAUGGAGAAUAGCAACACCCUCAGCACAUAAGUGGCACCCUAAUAUAUGUGUGUGUGUUUGUCUCCCACUGCUUAAUGGCUGGUGUUUGUUUGUUUACACCCCCAGUACCAGAUUAAAGAAUAAGUACUGGAGUUGAUUUUUUUUUAUCUAAACCCUUCAAGGUGGUAUCCCAGGAUAGUAGAAGCCCAGUGGAUGAAAUAAGUAAUAAAUAAAAAUAUGAUGGUAUACUGAAUUAUAAAUGUAUAGAAACAAGAUCUUUUUGAUAUCUGAAGAAAUGUAGUGUGAGAAACUCAGAGUAGCAAUAGUGAAUCUUCAGGUUUGAGCAUAAAUCUGUUGGUCAGCCUGCCUGCAUGUGUGUGUGUAUUGUGCCAUUACAAAAAAAUAUUCACAUUUUACAUUUGUGUAGGUCUCUGUUUAUGUAACUAAAAUUUUUUUGUUACACUCUCUACACUUCUACCUGGUGAUAUUUCUUUUCAAUUCCUUUCACUGGGACAUAUAUGUACUUCACCUCAAAAUUGUGUGCCAUUCUGUUAAAGGUCAGUCAGCAAAAUUCAAAGGUCAUUUCUAUGUUCACAUCAAAGAAGAUAUGUGGUAAAUUGUUUCAUGUCACUGGGGUUUAUCACUCAAGUGCUGGUUUUCUUUUCUGCCUCCCUUACUUUACUCAUGUUAAAGAAUGAUUCCAUCUUUACAUUAUUGUUGAAGCAGAAUAUUUGGAGAUAAAGUUUAGACUUCCAUGUAUAUAUAUUUUUAGACUUGAAAUUUUCAUCUAUAUCUUGUGUGUUCCACGAUGUAGAAAUUAUGCAGAAUAUUUUUCUUGUCAUUAUCGUCUUUGCUUUACUUUUUGUUCUGCUGUUCUUUUUUUUUUUUUUUUAUAUAUUAUUUUUGCAUGUCAUAUUUCCUGUUUUUGCAUGGCUUUGCCAUUUUUUUCCCCUUUUUGUUAUUCCAAAAAUUUUUAUUAAUAUUUAUUUUUUCUAAUAUUUCUUGAUCUGUUUCUAGUUUUACUUCUUUUUUUUUUCUAAUAUGUAUUUUAUUUCUUUUACUUUUUCUGUCCUUGUUUUCAACUGAUUUUCUUAAUAAUUUUUUUCUUUAUGUACGGAUGAUAGCUAGAAUAGCAAAAUACUAGCUAAUUAAAUAAAAUAAGAUUCACAUUAAAUUUUGUUAGAUGGGGGUACAUUGAGUCUCUCAAGCUACUCAGGGAAAUCACCUCUAGUAUCUUACUGGUACUAAUUUUAUCAAUCCGGGAGGACUAAGUGCAUUGCUGGAUUUAGAUUUGGUAAGCUCCUAAGCUAUAUAAAAUUUGGCCCCAUUUUUAAAAACAUUAAAGGUUUUAAAAAUUGAAAGCAUAUUUUCCCUCCUGUCUGUCAAAGGAGGCAUAAACACUUUCUCUCACAUGCAUGCACAUAUUAUGGAACUUUCAAAAGUUUUCCAGUCUCUUACUCAUAACCUCUUUUAUGCAGAUGACUGUGAUUUAGUCACUCAUACAGUGGAUGACAUUCAAAUACUUAUCGUAUUUCUGUUUCAUUUGGACUCAGCAUUAGUCUGGACAAGACUGUUGUAAUGUUCCAGCCUGCACCAGGAAAUCAAUAUGUUGAACUAGCUAUCUUGGUUAAAGGAACAAUACUCAAAGUGGUAGACAAGUCUAUCUACCUGGGCAGCGCAUUCAGCCAUUCUUGCUCCCUGGAUGAUGAAAUAUCUUUCAGGCUGCAGAGUGAAACUGAUUCCUUCCAGUCUCUUGAAUCUCAUGUCUGGUCCCAGCAUGGCAUCACAAGAAAAACAAAAAUUGCUGUGUACCAUGCACGUGUACUGACAUUGCUCCUUUACUUAUAUGAGACAUGGACCCUUUACAAAUGUCAUGUAAAGAUCCUUGAACAAUUCCAUCGGAGAUGUCAGAGACACAUUCUGAAUAUUGGCUGGACCUUAAAAACUGUAGGUCUUGAGGAAGCUGAUAUCUUGAGUAUCGAGGUAAUGGUGCACAAGCACCGGUUAUGUUGGACUGGACACCCUAUUAAAAUGAAGGAUAGCAGGAUCCCAAAACAGAUGCUAUAUGGGGAACUUGUUAGUGGAAAAAGAUCCGGCAGAAACCAAGGCUGUGAUUUAAGGACUGUGUCAAGUCCUCAUUAAAGGCCUCUGAUAAGCAAGAGACCGACUGAGAGAGUAGUGCCUGUUAUCACCACAGAUGGAAGAAGCAGGUUAAGAAGGGGGUUGACAUCUUUGAAAAAGCACAUAUUCUUCAUGAAGAAUUUAAAUGUCCUGCUCAAAAGUACACUGCUGGCAUAGUGAAUGGGGAAAGCUUGGUAUCCAAUGUUUGCAGUUGUAUAUGCUUGUCAAGAGCAGGGCUCUUUAGCCACUAACGGAGCUGCAAAUGCAAAAUAUAAAUUAGUUCUGGAGCGCACAAUGUUCCUGAAGGUCAGCAAUGGUCUUCCUCAGUCACGAGUGUAUAGCCAUCAUCAUCAUGUAUAUACACACACACAUAUAUAUAUACACACGCACACAUAUAUAUAUAUACACAUGCACACAUAUAUAUAUAUACACAUAUACAUGCAUAUGUACAUACAUCUUCCAUGCUGGCAUGAGUGGAGCAGUUUGACAGGAGCUGGCCAGGCAGAAGCCUGCACCAGACUUGUAUGACUGUUUUGGCAGGAUUUUACUGCUGGAUGCCCUUUCUAAUACCAGCCACCCAGCAGAGUGGACCUAGUGCUUUUUAUGUGGCAUAAACACAGGUGAGGUAAGUUUUGGCAAGAUUUUUACAGCUGGAUGCCCUUUCUAAUGCCAAGCAGUUUACAGUGUGGACUGGAUGCUUUUUAAGUAACACCUGCACUGACAGGGUCACAAAGUAACCUGCAAGACAAAAAUCUUUUGAGAAGGGAGGGGGCAUUGGAGGAGGUCAUCUUGCAUCAGAUGAUAAAAGGUUAUAGUGAAACAGAGAGACAGAAAUGAGUAUCUUGCUGUAGAGGAGGUACAAAGUUACCUGGCCAGAGAGAGAGAGAGAGAGAGAGAGAGAGAGAGAGAGAGAUCAGGAAUGAGGACAGAAACAGGUGUACUGCCGCAAAGGCGAUACAUGCUUACCCAACCUGAAGGAAGUGCAGAAGAAGGAGAGAAAGAGAGUGGGAGACAUCAGGAUAGAGAUGGUGGAAAAGUGCCAGGCAUACUCACAAGGGAUCAGAAUAUAAAUGGUAUGGUCGAGUAAAGGCAUAGAGAGAUAUAGGUGGAAAGUGCCAGGGCAUAUCCUUGAAGUUCGAAGGUCAUAAUAUAUAAGUGGCAAGAUAUUGCCAAAGAAGCAUGAUUAGAGAGUGGGGAGGGGAAGUGAGUGGUGAAAACCUGGGUAUAUAGAGUAGGGUGGGGGCUACCAGAUAGCAAUGAUACAGAGAAUCAGGGCUGUGAGGAUAGGAUUGGAGAGUGAGAAGUAGGCGUAGUACAUGAAAGAGAAAAUGUGAGGAAGAGAAGAGAUGUAGAGAUGUAGAUUGGUUUGUUUGGGGUAGGGUAUGUGAAAAGCUUUCUUGUUACCUGUGGAUGGAACACACAGAUUGGGGGCUAGCAGAUAGCAGUGAGACAGAGGCAAGAGAACGGGAUUUCGAGUGCGAGGUAAGCAUAGUGCAUAAAGUGGAAGUGUGAGGAAAAGAAGAGAUGUAGUUUGGUUUGUUGUGGUAAGAUGUGUGAGGAGUUUUCUUAUGUGUGGGUGGUACACACAGCACUUCUAGAACUCAGUUUCGCUGACGUGGACAGGUCUUCUCAAGAACCUCCUGUUGCCAGGCAUCUUGGUCCAUUGUCAUUUCCUCCAUGGGGCCCAACAUCCUGAGAUCGGUCCUUACCACUUCACCCCAUGUCUUCCUGGGUACCAUCCACUUUCAGUGAUUGAUACUUCUUGAGAGAGAGAGAGAGAGAGAAAUAACGGGAAAUAGAUAAUGUGAGUGGGAUAGAGAGAGGGGUAUUGCCCGUUAGACUUCUAACCUAUUUUUACUGACAUAACACAUAGUUGCACAGCCUGCUCAAAAUGGUGGCCAAACUCACAAAUCACUUUUUCCUAUCUUAAAUAAGUUUAUACUGAAUAAUAUAGUUUUUGAUAUAGAAAAUGAUAGGAUUGGUUUGACUGGAAUGUUGUUUGUCUUAGUUUUCUUUGAUUGUGAUUGACUUUAGAACUAUACAAGGAAGUUAACUUUGAGUCAUCAAAAGAGGACUUUUGCAUUGUCACUCAACCAUCUAGAAAUAGCAGCUACAUUUCCAUCAUAUUACACUUGAAGCUUCUUAGAUUAGGACAAACACUGGAAAAUGUAGUUUAUACAUACAAAAAUAUGAAAUAAUGUACUCACAUACACAAUUACAAAAGCCAUUGUGACUGGUCUAUUAUAAAUAACAGCCAAAUUCCCAUCAAAUCCUACCAUACCAUCUUACAAUAGGAAAAUACAAAUUGGACAAAUCUGUCUGUCUGUCUGUCUGUCUGUCUGUCUCUCUCUCUCUCUCUGUUUGUCUGUCUGUCACUUUCUCUGUUUAUCUAUCUGUCACUCUCUCUGUUUGUCUGUUUCUCUUUCUCCCCCCCUCUCUCUUCCUCUGUGUGUGUGUGUUACAAUAUGACUAUGUAUUACAUGAAAUAGCGGAAAAUCUACCUGGAGGGUGCUGUUUCUGCUAUUUUAUAUAAUGGCAUCAUACAUGGGAAAAAAUCACGUUUUAUUCAAUAUCUUAAAUAAAAAACAUUGAAAAGAAAACCCCAUUAAACCAGUCAUUUAUCAAAGUUUUCAUGUGGUUUAUUGCCUGAAAUCACUGGCAUUUGCCAUAAAACUUAUCCAACUGAAAAAUUGAGACAGUCAGUCUUGAUUCAGGAUUUAAAUCCAUUUUUACUUCAGCUUUCUGACUGACAGAAACAGGUUUCAUAUUUAUUUGCAAUUUAUUGUUGUGGUUUAUUUUCAGAUUACCAUUGACUGAGCUUAUGUUUAAUCAAGGGAUGAUCCAUCCACAACUAUCCUAUCUUAAUUAUCUAUCUAGACUACAUUAUUCAAUGUGUUCUUGGUUUUUUUAAAAAUGGUAGGAUGUAAUUUGAUGGAUAUUUGGUGUAGAAGUUGCCUUAUUAACCCUUUUGUUACCAUAUUCUUGUCAACAUCUGCUACCUUUGUUUCAAUUAAUUUUUAAAACAGUGAUGAAUUUAUUAAAAUAACUUUCUUAUUAUUAAGCUGGGGUCUGGAACAAAUUAGCAUAAAAUUUUAAUGGAAGAUUAUAAUUUAGAUAAAUCUAAAAUACUAAGUUGAUGUCAUGGGGUAGUCUCAGACAGAUUGGUCUUAAAAGGGUUAAUCUGUAGAGGAGUCCCUAGGGUUAAAGAGUAUCAACAAAAUGUGAGCUAUGAAUUUAUAAUGGUGUUGUCAGCUGUCAACACUUUGAGGCUUCACUAGAGAGUUUCUAGAUUUAACUCUAGUGGCAGAAUUGUUAGCAUGCUGGAUGAAAUGUUUAGUGGUAUUUCUUCAGGCUCUUUAUGGCUGCAGUUUAAAUCCUGCCAACCCCCUUUCAGAGUUGAUGAAACAAGUGCCAUUUGAGCACUAGGGUGAACUUACCUGCUCCCCACAAUUGCUGGCCUUGUCCCAUAAUUUGAAACCAUUAUUAUUAUUGAGAGCGAGAGCAGCACACACCAUCAAAGUGAUACUGAGGUACAAAUACAUGAAGCCCAGUAUACCCAACAUGACUACCUGAUUAGGGUACACCAGGCAUAUGCAAUACAACCAUAUGUGCGCAACAUGGUGACCUCAUAUCAUAUAACAAACAGCACAUGACCUUGCAGGUGGGGCCCAGUUAGAAUUUCUUCAGGUCAAGUAGCCCAUCAUGCUGAAAAGGCCUCUGAAUAAGGGUUGUUUAAGAAAGAUGAAUGAAAUACCCAUGUUUCAAGGGAUGAAUUAUUCAAACCACAAAGAAUCCUUUUCAACACAUGGCUGUGAUGCUCCCUGACUACUGUAUAUACUCAACUAUAAAAUGCCCUUGCCUACAAGAUGCACCCCCGAUUUACAUGGUUCAAAUCGGGAAUUUUAUCAGUGACCUGACUAUAAGUCACAGCGACUUCUUAGGCGUUUCAUAAACCUCAUACACCAAUGAGGGGAUGCUUUGAAGUUGGAUAUACCAUGUUCUUAAGUCAUUUGGAGAGCCCACAAUCUGAUGAUGUUUCUUGUGAUGACAUCCAUUCGUUCGUAGUUCAGUCACAUAAUCUCUCAAAAUAGUCUCCAUCUCCUCAUUAGGACUCAUUCCUAUCCUAACUUACUUAAACGAAUUGAUGUCAUUUCAUUUUCUCCUCUUUCAAACGCCAAUCCCUGACUAUUAUUCUUCACAUAAUCAACAACUUUCGGCUUGAAAGUGAUAUGAUACGAAUUCCUCUUUCUGUUCAUGUUAACAAAUAACAUGGCAACGAAUUAUAAAAGACAGGUACGGUACGAAAACAAACAAGCAUUAAACUCACUUUUAAAAAUUAUUUCAUACUAACAAAAGUGAAGAAAUAUAUAAAGAAAUAUCUGAAGAUCAUAUUCUGUGUACUUCAUGGCUUUGGAAUUAGCGAUUCAGGAUUUUAUGGUUAUUCCAAGUGUCUAAACUUCAGUCGUCACUUGUACCUAGAAAAUAUCUGAAGAUUUUUUUUUAUAAUUUGUGCUUAUAAGUCACAACCCCAACGUCAGAUGAAAAUUUCAGGGAAAAAAAAGUGUGACUUAUCGGCAAGUAUAUACAGUACAUCUGUCAUCAGCCACUCAGAAACAUGCUCAACAGUUAAGGGCAAGCAACUGACAGGCAGAUCUGUAGUAUUGAGCAGAAUAUUUGUUGCAUCCCAUCUUUUACAUCAAGGCAAAACAUAUGCAUAUUAACACUUCCAAUAAGUUUAGAUCAGAAGCCAUGAGAGCCACUGCCUGGUAUUGCAUCAGGGCAUUUAUUAUGCUUAUUAUUAUUAUUAUCAUCAUUAUUAUUAUUUAUCAUUAAUAUUUGCAUUAUUAAUAUAUAAAGAGAUUCUUACCAUUUUAAUGUUGAGGAAUUUUUAUCUUUCAACACGUCCAUGCAAAAACACUUGAUACACUUGUAUUAUUGACUGUUUCCAUAAUAAAACAGGAAAGAAUUUUUAUAUUUCCUCUUUCUACUAAUCUAAUAACACAUCACUGCGCUAAUGUGAAUUUUUUUGUUUUGUUUAGUCUUUUGUUAUUUAUUUUUUUUUACAUGCGUCUUGUAUUCUUUCUGAUCUUUUAGCUUCCCUUCUUACUUUGUUUUGGGGAUAGGUUGGUGGAUGGAAUGGCAUUCAGAAGCUUAAAGCAUGUGGUGGGUGCAUCAGAAUGUGUAGGGGUUGGUGGGAAGGAGAAGAGAAGACACAGUUUACCCUUAUAGUGUCCCUAGUUAACUGCUGCUCAGAUGCAUAUUUCUUCUGUGAGUCACUGCAGCAAAUACAAAAAAAAAAAAAUAAAGAUAAAAAUAAAUAACAGCAACAAGAAAAAUGCUGACUACUACAAUUAAUCAGUGCUGGAAUUUCAUAGUCCAAUAAUUUUCGAUACAGUUACUACAAAGCAGCACUCUCCUGAUUUCUGACUGCUGUGUGUGUGUGUGUAUGUGAGGAGAUGACAUGGGGUAGAGGGGUUAUUGAAAGAAAAGAGGACAUAUUUCCAUAAGGAAUCAAUAACUGAUACCGGAGAGGGAGAAAGACAUGAAAUAACCAAAUUUUUGAAAUACAUUUUAUUCAUCCUCACUAUAUCGAAACCUUUAUUAUUAUUAUUAUUAUUAUUAUUAUUAUUAUUAUUGUUAUUAGUCAUUGUAGUGGUAGUGAGAUAUAUUCUGAAUAUGGGUAUAUUUUUACUAUGCCACGAACUGUGUCUACAAGGAUGUAUCAGGUGUAUAUCUGCAUCUAAGUGAUUUUGUGGGUACUGUAUAUUGUGUGUGUGUAUUUGUAUCUAGGUGUGUAUACAUGCUCACCUAUAUAUGUGUAGGUAUAUAUGUGCAUUUAUGUGUAUGUAUGUAUGUAUGUGUGUGUGUGUGUGUGUGUGUAUAUAUAUAUAUAUAUAUAUGCAUUUGUAUGUACAUUUAUUUAUAUGUAAAGACAAGGGUAUGCAGAUACCCAUAUAUAUAAAUAUGUGUGUGUAUGUGUGUGUAUAUAUAUAUAUAUAUAUAUAUAUAUAUAUAUAUGAUGGCAGGCCUCUUCCAGUUUCUGUCUCCCAAAUUUAUGCACAUGUCUUUUGUUGGCUCCUAGGACUGUAGUAGAUUGCAGUGGGACUGAAAUCGAGACCACUUGGUUGGAAAGCAAGCUUCUCAGCCACACAGUCAUGCCUACACUUACCUAUCUGUGUACAUAUGUGUUUGCACAUGUGUAUCUAUAUUUAUCUCUCUCUCUCUCUUUCUCUCUGACUCUUUUGCUCUCUCUCUUUCUCUCUCUCUCACAUGCACACACACACACGUUUCUUUUUAUGUUCAGUUAUGAUAAAACAAUUUAGCAUUAAGCUGAUGGGUUACUCCAUAGAGUAUGAAUAUGAUUCUUUCACAAGAAAGUUGUGGACCAUGUCUUCAAAGUUUUGGCCAAUUAAGCUAUCAUCAGACUGUCAACAGAAGCUUCGCUGGUUAAAACUUCAGAGUCACUGUCAAUAACAUUCUUGUAUAAGAAUAAUGAAUAUGGAAAGUGGCCAUGGGUAUGCUUAAUGUCUGGAAAUUGGCCAUUUGCAGAAGAGGUGUUCAGUAGCAAUUCCAUAUGGUGUAGCUGUUGUAUGCUAUGGGUACACAAAAGGUCUAGUGGGAUCACAAGUAGAUUGACAAAGAAACAUAAUUAUGUAGAAGAUGCACAGAAGUGGAUACUUGAAAUUUUUGUUUGCCUAAUUCUGUAUUCAUCAAAACAUUUCAAACCCUACUGAACUGGAGCAAUUCCUUUCCUUUUCAUUAAGAUAAUGAUUGAGUUACAGGUAUCCUAGCUGUUUACUAAUUAGUUACAGUUAGGUAGUUGUUUAUUUGCAGGUCAGCCUGAUUUUUCAGCCCUAUGCUCAACAUUGUUCCACUUGUGACCAUCCCAUCUUUUAUUCAAGAACAGUGUAUCUAGGAAUACCUUAUUUAUACUUACUUUAUUUUUAAUAAUAGAUUUGAGGUAGAUUUAGCUACUAUUUCUAACAUGUUUGGCAACCACAUAGUGGCUCCCUAUAUUUUUGAUUAUAGUAGUUUUAGUUAUUAGAGACAAAACAAUGUUACUUACUAUGGCAGCUGUAAAUGUAGUGAUUGAUUUUCUUUUUUUUUUUCUAGUGAAUCUUAUUUUUAAUCAACAUAUUUUCCACCAAGAACAAUACUUAUUUUCCUUGGUGGUGGAAAAUAGCUUUGUUUCUACUAUAUAUAGCAGCCAAUUGAUACUAAAAAUGCCUCUAGUUAAUCAGGCAAUCUUUAUUUAUUCAGUGAUUCUAUUUUGGUUGCAACUGUUCUGCUAUGGGUAAUACUAAUGGUUCGUGAUUUGAUUAUCUCUAUCACUGUUCUUUGCUUGCCAAUCUGUAAAUAAGCAUAAAAAUCAGAUGAUUAAACAUACAGUUACAGCAUGAAAUGGUCAAUUAGUUAGCGUUUAGUAAAACAUUGUUGCACAUAUUACAGUAUUUAUUGCAGAAAGAUAGAGUUGAUCUAUAUCAUUUAAUAUUACACGAACUGCUGAUACCAGGGUAUGCUACUUGAACUGGUUUAAAAAAGCAGCUAAAACCUGUAGAGAAAUGGCAUGAAUUGUAAUCCUCUAGAUGGGACAAUAGCUCUGAUGUCAAAAAAUUAGACUACUGUCUUCAUAGUCAGGAGUUCAAAUCAUUAUGGUUACAGUGAUUUUUUUUUUUUCCUGUUUAUGAUUUUCUGAAAAAAAAAGAAAAAAAUCAUUGUGGUUAUAAGAUUUGAACUUCUGACUAUGAAACCAGUUGUCUAAUUAAUCCCUUAGCAUCAGAGCCACUAUCAUUUUCUGAAAUGAAGAAAAGCAGCACUUAUGAUCCUUUUCAGCCCCUCAGAAAAUUGGUUAGAAGAAGAUAUAUCACUCUAAAGACCUAGUCUGAAAUUUUGCAACAGAGUGAGGCAACUGACUUAAACCAAACAGCUGAUUAAGCCUACCAUCCAGUUUCUUUCUACAGAGUUUUACUGGAAAGUAUUUAACCCUUUUGUUACUGUAUUUAUUUUGAGAGGCUCUGCAUUUCUUUCAAUUACUUUAAAUAUAGCAAAGAAUUUAGUAAAAUAACUUAGUUAUCAUUGAGCUUGUGUUAGGAACAUAAAUUGUGACUAAGGUUUGAUGGAAGAUUGUAAUUCAAUACUUAUGAAAACAAGAGAUUUGUGCUCAGCCAGAGCCGGUUUCAGCCAGGUUGGUAACGAAAGAUACUUGCUCAAAAUGUCAUGCAGAGAAAUUGAAACUAAAACUACGUGGCUGCAAACCAAAUUUCUUCCCCACACAGCAAUGCCUGCACUGACUAUGUUGUCCCUCCAGACACUGUAUGACUGUCACUGCUUGACUGGACAUUAUAGUAUUAAUGGGUGCAAGUGGGAGUCCCUAGACAAUGCCUCUCAUUAACUUCCCAUAAUUAAUUAUGCAUAAAUGCAGGCAUGACAAGUGUGGUUAAGGAGCUUGCUUUGAAACCUCAUGGUUUGGGGUUCAGUCCCACUGCAAGACCUUGGGUAAGUGUCUUCUGUUAUAGCCCCAGGUUAACUGAUGCCUUGUGAGUAAAUUUUAUAGAUGGAAACUAUAUGAAAGACCAUCGUAUAUGUGUGUGUUUGUCUUUGUGUUUGUUGUCCCCACUAUUUGACAACUGGUGUUGGUUUAUGUCCCUGUAACUUAGCAGUUGGGCAGGUUCAUUUAUUUGGCUAAAUUCUUCAAUGUGGUGCAAUGACAGAAACAAGUAAAUGAUAACAGAUAGAUCUGAUAUUUUGACAUGAAAUACCUUAUUGUUAGCUUGAAAAAUUAUAAUGGAACUCAAGACAUUCAUGGAUUUCUGCCUGUCAUUAAAAUCAUAGUAUAACAACCAUUCUUGUUUUCCGUGCUAACAUAGGUUGGACUGUUUGAUAGGAUCUGGUGAUCCACAGGGCUCUGCAGUGUUCCAAUGUCAGUUUUGGCAUGGUUUCUAUGGCUAGAUGCCCUUCCUAUUGCCAACCACACUAGUGUGUUGUGAGUGCUUCUUUUAAAUACCACUGGCACUAGUGAGGUUGCUAAGUAACUUUCAGGAUAAAGAAAAAGAAUAAGAAAAAGGAAACGCUCCUGCUACUAAGUGUGGGGAAGCUCAGGUGUCUUACUAUGGAGCAGAUACACGACUAUUCUGCAUUAUAUAGGGGUGGGAGAAGUUGUGAAUGAGGUGAAGAAGGUAGUGAUUGAGUGCCAGGGAAAAACUUGCUAAUUACAAGAAUAUGAGCAUACAAAAACACUCAAGGUAGAAAACUCAAACAGAAUAAAGAGCCAUGAAUGAAGUGGAAGUGAGCAUCUGGUAACUGGGAUAGCAAAUAUUAGUUCAUUAAAAGAAAACUUGCUUAGUAGAGAUGUGAACAUUUGAAUGAUAUUCUUAUUUGAAGUUACAUUUAUUGGUUUUUAACUUUAUAUUAGGUCUGAUCAAGUGGACAUGACCAGAGGCAUUGCAGCUGUGACCAUUUCUUUGAAGUAUUGCAUUAUCUUAUGUUAGUUCCUUAUUCAAGCAAGUAGGAUUAGAAUAUGAUUCGAUUAGGCUUCAGUUGCUAAUUCUAGCAUGGUGAGUGAUCAUGCUUAAAGGUUUCCUCGUUGACUCCAAGCAUGGCUGUAUCAUUAAGAAGCUUACUUUGUAACCAUGUGACUUAGAGUUCAGUCUUUCUAUGUGGAACCUUGGGCAAAUUUUUUCUUUUAUAGCUCCAAGUCAACCAAUACCUUGUGGGUAUUGGUUGUUGUUGUCACUGCCACCUGUCUGUCUGUCUGUUUGUGUGCCUAUUUUGUGUUGGUCUCCCGCUGUUACUUGAUAACCAGUACUGGUUUGUUUAUAUCCUUGUAAUAUAGCAGUUUGGCAAAAGAGACCAAAAGAAUAAGUACCCGGCUUAAAAAUAAGUCCUGUGGUCAAUUUGUUUGACUAAAUCCUUCAAGUUGGUGCCCCACCAUGGCUGCAGUUCUGUGACUAAAACAAGUAAAAGAAAAAAAAUUAAUAAAUGUUACAGGUGGUGGUAUUGGGGGGGUGUAAACACAGCUGGUGGUCUAUUGAGAAAAUGUGGAAUGGUAUAAUUAAGGUUUAUAUAAAAAAAUAUAAUGGAAUCAGGAGAGGAAGUGGCAAGAGUGAGAGAGAGAGAGAUGCACAUGCAUGCCUCACACCAACACUCUUUCUUCCCUCUCUUUCUCUUUUCCUCAUGCACACACAUACAGACAGACACAAGUGUGUUGAUGAUGGUGAUAAUGACCUUUAGGUAAAGAGAAAUACUGAAAUGUCAUUAUAAAUCAUUAAUGUGUUGAUAUUCCCCAUAGACAGAAAGAUUCAUCAUUAUUUCAUAUUGUAUCUGCUUUUCCAUGCUUGUUUGACUUUGACUGAUUUGCCUUCCUCUCACAUCUGUCACUAAUCAGUCAACUAUAUCAAACUAUGUAAUCCACAUCACGUCUAUCAUUCAUCAAGCUUUUAUCACCUACUCCACCAUCAGUUUCUGCUUCAGUUACAAGUUAUAAUCCAUACAUUUAUAUUUUUACCCCCCCCCCCCCCCAUCCACCUUUUGCCCUCUUUUCUUCCUCUUUUUCUAGGUAAGCAUGGCAUAAAAAAACCAGGAAAGAAGAAUAUAUGUCUCAAACUGUCUCAUCUCCUGCUGCAGUCCUUUAUCAUUAGGCGUGUGCAUGCAUGCAAGCGUGCGCACACAUACAUACACACACAUACAUGCACAUGCACUGCAACAAAGAGGAAAUAAAUUGCCUUGUUUUUCUGAUAAGCUUUCUACAGCUGAUGCCUUUCCUAUCACCAACCAUUUUGCAGCAUGGAAUGUACGCAUGUUAUUAAAACAACCAACUGUAAUGAUGCUGUCUGUCAGGGUUAAACAUUUCUGUUUCACCUGUAUCGGAGUUUAAUGUAUGACUUUCCAGAUGGGUUGUCUGAGUUGAGGCUUAAGGAUGGAGUUCAUACUAUCUUCAAUCACUCUGCACUGUUUUUUUCUUCUUCUUCAUUUUGUGCAUGAAUUGUCAACCUUAAAUAAUUUUUAACUGAAGGAAAAUUAUUUAACAGCUUUAGUAUUCUUUAUUGCUACUCCAGGACUGGUGUAGAAGUUGGCUAAUUCGAAGCAAAAGAGAUUUUAAUUAAUGUUGUGAAUCUUAAAUCACUUUCUUUUUUAAUUUAUUUCUAUAAUGGUAUUCAGAUGCAAGCAUAGCUGCAUGGUUAAGAGGCUUGCUUUGCAACAAUGUGGUUUUGGAGUUCAAUCCUACUGCAUGGCAUGUUGGGCAAGUGUAACCCUGGGCCAACUAAUGCUAGAAAUAAUAACCACAUCUCUCUUAUUACAUUAUACUGUCUUAAUAAUGGUUAGGACAUAUUUAUUGGUGAAUGUAGUCUUAUGUUGUCUGUACAUGAAAACAAGUAGAAUCUGAAUUUUUUAAUCAGCCAGAAAAAAAAAGGAACAAAGUUAAAUGCCUUGUCCAAGGACACAAUAUAGUAAAUGUUAUAAGAUUUGAACUCGUGACAUUGUAGUCAGUGGUCCAACGCCUUAAACAAACAUUGUAUAAAGUAAACAAAUUAUAAAAAAGUCUGCUGUUUACUAUUCUUUCUUUUAAAAUUGCCAGAAUCAAAACUGCUUCAGAUUUAGAAUUGCAUCAAUUUAUUGUUGUUACCUUGGAUCAGCUCUGACUGAGUAGACAUUUGAUCAAAAAUACUCCGCCUAUGACUAGUAUGUUAGGAAUUAUGUUAUCAGAUGUAUCUUUCUUUUUUAGAUAGUAAGAUAUAAUUUGGCUACUACUUUUAGCAGGUCAAGCAGCCACAUAAGGGUUCUUUUGUUUUUUGGUUGGAGUGAACCAUCCGAUCUUGGCCGUUGCCAGCCUCACUUGGCCCCCGUGCUGGUGGCACGUAAAAAGCACCAUCCGACCAUGGCCGUUUGCCAGCCUUGUCUGGCACAUAAAAAGCACCCACUACACUCACGGAGUGGUUGGCGUUUGGAAGGGCAUCCAGCCUUAGAAACAUUGCCAGAUCAGACUGGGCCUGGUGCAGCCUUCUGGCUUCCCAGACCCCUGUUGAACCGUCCAACCCAUGCUAGCAUGGAAAGCAGACGCUAAAUGAUGAUGAUGAACUAGUGAAUUCAUAGAACUUACACUAUUUGUGUCCAUUUCUUAUUUUCCUUCUUUGUUGUAUGACCUAAAAGAAGCUAGACUUAUAAAACAAAAUGUUGGGGCACUGCCUUGAAGGGUUAAAUUGAACAAAUCAAGUUAAUCUUAAAUGACUGAAACAAGUAAAAGGAUUUUAAAUAAUGUAUCAAAAUUUUUGUUGCAUCUGCUGACAAAUGAACAGAGAACUAAAUCAAUCAACCAGGAGCUGUUUGAUUGGUUGAAUAUUAAUAAAGAUAUUUUGAAAAGUGUCAUAACACGUGUCAAAAUGAAGGUGUAUAGCCAUGAUGUCAAAACAAAAAGACAGUUGUUGCAACCAGGAAAAAAAUAGCAGAGUAACGCAAAUGUGAAUAUAGUGUCGAUCAUGUUUCUUGAGUGAAAGGCUGUUAUUCAUUGCGAGUUUGUUUCAUGUGAUCCGAUGAUCAAUAAAGUGUUUUACACAAAUGUGUUUGAAGCAUUUGAGAGAGGCAGUGUUAAAGAAGUGAUCUGCAGAUAUAUGGACAGAGAAAAUCUGCAUACUGCACUACAAAAGUGCACCUGCUCAUAUAGUAUUCUUUAUCCAUGAAACUUUGGCAAAGCACAAGAUGACUCUCAUAACAUUGUAUUCUCCACAUUUGUCUCUUGUUGACUAAUUUGUUCUGAGCUGAAAACUACCCUGAAAGGUCACCAAUUUCAGAAAAUAGUGAUCAAAGAAAAUUCACUACUCUGAAAAAGUUGUUCUAGGACAUAUUGCAAAACUGGGAAAAGAUUGUGGGGGUGGUGUAUCAACAGUAGUGGUAACUAUUUUGAAGGAGACAAGUCUGAUUGUAUUAAAAGUAGAGUACUAUAUUUGUAUUUUUUAAAAGUCCAUUUUUCUUUUUGAACAAUCUUCCUAUUUAUAAACAGAUAAUCUUGACAUUUAAUUACAUUAAAUGAUAUUAAAGUUCAGCUUAUAAAGUUCAGCAACUUCUUUCAGAAUUUAUGGUGUGCCAUUAACAUGUGUGUGUGUGUGCAUGCACACACACACACACACACAGAUAAAUUCACUCAUUUAUGAACGCAUUCACACACCCAACAUGUAUAUGACAAAUAUAAUCAGACUGUGCUACUAAUACACUGCUACACUAUUUCUACCUAUUCCACAUUUCAUAUAGUAUUUAUAGUCUUUGUAUACUGUUGUAAACUGUUAGGUCACCCCUGGUCAAGUAGACCCAUGAUUAACACGGUUCCAGCUGUGACCAUCCUAUCUUUUACUAUAUCUGUGUGUAGUUUUGUGGCUGAAUUUUGCAGGUUGAAUGACUGCAGUGAAGUUCUUUUGUCAUGACCAUUAUUUAAAAAUAUACCAUUCAUAAAUAACAAUAUUUCAGUAUUCUCACUGUGUUUUAGAUGUAACUACCUAGGAUGUACUAUUAGGGUCUACAGCUGCGUUUCCUAACCUUUCUACUGCUAAGGAACCCUUGAAUUACAUUACAUGUUUCAAGAAGUUUCUGUAUGAAAAUUAUCAGGUAUUUUAUUAAUCUUUUUAUUACUUUUUCAUUAGAGAUCAAAGAAAUCCUAAAAAAAAUUUUUUGAAAUGUCUGGCACUGCUAAAUACAUUAGACAUCUCAAAGAAGGUUUAACCCUUUAGUAUUUAAACCGGCCAUAUCCGGCCAAAAUAUUUAAUCUGUUUUAUGUUCAAACUGACCAGAUCCAGGCCCUCACACCUACCCUACAAUGUUAUUCUACAUGAAGUAAUUACACCAUCAAGAUCUUGAAGAUAUGAGAUAAUGCAUGAUUAAUUCAAAUCAAUGGGAAUCAAUAAGCAUUAUGUUUGAUAGAAUAAUCUGAACACUAAAGGGUUAAGAAACUUCAUCUUACCCAAGACUGUUUAGAUUAAAUUCCCUUACAAUUUCCCUGUCAAAAGAUCAUUUUUCUUGUAGGUUCUCCUUACUUUGUACAGAUAUCAGGAUUUCCUAUCUUAGGAAAUAUGCUGUGUAAAAAACAAAAUUAUGAAUAUAGAAAUAAAAGAAAAAAUAUUAUAACAUUUAUUUGCAUUUACUCUUUACUCCUUUACUUGUUUCAGUCAUUUGACUGUGGCCAUGCUGGAGCACUGCCUUUAGUCGAGCGAAUCGACCCCAGGACUUAUUCUUUGUAAGCCUAGUACUUAUUCUAUAGGUCUCUUUUGCUGAACCACUAAGUUACAGGGACAUAAACACACCAGCAUCAGUUGUCAAGUGAUGUUGGGGGAGAGACACAGACACACAAACAUAUACACACACACACAUAUAUAUAUAUAUAUAUAUAUAUAUAUAUAUACACGAUGAGCUUCUUUCAGUUUCCAUCUACCAAAUCCACUUGCAAGGCUUUGGUCGGCUCGAGGCUAUAGUAGAAGACACUUGCCCAAGGCGCCACGCUGUGGUACUGAACCCGGAACCAUGCGGUUCGUAAGCAAGCUACUUACCACACAGCCACUCCUUUGCCUUAUUUUAUCACUAUUUCUCAUGGAACCCCUAUUAACAUUUUACAGUAUUCUAGGGCUCUGGGGAAACUCUGGUUGGGAAUCACUGGUUCACAGACUUUAUUUUAAGAUAAGUCUACAAACUUUUCUUCAGGUCAGCAUGAAGUUCUUGAAGAGCUGUGUGUGUGUAUGUAGAAGUGAGUCCUCUACCUAAUUUCUUCUUCAAGAUAGCCUUACUGCUCAUCACCCCUAAUUAUGACACUUCAUUGAUACCACUUGUUUUUCUUGAUCCCUAGAACCGUUUUACCUGUUACUUAUCUUUUAGCCAUUAAUGCUGUUCUCUCCACCCACAUUUUACAUUGAUCACCCCCACCACUGUACCACCAAAUUAACUUUCUUCCUCCAUCACCAUUAUCAACAUUUUUUCAGCCAUCAUGGAGAUGUUUGAAAUACAUACACUCUUCUCCAUACACUUUCUGCAACUUUGCAUAGGCUCUGAGCAGAUAUCGCCAUGACAACUUACUCUGUCAUGGUCAAUGCGACGAUCAUGUUACACAUGUUACUGCGAAGCACUGCUGUAAAUAGCAGAAGUGAGCUAGUACGUUAAAACUUGGUGUACAUGCACAACAGAGGUCAAGGUCAAUCUGUCCCAAAUGGCUUCACUCUGUGUGCUUUAGCUUUGUUACUAUGGCAACAGUCUGGAUACUUAGUGAUCAGACCUCGUAUGUAUAAGUAUGCACUCAUGAAUAUACACAUAUGUAUAUAUAUAAUAUAUACAUGAAUACAUAUAUAUAAAUUUGACAUGGGCGAUUCUUUCUUGUCUUGGGAUUCAUGGUCAAAUGGCUGGGUGGAAUUGCGCGAAAAAUUACACAGAUGUGUAGAAUGAUCCGGUAGUGAUGCUGGGCUUUGUAUUUUUUUCAUAGAUCCCAUGGUUACCGAGAUUAUAUAAUAUAAUAGUACUCUUGUGUUUAUGAAUGAGAAACGAAGGGGUGAUGUCAUACAAAUAAAUCAAACAGCAUUUCAACUCAGUGUGAAUAUAUGUGUGUGUAUGUAAAAGGUGGAGUAUGUGAAUGUAUGUGUGUUUUUGUGUGAGUGUGUGCAUGUGUGCGUGCAAUGGAAGUGGGAUGGUUCAUCUUUGUUCUCUUAGUAUUUGGGUUUAUUUUUUGAUUUGGUUGAAUCUUGGCUUUUUUUUGUUGGUCAGUUAUUUUUAGUGUUUUGACAGAAAAAAGUAAUUCUAAAAUUGUUCUUUAACGUAAGCGUGCCCAAACAAGUCAAAGGCUUACACAGAGCAGGUUUUUCAGUCAUAUCAUCCAAACCAACUGGGUGAAACCUGGCUUAGCUGCUAAUAUAAUAUAUAUAUAUAUAUAUUCCUUACCCAACCUUCCCCACUGGUGCUUCCCUAUAUUACCUGCACCCCCCCCCCACUAUCUCUCCCUCUCUUUCCACUGGUGGAACCUUUCUCAGCUAGACCCCCCCCCCAACUCAACUCUAAAAAAGCUCGAACCGAUCGUGACCGAUGCCGGACCCCCCGGCCCCUGUGCAGGUGGCACGUAAAAAGCACCCACUCCACUCGCGGAGUGGUUGGCGUUAGGAAGGGCAACCAGCCGUAGAAACUCUGCCAGAUCAGACUGGAGCCUGGAGCGGCCUCUGGCUUCCCAGACCCCGGUCAAACCGUCCAACCCGUGCUAGCGCGGAAAACGGACGUUAAACGCUGAUGAUGAUGAUGAUAUAUAUAUAUAUAUAUAUACAUAUACACACACAGUUCUAUAUUUAAGAGAUGAGGAAUUAUGUACAUUAUUUACAUUUGAUGUUUGUUGAUAUACCCUCAAGCCUUCAUCAGGUGUCUCGGGGAAAUUUUGAACCUGGGUUCUCAUUGCUAUGGUAUUUUUUGAUGUUAUUAUUAUUGUUCAGGUCACUAUUGGAAUCAAACUCAGAAUCUUGGGGUUAGUAGGCCGAGCUCUUAACCGCUACGCCAUAUGCCCAUGGUGAAGGCUGGAGGGUAUAUCAGCCAAAAUGUGUUAACAACAAAGAAGAGAACAAAUAUCUGUCAAAUGUAAAUUAUGUAAAUAAUGUAUAUAAUACAUAUAUAUAUACGGUAAAUCCUCGAGUAUAAUCCGCAUUUUUUCCCCCAAAUUUAAAGGUCAAAAUCCCUAGUGCGUACUAUAUACGAGGUUAGAAAUGAAAAUUAUUUUCUAAGCAAUGUCCGAGUCUCUAUUUGCUGUGUGGCUAUGUGUACUCAGAUGCAUUUUGUGAUGUCGGGUGCGAAAAUACCUUUAGCUAAGCCUGAAAGCAAUGAAGUCAUAAAAGGAUCAUCUAUAAUUUGCAGUAAGCAACAUUUAUUAAACGUUAUUACUGUUAUUUCUUUAUUUUCUGCAAACAAAAUGUACAAAAAAGCUACACGUUUGCAUUAUGUUAUAUAUACAAUAAUAAUAAAGGACGUUACCGCCUACAUUUUUACAAUCCAAGGACGUUAUAUAGACCUCCUUAGAGAAGGGGUGCAUAUUAUACACAAGGUUUAGGUUUUUCAGAGGUACAGCCCCCUAAAAAUCCCCUGCAUAUUAUACUCAAGGGCAGACUAUACUCAAAGAUUUACGGUAAUAUAUAUAUAAUAUAUAUACAUAUAAAUAUAUAUAUAUAUAUAAUAUAUAUUAUAUCUAUGGUUGAAGUAUAUGUAUAUAUGUGCAGGUUGUGUUUCUAAAUUAUCUCCAGGAGGAAUUUAGUGUAAUAUGAUAUAUUGCUCAAUGUAAUUCAUUAAGAGAUAAUUUUUGUUAAGUGAUCUUCCUGUGUUUGACAGGAAAUCUCUUAGAGUUUACUCAUGCUUCUUAACAGAGAGAUGUCUGCUUCAAAUAACUGUAGAUUAGAUGUCAAUGUGUACUGUAUCAUAUCUACCUGUAGGGUGCAGUUUUAUAGACAGGAUUUAAAGUUCAUUUCUUUUUCAUCUGUCUAUAUCUUGCUACUUGUUUCUUCUCUCUCUCUCCUUUCACCCCCUCUCUCAUUCACUAUCUUAGUUCUCUUUCUUUCUCUUCUUUCCCCAUCUCUCAUUCACUAUCUUCGUUCACUUUCUCAGUUUUUAUUGGUUUGAGAUAUCGAGCAAAACCGAUAAUCACUAAGUGCAAAUAUCUCUAUUUGUGUCUUUUAUCUUUUAGGUUUUUACUUGUUGUUUCUGUCAUUUGACUGUGGCCAUACUGGGGCACCACCUUGAAAGGCUUUCAGUUGAACGAAUCAACCCCAGUACUUAUUUUUUUGAAGCCUGUUACUUAUUCUGUUUGUCUUUUUUUCUGAUUUAUAUUAUGGGAACAUAAGCAAACCAACACCAGUUGUUAAGCAGUGGCAAAUGACAAACGCAAUGAUAAACAUACAUCGAUAUAUACAUUCAAUAUAAUGUGUGUGUGUGCGCAUAUGGCCACAUACACCUGAUAGGUUUCUUUCAGUUUCUGUUUACCAAAUCCACUUACAAGAUUUUGAUCAGUUUGGAAUUACAAUAAAAGAUACUUGGCCAAGGUACCACACAGUGGAACCAAACCCAGAACCAUAUGGUUGGGAAACAAACUUCUUACCACACAGCCAUUUGUGUCUAUAUAGUUUUAAUUUUAUUGUUAUAUUUUUAGGAUUUUAUCCUGAAUUAUUUAAAAUUUUGUUUUGUAAGUUAUUCAAAAAUGUUAAGCAGUGAUCAUGUUAUUAAGCUUUUCCAAGAAGAACUUUAAUGGCACUCACAGAGUAGUUGAUAUGAUUAUAGUACAUUUGUGUUUGACUUUGAGUCAUGUUUUGUGUUUAUAUACGAGUGUGUUUGUUAACAUUUUAGGUUUCUACAGUUAUAAGUUAGCUUGAUCAGUUAUAACGUUGUAUGUACACAUGUAUUUCAAGCAAAUGUUUGAAGAAAAUACAUCAAUAGUUCAUGAUUCAUACCUUGCUAUGUAACUAAUUAAUCAUCAAAUAAUAUAUUCUUGAAAAAAAAUCAAGGACAAUACGAACAAAAAUCCUGGUGUUGCAUGCUGGGUUAGCUGCACUACUCACAAUAAAUAAACAUUACUAAGAGUGACUUAUUUUCCUUCGAUAAUUACAGAUCAAUAUUAUGUAACAAAAAUAUAUAUGAAGAAAAUCUGGAAUGUUGUGGAGAGUAUAAUGAGAUGAAUGAUGUCAUUAAAAUAAUGAGUGUAUGGUAGUAAAGUUUGAUUGAUAGCUUUAAUUUCCAGAAAUUUUUAAGGCAGCAGCUCGUAAAGGUUUCUUAUUUUGCAAACUGAAUUUGCAGAAUUGUUAAAGUUUUAUGGUUUGAAUCUCUUCUCAGCAUGCAUAAUGCGUGUUUUUCUCCCAGUUAUAGUCUGUAUUGCACAAGGAUUUCCACUUAAUAGUGAAAGUAGCAGCUUGUUCUUUCAAACUCCUGAUAUAACUAGGUAAUAUUGUUGUAAUCCUCAUUUUCACUAUGUCUGAAAUAAGAAUCAUUGCUGAAGUAAAGUUAUUUGAAUUUACCUUCUGCCAUAUCUACAAAGUGUUUAUACAUUGUAUUCAAGUUUUAGUUUUCGAGAAGUGAUUCUACUUUAUAUCUGGUUGCUUCUGCUUUACAUGACUGAUUCAGUUGUGUUUCUGCAUGUGUAAUUUGUCUUAAUUAACUCUGUUGGUUUGAUUGUUAUAAGACUUUUCAUACUGGUUGUCAACUGUUACCCAGUUAAAUUGUUUCUAUUACUUGUAUUUUUUGUAGUUUGUAAUUUAUAUUAUAUAUAUUGUGUUGUAUGUAUAAUUAUUAAUUAGGGUGGUAGUAGUGCUGUGUGUACUUUUGUGUAUGAUGUUACUCUUGCUUCUAACAAGCCCGAAAUAAGCAUGAUGGUCUGAGUUCAUGGACAACAUUGAGAUAAAAAUCCUUUCUAUGCAUUCGCAUGAUCCCCCACUUAGACAAGUUACAGAUGCUGUGCACAUAAUAGUGGUAGAUUAAAAAAAAAAUUAAAAAACAAAAGUAAAUAGCAACAACUCUUCUACCACCAAUACAUCCAGACACAAUAUCAUUCCCACUGUUGGCACCCCUCAGAGUUAACAGUAUUACAAGGAUGAUUACAAUUCAACUUUAAACAAAAAAAUUGAAAUUAUGCAAAAUAAUGCAAUUUAAUGCACAUAAUUAUAACAGUAUAAAUUUUAUGAAACAUACAACAUAAAUGACUUCUCAUUUACACAUAUAAAGACACAUGCUUAUAUGUACACAUAUAUGAUGUGCAUACAGGCAUGACUAUAUACAUGCAUAUGCACAUGUGAGUGUGUGUGUAAAGAUAAGUAUUGGUGAAAAAUAUACCAAUCUCAUUAGUGCUAAAAGCCAACACGCAUGCAUAAUGAAAAACCUGAAAAACUGACAAGCCACAAGCCACUUGACAGAACAGGAAGGUAACAGCAUUAACAGCAAUUACAACAAAUAUGUAUGUAUGUGUGUGUGUAUAUAUAUAUGCAUAUAGUCAUACAUAUUGUUUAUAUAUUGCAUAUAUGCACACACACACACACAUAUAUAUUGUAAAUAUGAAUAUAUUUAUAUAUGCAUGUAUAUAUAUCUGUGUGUGUGUGUGUGUGUGUAUAUACAUGUGUGUAUAUAUGUCUCUGUAUGUGUAUAUAUAUAUAUAUAUAUAAUAUAUAUAUAUAUAUAUAUAUAUAUUUGUAUGUAUAUAUAUGUGUGUGUAUAAAUGUAUAUAUAUAUAUUUGUAUGUAUAUGUGUGUGUAUAAAUGUAUAUAUAUAUAUUUGUAUGUAUAUAUAUGUGUGUGUAUAAAUGUAUGUAUAUAUGUGUGUGUAUAAAUGUAUAUAUGUCUGUGUGUGUGUAUAUAUAUGUGUAUACAUGUCUGUGUGUGUGUAUAUAUCUAUGUAUCUGUAGCUGUGUGUGUAUGUGUUAUAAUUAUGUUAGUCUGAAGAAAUAAAGACAUAGUUAUAUGCAUGUACAGAAAAUCUUCAAAUUUUCCUAGGAAAUAAAAUGAAAUAACCUAAGUUAUUUAUGUUAUUAUGUUUAAGAAUGUUUUGUUAGAUUUGCACACAUACACCCUUUCAUAUGUACAUGUCAAAUAGAUUCAUAUAUAUAUAUAUAUAUAUAUAUAUAUAAUUUAUAUAUUAAUAUAGUUUACACACACACACAAACACAUUCAUAUAUGCAUACAUUCACACAUAUAUGUAUACAUAUAUGCACACAUACAUAUAUAUAUGUCUAGGCCGAGGUUGUUUGAUACUAAAAAAGGAGAACCUUUCUGCUAAUUAGAUUUAAUUAUAUUCCAUAACUAUGCUCAGGCUAUUCUAUAGCCUGUGGCUAUUUAAAAAUAAUUAACUUUUCUUCUCUUGUAUUUUUGCCUUCUCCCUUUCCCUCUUUCUACUCUUCUUUCUUCUUGCACCUCAUCCACCUGUUGUUGUUGUUUGGCCUUUCACUCUUGAAAUAUAUAAGGUACUGAUGUUUUUCGUCUUAAAUACAUUAUAAAAAUAGAUUGGCAGUAUUUUUUCAGCAGCGGUCAAAAUGCUUUGCAGCCAUUAGGUAAUCUGAGUUAAAAUCCUCCCAGGAUCAGUAAAAUAAAGUACCAGCUUAGUACUGGAGUUUCAGCAAUCCAUCUCCUGCACCGCCACUGUUUUUUUUAUUUUUUUAUUUUGAUGUCUGUUUUUUUUUUAACCAGUACUUUGUUAUUGUCAUUGCCAAGUGUCCAGAUUUCAUCACUGGUCAAGUUGACCUCGGAUGCAAUGACAAAAAGUCAAACAAUGUAUUUAGAUAAUCAGUUGCUUCCUCUUUAUUUUUGGUACAUUUUCAAAUUGAUAAGAUAUUGUUGUCACUAUUUAGUUGGUGCUGUUUAAGCAGAUCUUAUGCUGGAUAAUGUAAUCUGAAUUAUAUUAUGUGGGACUGAAAAGCAAGGUGGUUGAAGCUACAUUCUGCUUUGACAUGUUUUGACUAUGGAAGUUAUGCAAGAAAUUUGUUCUUGCAUAACUAUUUGAAACAUGUGUAUUAAAUGUAUUCAAGAUAUCACCAUUUCGUUUGGCUUUAUUAUAUAUUAUAUGAUUCCAUACCAUUUCAGGUUAGCUUGGUCUUGCUUCAUUUACACAGUUAAUGUAACAAGGAUUUAGGAGUGAAAUACUUUACUGGAUCUGAGUCUGAAAUCUCUGGUCAAGUGUAUUGCCUCAAAGCAUAACCCUCAAUGUGUAUGUGUGGUUUGCAUAUAUACAUAUUUCAGUUGUGUCUACCAGAUCCACUCACAUGACUUUGGUUGAUUUGUGGCUAAAGGAGAAUACACUUGUUCAAAGUGUCACACAGUGGGACUGAACCUGAAACUAUGUUGUUGGGUAGCUAAGUUCUUACCACACAGUCACAUCUGUGCCUCUCCAUCCCUUAUCCCAAAAUUCUGUUGUCUGCCAUAGAUUUGUCGGUAGUAGUGGCGAGUGGUAUAGACUGGAACUUACUUAUCCAUAACUCCUUAUUAUUGUUCUGGUUAUGUUUUAGUCUGCUCUAUAAUAUUGGUUUCAAUGGCACAAGGAUUACAAUUUCAGGAGCGGGGGUGGGCUAGUUGAUUACAUCAACCCCAAUAUUCAACUAGUACUAAUUUUCAUGGUAUGUUGCCAACUUAAUGUGGCAGUCCCAUGAAAAGGAAGAAUGCUACUGCUAUUUAGCCCUAGGAAACACUAUUUUCAGUUGGCCAUGAUACAUCUUCUGUGUCCUUAUGCUUUCAAAGGGGAGAUAAGAAUGCAGAAGAUGUGUCAUGGCAUUCUUCACUUUCAUGGGACUGCCACAUUAAGUUCGCAACAUACCAUCACUUUAUCAUACUGCUACUGUGUAAAUCUCUCUGAGAGAUUUAGAAAUGUAAUAUUUCUAGUACUAACUUUAUCAAUUUCAUAAGGAUGAAAAGCAAAGUCGACCUCAGUAGAAUUUCAACUCAGAAUUUAGAGAUGGACAAAAUGCUGUUAAGCAUUUUGCACAGUGUACUGACAUUUCUGUCAGAGUCUACUUGAAUAUAUUAAACAAAUGAAAGUUUGGAAACCUCACUUCUUGAAGAUAUCCAUUGAGUAAGAAAAUCUAUGCCAAGUUUAUUCAUGUGAUGAAUUAGUGAAGAAAAAUAAAACUGCAUUCAUUAACUUAUGCUGUAUUGUAAAGUUAUAUAAGGUAGCUUUUAACAAGAAUUCAAUGAAUUUGGCAAAUGUUGAAUGACAAGUCUUUUUUUUUCUUUGCACUUCUCUUUUGAACUUAAUUAUUAAAGGAAGUUUCUGUUUUUUGGGUCAAGUUUCCUUGUUCAAGUUUGAUAUUUUUCAUGCUUUUGCUUUUCAACAGAGUAAAUUCUUAUCAGCUCUGAUGUUUUUGUACAUGAUCACUCCCCACCCUAUAGUGAAUACUUCACGGUAUUUUUACUAUUUAGAAGUGAUUAUUGUUGUUGUACAAUUUAGUUUAUUGACAAAGCUAUCUAUUUGUGUCAAAGUUUUUGUUUACAUACACACAAAAAUAAGAAGAAAAAAAACACCCACAUCUGUUUUUAACUCAAGAUAUUUGUAUUAUGUGUUAUCAAUGAUAGUAAACAUGACUAUUUAGCUGUGUAUGUAUUUAGCUGUGUAUGUAUUUAGCUGUGUAUGUAUAUUUAUUUUACUACAAGUAGUAGUUGUUGUUGGUGGCCAGUGAUUGGAGUAGUAGUAAUUUAUAUAGAUGUACAUAGCUCUACAUAGCUAGCGCAAACAAUGAAGAGAAUAACUUAUGUUGAAGCCAAUAUAAUGGAAAUAUAUUUCAGUUUGAGAAAUUCAGGAUAAAUUUACUUUUCACUCCAACCUUCUUAAUGGAUAUUAGUCUUCAGGUACAGAAGGACAUGCUGACAAUGCUAUUUUCUGUAAGUAGUAAGGUGGAUUUCUCAGUUUGAAGUAUAUUUGCUUAAUGAACUAAUGCGUGUGUGUGUGUAUUUAUAUGUAUCAUCUAAUUGGAAAAGACCAAUAAGUUGCUCAACUGUUACUCUGACUUUCUAAUUAUAUGCGCUUGUUCAUCGUGUUGGGACUUGGAGGUAAACUCUGUCUGGGGAUGGAGUAAAUCAUCCUCUUCCUAUGUAUAUUUAGACUUUGCUACAUGUAUUGAAUACACCUUCUGUUUGUCAUUUGUGUGUGUGAAGGAGUACUGAAAAGUUCCUGGCUUUAAGGGUAUCAUGAAAGGCCUUGCUGGAGGCCCAACCUUCGGAGUUCUUUUACAGGGCUUAUAAAAACUGAGGGACCACUGCAAUAAAUCUGUGAACCUGAGAGGGGAAUAUGUUGAAUAAAAUCAUAAUUAACUGAUCCUUCUGUAUUUUCUAUUACCUAAAGCUAGAAACCUUUCAGCACCCCCUCAUAUUUGUGUGUGUGUAUGUGUGUGUAUAUAUAUAUAUAUAUAUAUAUAUAUAUAUAUAAAUGACUGUACAUAUAUAUGUAUAUUUAUAUAUGUAAUUUGAUAAACCAGCUUUGUAUGUAAUGUGGUGUUGAUCACAGGUCUGUUGGUCACAUUACACAGACAUGUGUACCCUUCAUAUAAUUCUCAGGUAGUUUCAGCAUGACAGACGGUGUGAAAAGAUUGUACUUCUUGGGUUUUAGUAUAUGUAGCAUGGCUGAAUGAUUAAGAAAUUUGCUUUGCAACCACGAAUUCUCUGGGUUCAAUCCCAAUGCAUGGCAACUUGAGCAAAUGUCAUUUUUUUUAUAGUUCCAGGUUGAUCCUUACAUUGUAAAUGAAACUGGGCAGAUAGAAGCUGCAUAGUAGCCCAUAGGAUGGACACACACACAUGCACACACACACACACACACACACACACACACAAAAUGUAGUUUACAAACAUAUAUAUUUAGCUAUAUUUAUUUUAGUGUGUGUUUGUGUGUAUAUUUAUAAGCACAUGACUACUUAUAAAUACAACACCUACACAAUUUCUGCCUAUCAAAUUUCACUUGGAAGCUAUUUAUCAACUCAGGGCCAAAGCAAAAGACACUUACCCAAGAGGGCAUGUGGUUGCACUACAAAUUUUUAACUCUAUAACUAUUCCUGAAAUGUGUUAUUUUGUAUUUUCUGUGCUUUUUAGUGUUUGAUGAGUUUACAAGUUCAACACCUUAAUUCAGUAUUCUAACAUUUAAAUUACAAAUUAUAUUCAGAUGCUACUCUUCAUAGUAAUUGUUCAUGAUAAAGAGAGGGUGACAGCUUUAUCUCCUGUACUUGGUGCUUUGACUAAGGAUUUUCCCGGACCAAUACAGGAGCCUCAACAGACAUUUACCUUACUUGAAAUUGUUGCCUAUCAUGACAUCCUAUUACACUAAAAUUACAUUCUACCAUCUUCAAAAAGAAGGACUUUAAGGGUCAUCUGUUCCUAGUCACACAGUGCCUGAAAAAGACAAGACAGGCUGGUUACAGGUAGAAAUUUGUUGAUCACAGGUCUGUUGGUCACAACUAACAAAGGCAAAAUAACAAUGGUUAAGGAUUAUGAGCCAACAAAAGUAACUCUUAGGUUAUCAUUUAACUUGCUAGAAAUAGAAGCCAGUUUUCUUUCAAACUCUUCUUUCAGUCUUCAUAAUGGUUGAGCAUGUUAGAUAAUUCAGUCUUGGAUAUAUGACAUAAUAUUCUACAACAUACAUUUUAAGGUAAUAAGGAAAUGUUUCUUACUGAUGUGGUAGGGUUAACUUUGUGGGUCUCAUAACUGUCACUACAUCAGUUAUAAUGGUGAGGGUUCUAGCUGAUCUGAUUAAUGAAACAACCUGUCCCUGCUUGAGAUAUUAAUGUGCAAAUGGCUUAACAUAGUUCUCAGGGAGGGUCAGCUUGACACAGAAUGCAACAAGACUGACCCUUUGAAAUACAGGUACCACUUAAUUUUGUCAGCUAAGUGGAUUGGAGCAAUGUGAAAUAUAGUGUCUUGUUCUAGGACAUUAUACAUCACUGGAAAUUGAAAUCAUGACCUUAGCCAUUAAGCCAUGCUCCUUCAAUCGUGGGUCUCAUAACAAAUUCAUCUUAGCACCUUUUUUGAAGCAGUGUUUUGUGAUUGGAUGUCCUUCUUAGCAUCAACUCUUUCCUUUCUUUUUGUAUUGUAUGCAAGGAUGUAGUGUACCUACUCUAAAAUCAGGAUGUAUUUGUAUUUUUUCACACUGAGAUACACAUAGCAUACUAGGGUACACAUGAAAUACAUACCUCAUAAUAUGAUAUAUAUAAUGGCUGUGAGGUUAAGAAGUAUACUUCACAGUCAUAUGAUUUCAACUAUCAAGAGCUGUGGAUUUGGCGCAGGAGUGGCUGUGUGAUAAGUAGCUUGCUUACUAACCACAUGGUUCCAGGUUCAUUUUGAUUGCGUGGCACCUUGGGCAAGUGUCUUCUACUAUGGUCUUGGGCCGACUGAAGCCUUGUGAGUGGAUUUGGUAGACGGAAACUGAAAGAAGCCCAUCAUAUAUAUGUAUGUGUGUGUAUGUUUAUGUGUUUGUGUUUGUCCUCACAACAUCGCUUGACAACUGAUGGUGGUGUGCUUACGUUCCCGUAACUUAGCAGUUCGGCAAAAGAUACUGAUAGAAUAAGUACUAGGCUUACAAAAAAUAAGUCCUGGGGUCGAUUUGCUCGACUAAAGGCGGUGCUCCAGCAUGGCCACAGUCAAAUGCCUGAACAAGUAAAAGAGUAAAAGAGAGUCAUUUAGCUAUCUACUUACAUGACCAUUGGUCUAUUUGUUGAAGGCUAACUGGGGGCUAUGUGACUACAGAAAGAACAACAAUGAUGACAGCAACAAUGAUGGCAACAAGUAAAAAUUAUAACUUAAUGUUUAAGGCUAUAUUUGAUUCUUUCAGAUUUAUAUUUAAUUAAUUUUAAUUAAUUUACAUUCUGAAAUUUCCUUGAACAGAAUCAAUCAUGAAGAUAUUGAUUUUUGUUUUGUUAUUGCUCUAAGUGUAAUUUUAAUUAACUAAAGUUUAUUGGCUAACUACAUCAAAAAUGUUGGCGACACUUUAUUAUGAAAUUGUAUUCUUUGUACUCAGUACUUGAAUGUUCUCGUGCUGUAUUUUAUCUGUUUAGCUCCAGGUUCUAAUUGAGUAAGCAGACCUGUGGUGAAAGGCUUUGUAGCUGUAACCAUCCUGCCGUUUUGUAUUUCUGAUACUUAAUUUAUCAACCCCCACGAAAGGAUGAAAGCCAAAGUCGACCUCAGUGGAAUUUGAACUCAGAAUAUAAAGACAGAUAAAAUACCACAAGCAUUUCACCCGGUGUCCUAAUGAUUCUGCCAGAUUCCCACCUUUAAUAAUAAUAGUAAUAAUGAUAGUGUGUCUGAUUUAGGCACAAGUCCAGCAAUUUUGAGGGGAGGGGGAUGAUCCUUACCAUUGACCUCAGUACUUGACUAGUACUGUAUUUUAUCGACCCUAAAGAGGUGAAAGGCAAAGUUGACCUUGACAGAAUUUGAACCGCAGAGAUCAAAAGCAAAGGCACUUGUUCUGACAUCUGCCAGAUUUGCAAACAAGUUUGUGUAUGUAGAUGUGUGUGUAUUGAGGGUGAUUAUAAGUCCUUGUGCAACAGUAACGUCUGUCUGUGUUAUAUUGAAUGUUAAACUAUUUGUUUCUACUUUGUUUAAUGAUAGUAAGUGCAGCUUUCAAUGGAAAACUUUAGUGCCCUAUCACAUGCAUAUGAAAAGGGCUUUAAUUAACUCUUUUAACACUAACCAGCUUGAACCCUUUUUGUUCCAUGAAAGAAAGACUCAGUUUUAAAUUGUUCAUAUUUAAAUAAUGAAAACAACUCGCCAUAAUUUUGAAUAAAUCCUUUUAUUUAACUACAUUCCCAACACCAACUUAAUAAUGAAAAUUUAAUUAUUUUAGUAAAUUCUUCUGAAUUCUUGAUUAUUUUCAAAAUUAAUUAAAAAAUAUAAUGGCUGUGUAUUCGUGUAGGAGGUUUUGUUGUGGAAUGGUUAAUGUCCUGAAGGUUUCAUAAUCAUUCUAUGCUUUUGAGUUUGGUGGACAAUACGACUCUAUAGCUAGAAGGUCUGCAUACCAACUCUAUGUAGUUUCGGAUUCACUUCUGCUGCACAGGAUUUGGGGCGUGUGUGUUCUGCUAUAGCUGUGGCCUAACCAAAAUCCUGUGGUUAAAAUUUGGUCAACAAAAAUGUGGUGAAAGCCUGUUGGAGGCACCUUUCCUAUUUUGUAGGUAGUAGACUUAAUGUGAUGCCUGUUUAAAUACUACUGUUUAGCUUGUGUUGGGUCUGAAGAAAUCUUUCUCCUUCCUUCCACCAGUCUCUCAGAACCAUGGACACUGAAUCACCUCUUUUGCUUGUGCUGGCCUCUUUUGACUCUUUUGUUUGUGUUGGUCAUCGAACUGUAGUCAUACUCGAGCUCUGCCUCAAGGGCUUUAGUUGAUUAUAAUAGCUCCAAUUCUACUUAUAAAGUCUGGUACUUAGUGAUUUCUGUUUGUUGAACCACUAAAUUACAGGAUGUAAACAAAAACACCGUCUUUUCAAGUUGUGUGAAUUUAUAUCUAUUAUGUAUAUAUAUAUAUGGUUCAAAUGAACAGAAAACAUAAGACAGAGAUAGAUAUGGGAACAACAAGCAGGUGUAUUAGUCUUUACAUUUCAAACCUAUGCUCUUUGACAGAAAGGAAUGAGAGGGAAAAAAAUGGCCAGAGAGAGAGGAGAAGAAAGAAAAAAAAAAUGCACACGCACAUGCAUACACACAUACACACACACACACACACACACACACACUAUAUGACUAUGCUUUAGGUCUGCACUUAUGAUCAUAAGAUUGUUGUUUCAAUUCCUUGACCAAGUGAUGUAUUGUAUUCUUGAGCAAAACAAUUUAUUUCACAUUGCCCUACUCCACUUAGUUGCUAAAGAUUAAAAAAAUCUUGUGAUGGAUUGGCAUCCUGUCAAGGUGUGUAUGUGCAUGUGGGGGGGGUGGUGGAAUAUAUACUCUACAGAAUCUGGGAAACCAGCCUUAUAAGCCUACAUCUUGAGAAGGACCUUUAACCCUUUUGAUUAUACUAUAUGUAUAUAGAUGCAAGCGUGACUGUGUGGUAAGUAGUUUGCUUACCAACCAUGUGGUCCCAGGUUCAGUACUACUGCAUGGCACCGUGUUUUCUACUAUAGCCUCGGGUUGACCAAAGCCUUGUGAGUGGAUUUGGUAGACAGAAACUGAAAAUAAGGCUGUUGUCUAUAUAUAUAUAUAUGUGUGUGUUUGUUCCCCCACCAUUACUUGACAACCAAUGUUUGUAUGUUUACAUCCCUGUAACUUAGCAGUUCAGCAAAAGAGACUGAUAGAAUAAGUAGUAGGCUUACAAAGAAUAAGUCCUGGGGUUGAUUUGUUUGACUAAAGGUGGUGCUCCAGCAUGGCUGCAGUCAACUGACUGAAACAAGUAAAAGAAUAUAUAUAUAUAUAUAUAUAUAUAUAUAUAUUGUGUGUGUAUGUGUUUAUGUGUACCCUUGUUUAGACAUCACUUGAUGGUUGUAAAUGAGCAUUAUUGUCAUACAAGCAAGGCUGUUCAUUUUCAGUCUUCCAUGAAACAAAAAAACAAAAAAACAUGUGUAGCUAUGGGAAAAUAACUUGCUUGGAAACAGGUGAGGGUUGGCUACAGGUAGGGUAUCUGACUGUAGCAGAUCUGCCUCAAAAAAUUCCAUCUGAGCAAUGCAAGCAUGGAAAAGUGGACAUUAAAUGAUGAGGCUAUCCCAAACUCCUGCACAUUUUUCACCUACCGGUUUCACUUAUGCAAACUAUUAGCAGCCUGAGACUGUAAUAGCUUUUGUCCCAAGAUGUUACACAGCGAGAACAAAAAGGAAAGGUUCCUAUAUGACUUUCACAUUGUUUAUAAACAAAGCAACCUAUUAUUACCCUCUCCCAUUCUCUACAUAUUUAGCUUGCUGCUUACUCUAUUACAUUGAUUACUGUAACAUUGCUGUGUGUGUGUAUGUUUAUUUGUACUAGUGUGUAUAUAUUUAUGUAUGUAUGCGUUUCUGUGUAUGUGGUGGUGGUGUAAAACUUAACACAUCUUUAUAAUGUCCUUAUACAAAGUUUAGCUUACAUCCAUUCAAUACAGUUGUGUUCUUUUCCACCUACAUUGUGAUUUCUUCAACCAUCUCUUUUUUUUUUUUUUCUUACAAAGAAAUAAACAAACUCACAUGCAGAUCAUGCAUGAAUGCUUAUUUUUCUUGGAAAGUCUUCCUGCAUCUUGGUUCUAUUCUACUGAGCAUUAAUUACUAUCACUUGAGAUUUCAAUAUUGGACAGAGAACACCUAAAAUAACUACUGUGAAAUAGAUUGAUUAAAGAAACAUUAUCCGAAGCUUCAUUCAUUAUUGCUUUUAUUUAAUUAAUUUUUUUUUUCUAAUCUGUAUAUUUUUUGUUCUAUUUUUAUUGAAUUUUCCAUUUAGAUGUGUGUGUGUAUGUGUGCAUAUAUAUAUAUAUAUAUAUAUAUAUAUAUAUAUUUCUUUUCCUUUUGGUUUCUGUCUCAUUUCCUUGCAAUUUUUCUUUGGUUUUGGCAUCUUUUACAUUCUUUAUUUUGAUUCAUUAUUGAUUGUCUCUAGGUUAUGUGUAAUAUUUAUUCCAAUGUGAAACACUACAUCUUUUGGAAGCCUCAAUCUGCUGAAAAAUAACUGCUAAACACUGCUUAAAAUCGUACUCCACUGUCUCAAAUUGUUGGACACACUGGAUUAUGUAGUCCUAGAUACACAAUCAUAGAGAAUAAAAUAACCAUCUAUGUAUCAUAUUUAAUGCAUAUGCCCUGCUGACAGGCACAUUACUGCAGUUUUUGUCUGAGAUAAUAUCUCUUAUAGAUGUGCUGUAUUAAAAACUCAGUACAUAUUGGAAGAAGAUGAAAAUUCUUCCCAGCAGUGUCCAGUGAAAAUACAAGAUACAUUUCAGCCUUGUUAAGUCUUGUCAGUGAUGUGUAGUGACAGCCAGCUACAUGCCGAGAUGAGAUUUGUCACAUCUGAUUUAGGAAACAGUGAAUAAAGCAUUCACUGGUAUUGUGAACAGCUGCUGGGCUGAAUAAAUAAUUUGGUGUAUGUUAAACAGCUUAUCUCAGAUGAAAACUGCAGUAACUUUCCUGUUAGCAGUGAUUUUUUUUACAUUAAGUAUGACACAGAGAUGGCUAUUUUAAUGUAAUACCACUUCAGUUGCAUAUACCAGAAAUAAAACAUUUUGUUCUCUCUCAAACUGUAUAUGUCCUACUUUUAGGAAAGAUAUACCAUUUCCAUGCAUGAAUAAAAGGCAGCUAAAAGGAUAGCCCUCAGGAAAAGAAUUUGACCAUAAAAUACUACUUCGGAAAGGAAAUCAUGAUGAGUACAAUCAUUUGCAUAGCUGGGGUAGGGGAAGUCCACCCUGGGCGGCACUUUUGGGUCUGCUAUAAGCAAUAUAUGUCUUUUUGUGGGGUCCAGGGGCAAUAAACGGAAGGGCCACCCUGGGUGGCACACACUUUAACUAUGCUAGUGAGUACAAUACAAAAUGAGGAAGACUGUCAUAGGUCCUACAAAGCUAAUUCCUGCCUUACAAAGGAAAAUAGCCAAAAAUAUUUGUUUUGUUGCUUUCUCAGACAGAGAGUUUAUCCUGAAUUACCAGAUUUCUCUUUUCCCCUGCUGUAUAUGAAUUCAUCCAAAUUGACGAAAUUCCUUGUGUCAUUGUUACUAUCAUAGGCCACUACAAGUUUCCUCUGACAUUUAAAAAUUUUUUUAUUAUUAGACUGAAUAAAAUACUGGAUGAUCUUUUCAUUACUGGUUAGGACUGAGAAUGAUCCUUCAAACCCAAAUUGAAUACAUCUAUUGUUGCAUGUCAAGAGUCUGGUUAUUAUGUUGAGAUACAGUUUAUUACUAGCUAAGAUUGAAUAAUGUUUCAAAGCUGCUUUCAACCUAAACAACAACCAACAUUCUUGAAACUGGAACCAUGAAUAUUGCAUCAGAAUAUUUCUCAGGUGUCAUGUUAACAAUCAAGAUAACUGACUAACGUUUCUCUAAAAUGAUUUCAUUUUCUUUUAUCUUUGCAGCAGACUUGCUGUGGUAAUAUUCUUAAAUUAGCUCUGAACAGCUUCAGUUACUUCUGCCGUAUUAGCAUAAUUUUGCUACAGAAAAAUUAAAUUAGAAAUCACUAAUUCUAUUUUAAACUCAUUUCUUUGUUGUCUGAGUAGAUCUUUAAAAAUAAAAUUUUAUCAUUUUUAUUGAUAUAUUGAUGAUGUUUUCUGCUGUGAAGAUGAAGUGUCAAAAUUCAGUGUAGCUUAUUUUUUCAGUGCUGCUGCAACCAGCAUAUAAUACAGAUCACACAGAAAGUACUAGAGCUUUCUUCUAAAAGCUAUCAGUUGUAGCUGUUUGUUCAGUAUGUAAUCUGUGUAAACUUAUAGCUAAGUGUAGGCUAUCAUCAUAAUAAUAAUUAUUAAUCAGUUAAAAUUAUAACUGCAUUUGUAACUACAGUCUAACAAAAAGAAAAAAAAAAGAUUCCCAACCACUAUUGUGGAAUAUACUCUUGUAGACUGACAGAGACAUAGAAGCAAGCUGCUUAUACAUGGUAAUCAAAGAUUUACAUGAUCUCUGAUAGAUAUUUUGAUCUGUGCAAACAUUUCUCUGAAGGAAGUUGAAGAGCUAUAAAAAUUCAAGAAAUAGAAAUAAGAUGUUAAGCAUGAGAGUAAGGAUGAUGAUCAUCAUCAUUGUUUAACGUCUGCCUUCCAUGCUGGUAUGGGUGGGAACAGUAGUAUUUAGUAUGAUGAAAAAAAUUCUAAGGUCUAUACUAGAUCUCUUCCUACCCUUUCUCCCCCACUCUCUCUCUCCUCUCUCUCUCACACACAGUUUAAAAGAAAUUUAGUAGGCAUAGCACACAUUCUGCUUAAUAAUUUCAAUGUAACUACAAAACUCUUAAAGUACAUAUCAUCAUACAAGUGAUUUUUUUCAGUAAAUUAGUACUACACAACAUGUUCUCUACAAAAAUUACUUCUAUUAUUAUAAAUGCUUUCAUAACAAGUUGGAAACUUGAAAAUCCUUACUGUAGUAUAUGUUAGAGUUUAAGUAUUUUUACUUUUAUUUCUAAAAUUUUAUUCCAAUUUAAAAACUUCUCUACAAAAAAAAAAAAGUAUGUAAGAUUCUAGAACCAAUAUUUUUGUUAAAUACUAUUUCAUUAUAUCCCACAUUUGUAGGUGGCAAACUGGCAGAGUCUUUAGCUUAGCUUAGCUGCAUUUCAUCAUUCUUCACAUUCUGAGUUCAAAUUCUGCCAAGGCUGACAUUGCCUUUUAUCUUUUUGUGGGGGUUGAUAAAAUUAGUACCAGUUGAGCACUGGGGUCAGUGUAAUCAGCCAGACCCCCUCCUAUGAACUUGCUGGCUUUGUGUCAAAAUUUGAAACCAAUGUAUCCCACUUAUAUUCUUUUACAUCUCUCCCUGUCAGUUGACUUCAACACACAUACACAUAUUUCAACCCUUUUGUUACUGUAUUUAUUUUGAGAUGCUUUGUGUUUCUUUCAAUUACUUUAAAUAUAAUAAAGAAUUUAGCAAAAUAACUUGGUUAUCAUUCAGCUAGUGUUAGGAACAUAAAUUAUGACUAAGGUUUGGUGGAAGAUUUUAAUUCAAAACUUAUGAAAACAAGACAAUUGUACUACAAAGCCAGAGCCGGUUUCAGCCGGGUUGGUAAUGAAAGGGUUAACUUACAACCAACUACAAACUAAUUACUCAAUCACAUGGCUGAGUGCCUUGAUCUUUUGUUAUAGUCAUUAAAUGAUCAGAAAAUCUUUAAAUGACUCACAAAUUCAAAUGACUCAAAUUCUUACAAUUUCUGUUUUAUAUUAAUUUUUAAAAAAAGUCUAAGAAAUAUGUGUUAUAUUUUAUAAUCAGCUUUCCUGAUAAAUUAUUUACUAUUUCAAUGAAUCUCACUUUAUGUUUCAAUAAUCCUACCAUUACUACUACUUCUUUAAUACAACAGUUUCCAUUUCCCUGAUUCAUCAUAAUUGUCAGUUUUCCCUCCUACUGUCUUUGCAAUGACAGCUAUCUUCUGAUUUACAACUUGUUUACAUCUACAUAGUAAAAUCUGUGUUAAGUAUGGCAGUCAUAUUUUCUUGCUUGUUUUUUUUUUUUUUUCUUAUAGUACAGAAAAACAAUCUUCUAUGAGUGUUGGACUCAUUAGUUUAACCCUCCUUUUCCAUCCAACAGACAACACCUUAGGCAAGUGUCUACCACUAGAUUCAAAACCUAUUAGUUGAAACUGCAGAAAUCUUGUUAUAUGUAUAAUUGAUGAAACUUAACAGGCUUCACGGUUUGAGACUAAAAAAAAAGUUAGGUCUAUGAUCUUGUUUAACUCCUGGCCAGCUGUGAUUGACUUGGCGUUCCAGCUUUGUACAUCUCAUUUUCUCUCAGACAGUCUCUCUUGAACUACAUUUUUAUUAUCCAAUGUGUUAAUUUUUAAGAUAGUAGGUUUUAGUAUAAAGGAGUUUUGGCUACAAUUUCUAGCAGGUUGAGCAGCCUCAUAAAAACUUUGUCACUAGUUUGUAAGGAGUUUUCUUUUUUAUGUGUUUGGAGGAAUUGAUUGGACUAAAGUUAGGAUAAUCUGAAUAGAACAUGUCUUAUCAACGACACCUCUAGUAUGAGAUAUUGCUAAAUUUUACAAAAUAAACCAGUGUCAGGAAGAGCAUCCAACCAUAGAAACCAUGCUGAAACAGACACUGCAGCUCAUCACAGUCAUUUUAUUCACUGGAUUCUGUCAAAACUGUUUAACCUAAGCUAACAUGGAAGAUAGAUAUUAAAUAGAUGAUGAUGUUGAUGAUCAUGUUAAUGGUGAACUAACCUUGUGUGUCAUGAGAAGAAAGUUGAAAUGUUUAGGGGCAGGGACAUCAUCAAAGUAUAGAUGUGUUUGAAGGGUUAAUUUAUGGUUACAGGUAUAAGGAAGGUGUAAAGGAGAAGACCUGGUAGUAUUGUUGCUACACACAAAAGCAUCUUAGACUAUAUCCAAAAAGGGGUCUUUUAACUGAAAGGUAAAGAUGCACUCAUUGAUCUACACCAACCACCAAGCUUUUGCUACUGACAAGAAGAGUUAAUCUCUUGUGAGUACCUUUACCAAAAUCUUUAACUUUGUGUUUAGUUGAGUGAUGGGUCUCUUAUUGUCAACUACAUAUACCUUGUAUGGGCUUAUCUUAGCAAUGUCACCACUUCUCAGUUCUAUCCAGGUCUAGAAAUAUCCUCUUUAUCUGGAGAUUUACCCCUUUUCAGAACAGUGCCACUUCAUCAAUCUGGAAUGAUUGCAUGAAACAGAAAUCUUGUAGUAAUUCAAAAGGAGGGAUUAUAAAUUUAUUUGGGUUUAUUUGGAGUAGUCUUUUUCUCAGGAAUUCACUUUAUGCCACAACCUCUCAUGAUAGCAUUUCUGUAUCCCACUUUGUAUAACUUUUCUUACAAUGAUAGCCAAAGUUUCUAUAUUCUAAAUAUCAGAAAAAUUUGUUCACAGUGAGGAGCAAUAUUUAGGGUGAAAACAUUGAUCAUGUGACUAUAUCACCAACAUUGUUAUUUUAAUGUUCACUUUUCCAUGCUUGUAUGGGUCAGACAGUUUAUUGAGGCAGAUUUUCUAUGGCCAGAAACCCUUCAUAUGGCCAGCCUUAAUAUGUUGCUAAGAAAGGUAAUAUUUACCUUUGGCUAGACAUAUUUUUGCAUAAUAUUGGAAAUGGCUUACUUGGCUUGUGUGACGGUAUUAUUCAUUUAUAACUACUAUACAACGUCAACAUACACGUGCACACGAGUGUACAACAAAUGUCUUUCGGUUUCUCUGUCGGUUCCAUACAUAAAUCUUUGUUUGACCUGGGGCUGUAGUGGAAGACACAUGUCUAAGAUGUGUGGCUGGGAAGCAAACUUCUUCACUCCGCAGCAAUGCCCAUGAUCAUAUAUAGAAUCUUAUUUUAUAUUUUAAGAAGUAAAGUUGAUUCAGCUCCAAGCAUCAUCAACAAUAACACAUGGAGCAACUAUUGUUAUAUUGUUUAGCUAUAGUUCUUCACUUCUUGAGGAGAUCUAUGAUUAAGGUGGUCUGUUUUUACUUUUUAAUUUUUUUUGUCUUGGGCAAGUGUCUUCUACAACAGCCUUGGGCCAACCUUGUGAGUGAAUUUGGUUGACAGAAACUGAAAGAAGCUCAUUGUAUCUGUGGAUGUAGGGUGUAUGGAUGCAUGCAUGCAUAUGUGUGUGUGUGUGUGUGUGUGUGUGUGUCUUUUUGUCUGUUUGUCCCACACCACCAUUUGACAACCAGUGUUGGUGUGUUUACAUUCCUAUAACUUAGUAGUUUGGCAAAAGAGACUGAUAUAAUUAGUACCAGGCUUAAAAAAGCAGUAUUAAGAUUGAUUCAGUUGGCUAAAAAUUCUUCAAGCAUUGCUGCAUAGCUGCUGGCUAAUGACUGAAAAAAGUAAAGGUAAAGGAGAGUGUGUAUCAAGUGCUAAAAAUAGUUGGGUGAGUUUUAAGGGAGAUUUGGUGGCUAUUUUCAUUUUAGCUGAUAUCUAGUGACCUUGCAAAAAUUUCUUUAUUUGCUCAUUUGUUUUGUUAUUGUUGUUUUGUUCUGUGUAUAAUUGUAUUUGCGUCAAAUGGAAUCUUCAGGUUACAUUGAGAUAAUCUCAGGUUAGUGAAACCUCUUUCAGAAAUCUUUUUUAAUGCCAGUCAUGUGUAUUAAGCUUGAACACAUUGAAUAGUAUAAAAAUAUCUUAUCACACUUGAAGUUAUUGCAUAUUUGGAAUUUUAUAAAGUAAUUAUUUUUCUAAAUAUAGUUUUAUAUAAAAAAAAAGAGUAUUAUGUUUUGAUAAUUUAUAUCUUCAAAAAUAUAUUAGAAAAAAAAAAAAAAUGAAAUGAAAGAAGUUUUCUUCCUCAGUUCAGUAUAUUAGUUUCAUAGAAAAUAUUACAAUCUGAUAAAAGUUUUUAUUCUCAGAGAAAAAAAAACAUAACAACUAUGAUCGAGAGCAUUUAAUUUAAUCUGCAUCUAUCUUAGACCACAUAAUUCAAUAUAUUUUCUUUUCUUUUUAAAAAAAAGAGAGUAGGUAUGAUUUGAGAGAAAUUUGGCUGUUAUUUUUAGCAGGUAAAAUAACUAUGUAGAGGCUUCCUUCUUACAUUGGUCAAAAUGGUUUUCUUAACAUUAAAAAUGGAUAUUGCCAAUAUACCAGAAUGACAGAAAUUCUAAUAUUUUAGGGAAAGGAAAUUCUUCAUAGAACUUUUUAUCAAACAAGUUGACCCUAGUACUUAUUUUAAGUAUUUUCAUUCUCCAGGUCUCUUUUGCUGAACUGCUAGGUUAUGAGACAUAAACAAACCACUGUUGGUUUCCAACUGAUAUUGGGGGAUAAACACAGGUACAAAGACAUACAUGCAUACAUCAUCAUCAUCAUUGUUUAACGUCCAUUUUCCAUGCUAGCAUGGGUUUGACGGUUCGACCAGGGUCUGGGAAGCCAGGAGGCUGCGCUGGGCUCCAAUAAAUAUAAAUAUAUUUGAUGGGCUUCCACACAAUUUCUGUCUACCAAAUUCAUUCACAAGACUUUGAUUGACCUGGUGCUGUGCAGUGGGACUGAACCCAAAACCAUAUGGGUGCAAAAUGAACUUCAUAAUGACACAGCUAUGCCUGGAUAACAUCUUAUCAAAAUAAUCUCAGAAAAAAAGAUCUCUGUCUGAGAUAGAAGAUGGAACCCCUGUGGUCAUGAAUGCCCAUGGGGUUGCACUUACAAAGUUCCCCUCUGAGGCACAAGUCCAGACAAGGUUGUUUAUGGAAGACCAGCAGUUGCCCAUGCAUACCAGCUUUUCCUCUCCUUACCUCCAAUGUUAUCCAAGGGAAAGGCAAAAGUGGAUACAGCUUGACCCCAGUGAUGUCACAACUCAUUUCUGCAGCUGAGUGAAUUGAAGCAAUCUGAAAUAAAGUGUCUUGCUCAAGAACACAAUACACAGCCCGGUCCAGGAAUCAAAUUCACUACCUCAUGAUUGUGGGCCCGACACUCAAACCAUUAAGCUAUGUGCCUUCAUGUGAUAUAUAGUAAAAGUGGGUGUAAACAUACCUAUAGUGACCCAUGAUGUUUUAUUCAGUUAAAAUUACGUAUGUAAUGAGAAUGUAUCAUUGACUUAAUGACUAAUUCUAGGAAAGGCAGAAUUAGUCUUGAAGUCAAUGACAAGAAAAGGAAGGAGACAACAGUGGAAUUUAAAUUGAUUUAUAUUGUCUCUUGUGACAUUCUUUAACUAGUCUUAAUCUUUGUUAAUGCUUUUGAUACGAAUCCACUUAAACCUGUCUUUUGUUCUCCGAAACAAAUUUCCUCCCUGUUUUAAUGUGAUCCAACUUAAAACCUUACAUUUAAAUUUUUUAUGUUAAUUUAUGUUCUUAACACCUGACUAAUAAUGACUAAGUUUUUUUACUAAGUUCUUCAUUAUUUUCAAAGUUAAUUGAAACAAAGGCCAUAUAUUUUAAUAUGAAUGUGAUAAUGAAAAAGUUAAUAUUCUAUUACUAUUGAGCAAUAAUAGACAACGGUGCACCACAUGAAAUACACUGACAUAAAAGUAGUUGAUUGCUAUUGACAAUUUGCAUUUUCUUCAUUAUCAUCAUCAUCAUCAUCAUCAUUGACAUCAUCUCAUAUGUGAGAGAAAAAGAGAGAGUGAGAGAGAUCAUAUUUUGACAUUUCAGCCAAUAUAUCACUCCUACGUCUUUGACAAAGAAUUAAAAGUGUAUCUUUUAUUAUGGUGGUUUUGUUAUAUUUCUUUUAUCUUCUGCUUGUUUCAGUCGUUGGACUGUGGCCAUGCUGGGGCACUGCUUUGAAAGGUUUUAAUUGAACAAAUCAAUCCCGGUACUUGUUAUUAUUUUUUUUUAAGUGUGAUAUUUAUGCUGUUGGUCUCAUUUGCUGAAGCACUGAAUUAAGGGGAUACAAACAAACUAACACUGGUUGUCAAGCAGUGAUUGGAGAGUGUGACACAGACAGGAACACACACACACACACACACACACACACACAUAUACACACACAUACACACUAGUCUUCCCAGUUUCUAUCUCUGCAAUUCACUCACAAGUCAUUGAGUAGUCUGGAGCUAUAGUAGAAGACACUUGUCCAAGGUGCUGCACAGCAAGGAAGAUACAUGAUUCAAAAUGAGCUAAUUAUCUAUGCAACCAUGCCUGCACCUAUAAACAGGUUUUUUUAAUCUAUUCAAGCGCAAUCCCAAAUAUCAAAUUGAGAUAAGAAUUGUAUAAACAUUGUUUCUUCCAAAUUUCAUCACCCAUUUCUCCACAAUCAUUGUUACUUUAUAUCUUCAACAUACAUGUUUGCGAAACAGUGAUUUUGUUACUCAUACUUGUAUCAGCUUGCUUCUCGAAACUAAAAAGUACAGAGUAAUAUCCAUCUAAAUUUAGCCUGACACCGAAGCUUAUGCCGGCAGGGUUGUUUUGGCAGUUUGAAACAAGUAUCAACAUUAUUGGAGUUUGCUGUGUUUUACAGGUCAUAAAGUAUCACUUACCUCUAAUUCCCAAGAUGUUGAUGUAAAAUAAUGGGGCAGUUACUCUAUUAAAGUGUAAAGUAAACUGUGCCAGGCAUGAGAGGAAAUACGCUUAUGACACUGUAUUGGCACCAGUAACUAUUAUCAGGUUGCCAAACUUGUACCAUUAUGUAAAUGAAUUGUGGAGUUGUGCUGACUUAGGGUUGGGAGGGCAUGUCAUUGAUGAGGUUGUGAAUGGUGAUGAAAGGACUUUAACAAACCCUGCUUGAUUGACUAAAUGAUGAAAGGACUUUGACAAACCCUGAUUGGUUGAUUGAUUAAAUGAUUAAUCAAACUGUUUUACUUAACUGGUUAAAUGUUAGCAAAUUGAUUAAUAAUAAUAAUAGUAAAUAAAAUAAUAAUAAUAAUAGUAAAUAAAAUAAUAAUAAUAAUAGUAAAUAAAAUAAUAAUAAAUAAAAUAAUAAUAAUAAAUAAAAUAAUAAUAAUAAAUAAAAUAAUAAUAAUAAUAAUGAAUAUAAUAAUAAUAAUAAUAAUAAUAAUGAAUAUAAUAAUAAUAAUAAUGAUAAAAGAAGUGAAAUAGAAUUUGUGUGAAAUUAUUGGCAUAAUGAUCCACCCAGGAUACAACUAAAUCUGUUUCAACACAAGUUCACAUCAAGAGUCUUACAAACCAAAUACAAAAAUGAAAUAUUUAAUAAGUAACAUUCUGCUAUUUUACCUUAGCAUCUUGGGAAGAAAAGUGAUUGGUUUGAUACUAAUCUAAAUGACUCCAUAUAUUCAUUUAUCCAUUACCAACAUUGUAUUGGUUCUCUAAAGUUUCAAGACGACAUCUCUUACCAGUUUUACAAAAAGUUAAGGGGUCCAUAUUGCCUUGUGGCCACUGUUUAGUUUGUGCCUAUGAGUAAUGCUGGUACCACAAUGAAAUGCACCCAGUUCACUCUAUAAAGUUACAGGCAAAAAGAAUGGUGAUGAUGUAGGGUUUAGAAUACCAUUUUCUUAAUCAUCUUAGUGAUAUGGCAAUCUUUUGAGUACUGGUGCCAUAAAACGUACCCAGUACACUCUGCAAAGUGGUCUGUGAUAGGAAAGACAUAUGGCUAUAGAAAACAAAACAAAAAUGAAAUAUUUAUGUUUCACAAAAGCAAAACAUAAAUGCGGUAUUUUCAUCCAUCUUGGAGGGCUGAAGCUCCAGUUAAGAACUGGCUCAGGUUAUGACAACUUGUUCAGUUGUAGCACAGAAAGUAGAUAGAAAAUAAUGGGGGGUGUGUGUAUAAUAUAUAUCUUUUAUUUUCUUAUACGUGUUUCAGUCAUUAGACUGUGGCCAUGCUGGGGCACUGCCUUGAAUUUUUAGUCGAAUGAAUCAACCCCAGUACUAAAUUUUUUUUGCUAAACCUAGUACUUAUUCUAUCGAUAUCUUUUGUCAAACCUCUAAGUUAUAGAGAUGUAAACACACCAACACCAGUUGCCAAGCAAUGGUUGGGCACAAACAUGAGCACAAAGACACACAGAUAAAAAUAUAAAUAUAUUACGGACUUCUUCGAGAUUCUGUAUAACAAAUCCACUCAGAAGGUGCCAUGCAGUGAGACUGAACCUGGAACCAUGUGGUUAGGAAGCAAGCUUCUUACCACACACACAUGCGCACACACACACACAUACAUGAGAGUGAGAGAAAUGAUUUUGUAUGUACAUUUAGGUAACUGGACCAUAUACUCUUUUGUUGGCCAAUUUAGGAAUAUAACAUUAGUAAACAGUAAUAUACUAAGGAUAAUGUUCGCAUUGAUCAUAGAUGUUUUGUACUGACAUCAAUAACUCAAUAAAGGUUAAUUGAAAGGUGAUUUUUCUAUCAAAGAGAUUUUAGUCGGACAACUACAUAUGCAAACAAUUUAUGAGCUGCUAUUAUCAGGAGACAUUCUAUAGUGGAGUAGUCUCUAAAUGGAAGUUUUUCUUUCUUCUUUAACAAUUCAUUACAAAUAAUUUUCUAUGAAAUGCUGUUCUAUUCAGAAAUAUUAAUUUUCUCUUCUUUAGAAACUUGAAAUAUUUCUCGUAUCACUUAUCAUGCUAUGUAUGUUGGUAUCAUUAUAUUAUAAAUGCUUCUGAGGAAAUUCUUUGAAAUACUUGUCACCUAAUAUCAUAUAAAAAGUACUCGUGAAACACACACACACACACACACACACACACACACACACUCUCUCUCUCUCUCUCUCUCUCUCUCUCUCUCUUUUACUCUUUCAUGCUCUCACACUAGACUUCUCUCUCUUUCCAUCUUCCUCUCUCUCUCAUACCCUUGCUUUCUGUUUCUCUCACUCUACCCCCACUUUUCUCAAUGUGUAUUUAAAAGUCUGCAUGUGUCUCUCUCUUUCUCUCUCUCUCUCUCUGAUCCUUGCUUUCUCUUUCUGUCACUCUCACUUCUCUCUACGUAUAUCUAACUCAGUCUGUCUGAGUCUCUUCUCUUCUCUUUACUCGUCUCUGUUCUACCUCUCUCUAUUUUAAUAUCCAGUUAGUGAAAGAAGAGAGAGAGAAACAAAGUCUUAAAACCAGAUUAAAUAUCUGAAGUAUAUUACAUAAAAGUAAAUUAUUUGAAGCAUUUUCUUAUUUUUUUUUUUUCUCAAACAAUACUUUCUUGUUGCUGACAUUAGUAUUUGCAAUGUUCAGCAUGAAAUACCAAUAAGACUUUCUUCUCAGAUGUAAGUAGCUUUAAGCAAAUAGAAUGCUAUCACAAGACAGCAUGCUAUUUGUCCGGUAUACUUUCUCAUAUAUCACGAGGAUUAUAACUUUCUUGUCAUGUCAUGCAAUAUCUUCAAAUAUAUUAUUUAGUUAUAAAACCUAAUUUCAUUUGGAAACAUUCUUAAAUAUUUUACAUGCUUCUAGCUAAUCAAGAUUUUAAUAUCGUCUUUUAUCUAACAAUGAUAUUUAAUUUAUAGUUGUUGUGUUUUUUUUGCUUUUAAAAUUCUAUUCAUAAUUCAUUAUAAUUCAUAUAACUUCUUUUGAUGAAUAGUUGUUUUUUAAUGACUUAGUCAAAGGAGAUAUAUGAAAGGCUAGUGGCUUUGUGGCUAGUGGCGCAAUGGCCCAGUGGUUAGGGCAGCGGACUUGUGGUCGGAGGAUCGCGGUUUCGAUUCCUAGACCAGGCGUUGUGUGUGUUUAUUGAGCAAAGACACCUAAAGCUCCAUGAGGGUCCGGCAGGGGGUGAUGGUGACUCCUGUUGUACUCUUUUGUCCCAAAUUUCUCUCACUCUUUCUUCCUGUUUCUUGAGUAAUGCUGCAAUGGACUGGCGUCCCGUCCAGCUGGGGGGAACACAUAAGCCCGGGAAACCGGGCCCAUGGGCAUGGCUUGGCUUGAAAAGGGUGCAUAAAUAAAAAAAAAAGUGGCUUUGUAGUUAGGUUGUUUGGCUCACAAUCAUAAUGCCAUAGUCAUUUCCUGAAUUGGACGGCACAUCAUGCCCUUGAGCAAGGUUAUGCAGCUCUCUCUCCCCAUCCAUCUGUCACACCUGUUAUACACUGUUGGGUUUAAAAGGGUGGAAGAAAUGAGAGCAUGUCUGUGUUUGUUCAUGGUUGUAGAAUCACCUAAAACAAUUAAUGAAAGCAUGGUACUUGUUACCAAGCCAUACUCAGCUUCUAGUGAUGACUGGCUCUUACCGUCAAGGGAGGAAGGAAAGUUUCCAUGUUCCUUUUCAAGAUCUCUCUGAAUUGUAGGAGGAAGUUGCCUUCAGACUAGAGUCUUGGCUUGGAUGCUUGCUUGAGUACUUAUAACCAAAUCCACAGAGUGGAGUUGGUUAACAGUACUCAAGAGCCAGGUGUUGGCAUUAAGCUUAGUUUAUUACCCCCAAACUGGAGCAAUCACUUCUAAGGUAUUUUGACUUUUGAACAAUUUUUGUGAACCAAAUUUCACUUGUGAGGCUUUGAUAUACCUAAAAGCUAUAGUAGAAAACUAUGAUAGAAGGCUGUUACAAAAAACCACUUGCUGAAGACACCAUGGAGUAGGAUUGAACCUAAGACACAAGGUUGCAAAGUAAACUUCUUGACCAUGCAGUUGCUUCUACAGCCAUUAAUUAUCAUCCUCCUCAUCAUUGUAAUAUUUAAACCACAAUAAUUUAACACUACUCAUCACAUACCUUAAAUGAUACUAUCAUUCCUUAAUACCGGUUCCCAUAUGCUGCUCAUAACUGCACUCGGUCUGCUUAGGAAGUUGUUGUAUCCUAGCAUAUGUGCUGCUUCUUUUAGUUUUUGUAUUUUCCAGUGGUGUUCUCUGUCUAUUAUUUUAACUUCAUCCCACAGAGGGAGGUGGUCUCCAUUUUUCCAUACAUGAUCAGCUAUACCUGAUUUAUCAAUAUCUCCUUGUGUCACAGCUUUGCGAGGUUUGUCUACCCUUACUUUGAGGGGGCGGCAUGUUUCACCUUUGUAUAACCUACCACAGCUGCAUGGGAUGGAGCACACACAGUCUUUGGUCAUAUUCUCUUCUGUUGGUGGUUUUACUCGAAGGAGAUAUUUGUGAAGUGUUGUAUUACUCUUGAAUACUAUCCUGAUGUUAUAUGGGCUGCAUAUCUUUUCGGAGAGGCCUUUCACAUAGGGUAGACAGACUGUGGACAGUUUAUUUGCCUCAUCCUCUCUCUUCUUCAUAAUUGGAGUGGAUAGUGAACUUUUGGGGUACUUGUUGCUUAACAGAUCGUUAUUGAGCUUGAUCAUUUCUUCGUGGUGUGUAUCAUGAUCGCUACUUAUAUUCUUUGCACGAUGUUUGAGGCAUUGAGCAAUCCCUCACUUUACACUGUAUGGAUGUUGGGAAUUGAAGUUGAGGUAUUGUCCAGUAAAGUUUGGCUUGUGGUAUACGGAUGUCAUGAAUCCAUACUUGAUGCGUGUUAUUAAUAAGUCCAGGAAUGCCAGCUGAUUGUCUUUUUCCUUUUCCAUUGUGAAUUGUAUGGAUGAGAACCUUAGGAAUGAGAACCCAGAUCUGAAAUUUCCCCAAGACAGCUGAAGAAGGAGGGUAUAUUAGCCAAAACAUUGCGUUAACAACAAACAAGAUGAAGACAAAUAUCCGUCAAAUGUAAACAAUGUAAGAAAAAAUUAAGUUGUAGAAAAAAAAAAGAAAAAACUCAAAGGGAGGUGGGGGGGGUCGAUAAAGUAAAAUAAAAUUACUUGCUUCCCCAAAAGCAAAAACUAAAAGGGGAGAUGUUGUAGUGGAAAUGGUCCCCACCCCAUGGGAUAAGUGGUAUGAAGGAGCCACUAUAAAGCAAAACUAUGUCAACCAGUACAGGGAGUUGUGUGUCAGUUGUUGUAGAGUUGUCGUACAAGUUCUCAGUUGGAGUUAAGUGUCACUUAUGUGUUAUAGUCGAGUUUGAGUUACAGUCAAGGUAGUCAGUUCAAAUUUGGUGUCUAGCACUAUAGACGAAGUGGUGUAUUACCAUUCCGGAAUAGAAGAGAUACACUGUAUCUGAUACUAAGAAAAUAUCAUGGCUACAGUCACAACAGUGGCCACAUAUAUAACUGUGGAAAACACCAAAUCAUAACAUAAAGCAUAUUUAUUCAUAUUAUUUUGAAUUAAUCAUAUAUUAUCUCAUAGAUUUGAGAUUUUGAUGAUGUUAUUGUUUAUAUUUAGAAUGACAUUGUAGUGUCGGUGUGAGAGAUUAGAUCUGGCCAGUUUGAACAUAAAACAGGGGCAUAUUUUGGCUAGAUGUAGCUGGUUUAAAUACUAAGGGGUUAAAUAGUGUCCCAAAUUUUACAUACAAGGCUUUUGCUGCAUUGAAGCUAUGGGUACUUAUGACAACAUUCAUCCAAGAUGGGUUGAUCUUGCUCAAACAAAAAGUUCACCAUGUUCCUCAUGAAUGCUGACCACAUCCAACGGUCAGCCAAUAGCUAUAGCAAUCAUUUGCUGUUGAGGUGUAGAGUUCAUGUUUGGAUUAUCAGUAGGCAUGCAAGUUCACUUGUGAUCUUUGGUCACAUGCAUGAGACUAUUGAUAAGAACAGUUAUCCAAAGUACAAUACAGUGGAAAUGAACAUAAAAUCAUUUAGUCGUAAAACGAACUUAUUAACUGCAUAAUUAUGCUGCUACUCUGUUGCACACAUUUGGGUCAGGUCUUUGAUUCUGAGAAUAACUGUCUUUCGUCCUCACACCAUCCUCAGAGGCCUUGAGAAAAGGUUAUGGGUACUGCCUUUCUUUUUUUGACUGAAUCACAUUAAAAAAAGUGAUUAUCAAACUCAUUAAUAUGCUAUUUAAUACUCACACCAAGACACUAAUACACACACACACACACACACACACACACACACACACACACAUGGAAACUCUAUAUUUAUAACUGAACACAAGCACUAAGAAUAUAACUGUCUGCCUUCUUUCCUUAUGGGAUCUAUAUAUAUAUAUACACACACACACACAUAUAUAUUUAUUGCUACUUCUUCCUCAUUUUUCUGAUAAAAAUCAUGAAGAUAUUACUGAUAAGAAAUAAAAAAUAGUCAAUUACUCCUAAUGAAGGGUAAUUUGCUAAUGUAUCUUUUGCGAUCAAUUUUUCUUAUCCUGACCGAUUUUUAAUGAAACAACGAAACAAAAGUAAUAAUAACCACUUCCAGUUAGUAUUACCUGUUAUUUCUUUUACAAGACAGAAUUGAAUGAUUAAUUUUAAGGCUUAUAAGUCAAUGUAUUGUUAGUAGGAAGACCAAAAAAAACAACUAAAAAAAUAUACACCAAUUCAUUCUUUGGCAGUUCCUCAUUACCAUCCUCAUUGAUACAGCAGCACCGCCUAUUAUCAUCAGGAUUGUUGCAAUCCUCAUCAUCAUUGUCAUAUAUAUAUGUGUGUGUGUGUGUGUGUAUAUAUGUGUGUGUAUAUAUGUGUGUAUAUAUGUGUGUGUAUAUAUGUGUGUAUAUAUAUGUGUGUAUUUAUAUGUGUAUAUAUAUAUUUGUAUAUAUGUGUGUAUAUAUGUGUAUAUAUAUGUGUGUGUAUAUAUGUGUGUGUAUAUAUAUAUGUGUGUGUAUAUAUGUGUGUGUAUAUAUAUAUGCGUGUAUAUAUAUAUAUGUGUGUAUAUAUGUGUAUAUAUGUAUACACAUACACACACACACACAUAUAUAAUUUUAUUUGUGUGUGUAUAUGUGUGUUAAUUUAAAGGUAUUGAUUCUUUAAUGUCUGUUUAUAUUGCUUUUGGCUGUGCACUAUUUAGUUAAUGGCAAUACACUUGUGUAUAUUUAGUGAUGUUUAUCUGUUUGGUGGCAAUCAUCAUUUAAGCAGCAACACCACCACCACCAUUACCACAACCUCCAACAAAUUGAUUUCACCAAAACUGAUCUCCUUUAUAGAUAGGACGUCCUUUGGUAAUAUCCACAUGGCCUUGGAGUUCUACAUGCAUACAUCCGUGUGUAUUUGUAUGUGUACGAUUAAAACAAACAAAAAAGGCUUGUUUUGUUUUCAGUUUUGAUGCCAAUGUUGCAUGUGUAUUUAGUGUACUUAAGUACUUUCUCAGCAUCUGUUCUCAAUGACAGGGCUCUCAUGUGGUUAAUCAAGGGUAUAGCUUCCCAUCUGUUCCUUUUAACAGCUGGACUUCUUGUCCAUCUGAAAGCUUAGAUUGCAAUGGAUAAGUGAAGAGCAAAUGAGUUACUGUAAUUUGUCUCUGGGUGGUCGUUGGUUUGACUACUGGGAAAUUGAUAACAUUUCAACUGUUAUAUCAUCUCAUCAUCAUCAGUGACAUCAUCAUCAUCAUCAGCAGCAGCAGCAUCAGUAGUGACAUUUUCAUUAUCAGUGAUACAUCAUCAUCAACACUAUUACUCUUGACGUCAACCAGGGACCUAAUACAUGGUUGUUCAACCAGCUAAAAAUAGCUGCCAGAUCUCUUUAAAUCAUACCUUACUGUCUUAUAUGUUUCACCUGGGUGCAAACGACAACAACAACAACAACAUCGUUAUAAUCAUCAUAAUUAAAUGUUCAAUCAGCUAGAAAUAGCAGCCAGAUUUUCUUAAAUCACGCCUUACUAUCCUAUAUGGUCAUUAUUGUAAGCCCCAGGUCAGCCUUGCUUGGGGAGAUCUGGAACUAAACAACAAUGAUGUCAUUACACUAGAAAUAGCAGCCAGAUCUCCUUAAAUCAUGCCUUACUAUCCUAUAUGGUCAUUGUUGUAAGCCCCAGGUCAGCUCUGAUUGGGGAGAUCUGGAGCUAAGCAACAAUGAUGUCAUUACACUAGAAAUAGCAGCCAGAUCUUCUUAAAUCAUGCCUUACUAUCCUAUAUGGUCAUUGUUGUAAGCCCCAGGUCAGCUCUGAUUGGGGAGAUCCGGAGCUAAACAACAAUGAUAUCAUUACAUCUUGAUAAUCAUCUUAAUUGUCAUCAUGAUACUUGUUUUCUCAAUGUUUUCUUUACAUUGUAGACUUUGAUCAGAUGUAUGAAUUAACAAAGCCAUCAGUAACCACCUUGUUCUACUCAAUACAUUGGUCAUAGUGUCAAAUGCUAGUGCCAUAAAUUUAACCAACGCAUCUUUUUGGACACACAUUCCAGCAAUUGAUGAUCACUCUAAAUGACCCGUCGAACACUUCAUCAUCAUCAUCAGUUAAUGUCUGUUUUCUAUGCCGGUAUGGGUUGGAUGGUUUGACAGGCAGGAUCUGGUUAGCUAUGAAGCUGCAUUGAGUUCUUUAGUUCUUUUGUCAACUUCGGCAUGGUUUCUAUGGCUGGAUGCCCCUCUUUGAUAUCAACCCUAUUUAAAUUUAUGUAAGUUUUACCCUUACCUAUUCAUAAGUUUGUGAACAUGUAUAACAUGGUGGUUUAGGUGUUGGGCUCACAGACAUAAGGUCAUGAGGUCAGUUCUCAAAGUGUGUAGCAUGUUGUAUCCUUAGCAAGGCACUUCAUUUCAUGUGGUUUCAGUCCACUCAGCUGAAAAGCAUUACAAGUGAAAGCUCAGGCAUUAAUAGAUCAGCCUUUCAACAGACUGUUGAGUUACUGUAAUUUGUCUCUGGGUGGUCGUUCGUUUGACUACUGGGAAAUUGAUAACAUUUCAACCAUUAUAUCAUCUCAUCAUCAUCAGUGACAUUAUCAUCAUCAUCAACAGCAGCAGUAGUGACUUUAUCAUUAUCAGUGAUACAUCAUCACUUGUUGAUGGGGGAGAAUUUAGUAUGUUCAGUUAUGUAAAUACCAUAGAAACUAAGGUCUCUAGCCAAAAAAGGCUUGUGGCUUGAGACAGAGUUUGACCAUCAGCUUAGACACAAGAUAUGUAUCAAAUAAAUCUUAUCUGAUGAAUAUUUGCAGUGGAACUUCACUUCUUUGUUAGAAGCCAGCUUCUUCUUUGAAGGAAGAAUUCAAAUAAUAAAAAAGAAAACGAUACAUUCAUGGAUACACACACACACACACGCACACACACAUGUUCAUACAUACACUUAUACAUACAUAUGACCAAAGACAUAUGCAUUCAUUUUCAUUCAUUCAUGUAUAUAAGCAUAAAUUUAUAACUGUUUAUUGGGGCACUCUCUUAUGUAACAAAAUGCCUCAGAACUAAAUUUGAGAAGCUGGGCCUUACAAACAGAAAUGACAUGGCUAAUUAGAAAAUUGCAAUUACAAGCCAUUAAUGUAAUUGUAAAAACAUGUAAAGCAUUCCCGAUGUUUUACAUAUGUAGUAGGUACAUACAUGCAUGUAUGACAUAGCAGCAAAUGUGUAUGUAUGCAUACAUAAGCCAAAACAUACAGAUUCACUCUUACAAUGACAUGCAUUCAUGCCUACACACAUACUCACCCCCUUCACACUCAUUCACUCACAUACAAACUCUGUCACACAUACAACUUCUCUCACACACAAACUCUCUCUCGCACACAAACUCUCUCUCGCACACAAACUCUCUCUCGCACACAAACUCUCUCUUGCACACAAACUGUCUCUCACACAUAAACUCUCUCUCACACACACUCAUUCACUCACAUACAAACUCUCUCACACACAAACUCUCUCACAUGCACUCAAACUCUCAUGCACUCAAACUCUCAUGCACGCACUCAAACUCUCACGCACGCACUCAAACUCUCACGCACGCACUCAAACUCUCACGCACGCACUCAAACUCUCACGCACGCACUCAAACUCUCACGCACGCACUCAAACUCUCACGCACGCACUCAAACUCUCACGCACGCACUCAAACUCUCACGCACGCACUCAAACUCUCACGCAUGCACUCAAACUCUCACGCACGCACUCAAACUCUCACGCAUGCACUCAAACUCUCACGCAUGCACUCAAACUCUCACGCAUGCACUCAAACUCUCACGCAUGCACUCAAACUCUCACACAUGCACUCAAAUUCUCACGCAUGCACUCAAACUCUCACGCACGCAUACAAACUUUCACGCACGCACACAAACUCUCAUGCAUGCACGCAAACUCUCACGCACGCCAACAAACUCACACACAACAUAUACUCACAACACUCACAACACACAAAUUCACUCUCACUCACACACACACACACACACACACACACACACACACACACAAUUACCUAAUUGAUGUUUUCGAAAUUUCAGUGAAAGAACCUUGUUUCUGGAUUGGAGUCUUUUUUUUUUCUUUUUGAUGGAAAAAUUUCAAAACUGAAACCAGAAUUAUAUACAUGCAUAAAUUCCUCAAAAGUGGCAAAAUAAUAGACUGUAGUUCUGGAAUCCCUGUGUAUUUUCAAUGUACAUACACUGUCUUAAAGCAUUUGCACCAUAGACACAGAUACUUUGAAGAACAACCACUAUGGGGAUUGAACUUGCACCUCUUCCUCUAUACUAAUUAAAUUCACUAGUGACUAAGGCCUAGAGGAAUAGGAAGAAAAAAAAAUCCUUGAAAAUAUCCCUGAAAAUGAGAAAAUGUGGAGAAAGAGAAUGAACAUAAACCUAUAAUUUGUAAAGGGUGAUAAAUUAUCACCACUGUAAAAAGUCAUCUCUAUAUAUAGCGUUAAAGGCAAGCUAUUCUGUCUAGAUGAAUAUGAUAUUGCAAACUUUGCUUGUCAGUAGGUAAAAAAAUCAAUCUGCAACACUUAUGUAAAUGAAGAUUUCUUCUUUUUAUAGCUUUAUCAUUAAAAGCUUUGUCUAUGUUACUCAUCACUAAAUUAUUAAUGUCUUUUUCAACCACCACUAACUGUAGCUGCUAUCAUCACUGUAGCUGUUACCACCACCAAUAACCACCAUCUUAUCUUCACUAGUAGCUGCUACCACUACCAUACAACUAAUGAACUAAUGAAGUAUCUUUUGAUCAUGUGUCUCUUGGAUCUUUGUUGACCCCCAGGUUAAACAGCAGUCACAACUGUCAUAACAACCACCGUCACCACCACCACCGACCACAUCACCGCAGUUGUCACUGCCUCUAACACAGUUAAGUCAGUGCACUUACAAACAGAAACAGCUGACUGUUGUGACUUUUACUUCCAGUGUUAGCUAACUUCGUUUCUACAUAAAUUAGGAAGUUAUUUAUCUGUCAACAAAGUUGAAAGUGAGAAUCUGUAGCAUUCAAGCCUUUUUAAAAAAUAUUAGUGAUAUGUCAAGUGACUUGGUUGUUCAUGAUAUGCCUAUAUAAUAUAAUGGAUGUCAAAGGAAGAAAAAAUAUCCCUUCUAUAAUUUGUUACACAUAUAGGAAAGAUGACUGUUGUUGUUUAACCACAAGUCAACCCCAGUCAAGGAGCCAGUCUGCAUAAUAAUCUCUUGUGUUCCAGGCUACUUAAUAAUCUCUGACUGCUCUCUCCCAUAAGUAAUGCAUUCUGUUGUUACCUACCCCUAACCUUUUGAUCUACUUUGAUUUACAAAAGUUUUCUUCUUUAUUCAUGAUGGGGUUAUUUAGUAGGCUGUUAUUAAAACUUAUGUCAGCUUCUUACAAGUUGUUGAAUAAUAAUGUCUCGGAAAGGUUACAUGUUGUGUAUAUGAGAUAUUCAAACUUCAUUAAUUCAGUAGUUUAUUUCAUGUGAUUCAAUCUGCACAUUAUUUGGAAGAUGGAAUGUUUAACAUUUUGGUUAAACAGAACCUCAUUUUGGUUCUGGCUUUGCAUGUUCAUGAGGGGUUGUUGAAUUUACUUUGAAUAUAAUAUUACUGCCUACUCCAAGCCAUUAUAAAUUUUAAAUUUUUGUAGCUUUUAACUUAAGUAGGAAAUGUCACACUUGCUGCAGUCAGGUUUAAAUCAAUGACCCAACAGUCAAAUUAGCUAGUAUAUUGAUCAUACAAUUUCCAUAUGCCUGUAACAUCUAUUUAAAAAUUGAAUGAACAGAGACACUGUAGAGUGCUCUCUAGUUUUCUGAUAGGAAAGAGUGAGGCUUAAGGUAACAUCACUAGUGCUGGUACCAUGAUAAAAUGUACCCAAGUUCCAUCUUUAAAGGGCUUGACAAAUGAGCAGAGACAUUGAAUGUUCAUGAGGGCCCUUUAGCUUCACCAAGGGAAUGACAAACUUUCUAGUGUUGGUGCUAUGAUAAAAUGCAUCCAGUGCACUCUGUAAAGUGGUUGAUAUUAGGAAAAACACCCAUUCAUACAAAUUUUACCAAAGUGGAACAUACUAACGAAAUGUAAGGUCUUUGACCUUUCUAGAGUGCAAUAAUUCCAAAUAUGAACUGAUUUAGACUGUGCCUAUCCAUCCAACCCAUGCUGUCAUGGAAAGUGGUUGUAAAAUACUGUUGUUCAUCUUUAGUUGUUUUAUAUAAAUAUAUAUCGAGUUCUACAAAAUAUUAGUCCUUUCUGUUUGUUUUGUAAUUUGACAAGCAACUUCUGUCAUGAAAAUAAAAAUAAUAGAUUAUUUUUAUUAGGUUACAAUACAGAGACAAAGAAGUAUAACUAAUUGAGUCAAAUUCAGCUUAUUAUUGGUGCUGUUACUUAUUUCAUUAACUCCUUGUUUGACACCUCACCAUUUCUGACCACUCACUGCUCUGUGGAACUUGAAGUAAGGAUUUCUCAGUUUAAUAUAAACUCAUAGAUUUAUAAGAGUGUAUUAUAGUUAUUUAAAGCAAUGUCAGUAUAUGCCUGGUACAUUUUGUGUUAACCCUUGAGUGAUGAAAGUCAAAUUCAAUUUUGAUGGGAUUUGAACUCUUAAUGCAGAAGAAUAUUUCAUCUGGUCCUUUACCCUUUCUGCCUCUCUUCUCUCCUCAAAUUUGAAGUAAUGUUUUUCUCAUUUUACUGAUUAUUUCAACAAGUAUUAAAAUGUUUUAAUGGGUGCUGAUGUGAAUAAUGAGAUUUAAAGUCAAUUAAUUUUAAUAGGAUGUUCAUAGAAAUAUUUGUGCUGCUGUUGCUGUUGAUUCUGACAGUAUUACAAAGUCUUGUGUUUUAAAAAAAUACAAGUGAAGCAAUUGGUGUUUCAUAAUCAGCAAUAUGAGCUCAACAAUAACAGCAGCAGCAAUAACAAUAUCAAGCCAGCGAGGGAGGCCUCUGCACGAUCAGUUUCAAGCUAGAAAUAGCAACCAAAUCUUCAAAAUUGCAACCCUUACUGUCGCAGAAAAGAUUGAAUACAUUAGGCAAUAUAGUCUUAGAUGCAUUGUACCUAGGAAAAAAGACAAGAUGGUCAUUACUGAAAAUGAGGUCUACAGAAUCAGGGCUGACUUGGUCUUGAACAACAUCCAUUUUUUCUAUGCUUCCAUGUGUUAGAACUUACUUUUGUAAACAGUUUCAGCAUUUGCACUGGUAUUUUCUUGUCUCUGACAAAAGGCUGAGCCUCUUGAGAUCAUCUUUUGUUAUCUCACACAUCUUCAAUCUUGCUUUUCUACAGGUUUCUUUCACUUGAGUCAGCUUUACACAGUUUUAACCCUCCAUAUGCACCACAUGCCCUUAGUAGUGUAAUCUUUUCUGCAUGCUGUGUCUGAUUCCUUUAAUACAGCUGGUCUUAAAUUCCUCUAUUAUGACCUAUAAUAAGCAAGAAGGGCCUUAAAACUGAGCUUUUCCUGCAUGCUAAAUUCUUAGAACUUAUUGCAAACUCUCACUUUGCUGGUUGACAUCUCUGUGGGCCUCUUGCUGGCCAUUUUGGUACAUUUCCUUUUUUGUUUUACUGACCACCACACUACAAAUUAUGGUGUCCUAUCAAAUGCCUUCCCUGGAUCAGUUAAUGCAUAAUAUAGUUGGUCUACUCUAAGGUGAGACUCUCCUUGCGUCAUUAGCAAGGGGCAUUCUGUGGUACCCUAUCUUGGCACGAAUCCAAACUGCAUUACAUCUAAAUGAAUUCUCUUUUUAACGAGAUAUUAUAAUACUUUCUGUUACUUUCAUAACCUGAUAAUUUGAUGCCUCAGUAGUUGCUUGUUUUUAGUACAUCUCCUUUGCCCUUAUAGCAGUUAAGGGUGAUACUUCCCUGGCCACCUAACUGACUAUGUGAGUGAUCAAUGUACAUCCUGCUUCACCAGAUAUUUUCAACAUCUCAGUAACUAUUCCUGAUAGUACAGUUGCUUUUAUUGUCAUUGUAUUGUUAAUUACACUUUUAACCACAUAAUUGUCACCUUUAAUAGCUAUUCCACUGUUCCUUUGGACAAACCUUUGCUCACACAUUCUCUUCAUUCUGUAGCCUUUUCUAGUGACAUGUAACGUUGUAGCAACUUGUUUCUCUCUCUGCAGUAUCUAUUAGGGCAAGUGUGCUACUCAUAUUUCAUUUCUAACAAUGUCUUGAUUCACACAGAUGUAUUAUUUUGCUGGGGCAUUUCACACCACUACUUACUUUUACUUGUUUCAGUCAUUUGACUGCGGCCAUGCUGGGGCACCGCCUUUAGUCAAGCAAAUCAACUCCAGGACUUAUUCUUUGAAAGCCUAGUACUUAUUCUAUUGGUCUCUUUUGCUGAACCGCUAAGUUACAGGGACGUAAACACACCACCUAUUUCUUUACUACUCACAAGGGGCUAAACACAGAGGGGACAAACAAGGAUCAACAAACGGAUUAAGUCGAUUAUAUCGACGCCAGUGUGUAACUGGUACUUAUUUCAUCGACCCCGAAAGGAUGAAAGGCAAAGUCGACCUCGGUGGAAUUUGAACUCAGAACGUAACGCCAGACGAAAUACGGCUACGCAUUUCGCCUAGCGUGCUAAUGUUUCUGCCAGCUCGCCGCCAUCGGUUGUCAAACGAUGCUGGGGGACAAACACAGACACACAAACAUAUACACAUAGAUACAUAUAUACAACGGGCUUCUUUCAGUUUCCGUCUACCAAAUCCACUCACAAAGCUUUGGUCGGCUUGAGGCUAUAGUAGAAGGCACUUGCCUAAGGUGCCAUGCAAUGGGAAUGAACCCAGAACCAUGUGGUUGGUAAGCAAGCUACUUACCACACAGCCACUCCUGGUCGUCUUUUUGCAAAACAUUAACAAACCUCUUACUUUUAGCUUUUCUCCUUGCUACAUAUACCUGCCAUUCUAGCUUUCUUUUUACCUGAUAUUGUUUCUUGCUCAUGUCUUUCUUCCAAUCAUCCCAUGCCUUGCUGGAACCUUACCCCCAACCACAUAAUUAGUCAGUGGAGUGCAGUAGGUUAUCUCAUAUAAUCUAAUUGUUCUUCAUGCCCUAACUCUUUUAUGAUACUUCUUGUCAUACACACCAGGUAAUCAUUCUUGGAACUUUCAUCAUAUUAAGUGAUCUUUCAUCUUCCAGUAGCUUGUGUGUGUGUAUGUGAGAGAUUGUGUAAAUGUGUAUAUGUUUGUGUGCACACGUAUGUGUGUGUGUGUGUGUGUGUGUAUAUAUAUAUAUAUAUAUAUAUAUAUAUAUAUAUAUAUGUGUGUGUGUGUUUGUGUGAUUUAGUUGCAGAAUCUUACAUUGUCAACGAAGGUAUCUUAUCUGCCACUGGAUGGAUGCUGAUAUGGAAUUUGUUUAGUAGGGGAUGACAAUCUGUUGCACAGCAGCCUCUGCAUGCAACCUGUUACAGAUUAAAAAGAAAAUUGAGAAAAUUCAAUAAAAAUACAACACUCACACACAAAAAGUAAGGUAAAUUAAAUUGUGAAAAGGUAACAAUAGUUUGUAGUUACUAACAGUUUUUCAAAAUGGAACAAGGUUUUCAAAUGCAAAACAAAAAAAAAAAAAGAAUGAAUCUACUGUAAGAUUAUAAACAUAGUUUUUACUAUCAUUGUUGUUAUAUAAGGUAACACUACCCCCUGUAUUUGCCCCACCUAUAUUUGUAACAAUGCUUGUCUGUCUUAAGAAUCCUAAGAGGCAACAUCAAGUCGCUAUGUCAUAUUGACUUCUGUUUUCAAACUUAACUCUGCUUUCAUUUCUCCCCACAAUAAAUUGUUUUCAGUCCUGAACACAAUAGACUCCCUUUGAAAUUUAUUCAGCAUCAAAUUCUUCAAUGUCUUUUGAAUUGUGGCAUGUUUCUUUCCCUUUUUUUUUCUUCUCUUUUUCACCCCCCAUGUCCCUCCCUCCCUCCCUCUCUCUUUCCUUCUCUCUCUCUCUCUCUCUCUCUUUCUUCUCUCUCUCUCUCUCUCUCUCUCCCUGAUUUCGACACAAGUUUUUGCAAUGAUACAGCUAGCUAUUGUCUUCUUUGAAUAUAAUGCUCUUCUCCUAUUCAGCUACAUCUUUUAUUUGCAAUCAACUUCAUCUAAUUGUAUACCACUGCUUAUCUCCUUCACAAAAGCUCUGUAAAAUUUUAUUUUAUUUUAUUUUUCUUUAUUUAACAAAGAAAAGAAAUAACAUAAAAAUUUAUAUUAACUGGUAAAUAACAAUAAAAAUAGAUCUAAAAAACAUUUUAGUGUUUUUUCCCCCCAUCUUUUUUGUUGGGCUUUAUUUUUACAUUUUUCUUUUAUCCUUUAUUAUUCUUUUUUUUUUGGUUUAUUUUAUAUUUAAAUUUCUGAAGCCAAAGCAUAAAGUGGUAAAUUGUACUUGAUUAAUUCUCUAUUUCACUGGAAAGAGGCUGUUAGUUUGUGGACCUUUCUUGCUUUGUUAUGGAAUCUGUUAGACAGCUAAACCAGCUUACUUUUGUAUAUAGCCACAAGUAUGAAUAUUGAACAAUUAAUUUAGUAAAAGAAUAAUAAAUAAAUAUACAAGAGCAUGCUAUUUUAUUUUAUUUUUUUGCCUGUUUUUUUUUCUAACAAUUUGAUAUGAACUUUUCUGACUCUAAAAUUUCAAACUUGAAACUUGUCAUCUAAGCUGCUCAGGUGCUGUCUUCCAAUAUAGCAACCAUCCAAAUGGUAAGACAGGAAGCUAUAACUCUAAUUUAAAAAAAAAAAUUAUUGAUUCUAUGUGUUUAGAAUAAGUACACAAUUUCCUUGUAUCAUAAAAGGUGAUUAAAAAAGUUGGUGUCAGGAAGAAUAUCAUCAUCAUCAUCAUCAUCAUCGUUUAGCGUCCGUUUUCCAUGCUAGCAUGGGUUGGACGGUUCUACUGGGGUCUGUGAAGCCAGAAGACUUCAUCAGGCCCAGUCAAAUCUGGAUGCCCUUCCUAACGCCAACCACUCCGUGAGUGUAGUGGGUGCUUUUUAUGUGCCACCCGCACAGGUGCCAGACAGAGCUGGCAAACGGCCACGAACGGAUGGUGCUUUUUAUGUGCCACCGGCACGAGGGCCAGGCGAGGCUGGCAGCGGACACGAACGUAUGGUGCUUUUUACGUGCCACCGGCACGAGGCCAGUCGGGGUGGCGGUAGCUAUAAAAACACCACCUCACAGUCCAACUCAUGCUAGCUUUCAAAGGUGGACAUAAAAAUGAUGAUUGUGUAUUUUUUUAAAAUUAUAUUAUUGGAAUUAUAUGAUUGGAGAUGAAAUUUUCAAAGUCCUCCCUAAUAGGGGAGAUUGAUAUAAGUUCACCUUGUACUUCUGUCAGUUGAUGGCUGUGGAUAAAACCUGACCUGGAACAAGGCAAUAAUGAGAACUGCUGUGUAGUUAUCUUUUGCCUUUUACUUGUUUCACUCAUUAGACUGUGGUCAUGCUGGGGCACCACCUUAAAGAGCUUUUAGUCAAAUUAAUCAACACUAGUACAUUUUUAAAGCCUGGUACUUAUCCUGUUGGCUCAUUUGCUGAACUGUUAAGUUACAGGGAUGUAUACACAUCAACACCAGUUGUCAAGUGGUGGUGGAGGACAAACAGACACAGACAUAUGCACACACACACACACACACACACUCAUAUGUGUGUAUAUAUAUGUGGAGAGAGAGAGAGAGAGAAAAAUAAGAUAGGGAUGGAUGUACAUUUGUGUGUGUGUGUGUGUGUAUGUAUAUAUAUAUAGAUAUAUCAUUACUUUUCAUAAAAAGCCUUUAUUUUUUGAUUUCCAAUGUGCAUUUUCACUUAUUUUUCUUCUUACUUUCCCCUUACAUUUCCACAUGUAGUUUCCAUUUUCUUUUUGUAACAUAUUUCUAUGUUUUGUAACAUAUAUAUACACACACACACACACACACACACACACACACACACACACACACACACACACACCCACACACACGAUAGGCUCCUUUCAGUUUCUAUCCACCAAAUCCACUCACAAGGCUUCGGUCGUUCUGAGUAGAAGGCACUUGCCUGAGGUGCCACUCAGUAAUACUGAACCUGGAAACGUGGUUGGGAAGCAAGCUUAUUAUCAUACAGCCACGCCUCCGCCAAUUUUUAAGCUUGGUGAAAUAGCAACCAAAUCUCUUUCAUAUCACUCCCCCUAUCUAGGCACCACCUUUUAUCAAAGCAGUUUAUGUUCAUGAGUGGAAUACCUCUUAUUAUAUGUCUACUUGGUCUGGUCUAAUUUGAAGUUAGUUAACAAUAUGAACAGGGGAAAGAUUUUUCAUGGGGUUGCAGCUCUGAGAAGGAAUGAUUGAGAAAGUAUUUCCUGGUGGUUGGCACUGUUAGACAUAGUAGGGAUGACAAGAGGAAGAGUGUUUGUAUCUGGUGAUGAACCACAGCUUCUUAGUUCAAAUGGUUGGUGAUUAUUGUAGUAGUUAUAGAAUAUACCAAGAGAAACUGCUUCAGUAGGCUAGUGGGUGAAGAAUAUAUAUUAGUGGUUGUAGUGUGUUAGUCAGAGGUGGUAGAACGGUUAUACAGAUCAGCAUAUUAAUUAGCAGUUCUAUAGUAUUGGUUAGUGAAGGCCCUCAGUCAUGAGGUAGUGAGUUCAAUUCCCAGACUGGGCUGUGUGUUGUGAUCUUUAUUUCCUGUUGCCCCAGUUCACUUAGCUGUAAAAAUUAGUUGUGACAUAACUGGUGCCAAGCUGUAUUAGCCUUUGCUUUUCCCUUGCAAAACAUUAGUGGUGUGGAGUGGAAAGUCUGGUAUGCAUGGGCAGCUGGUCUUUUCUACUCUAGGCACAAGGCCUGGAAUUUUGGGGAAGGAGGCCAGUCGAUUAGAUUGACCCAGGCCAGUCGAUUAGAUUGACCCCAGUAUGCAACUGAUACUUAAUUUAUCGACCCCGAAAGGAUGAAAGGCAAAGUCGACCUCGUAACAACCUUACCUGGAUUUGCAUCUUGAAGGGUAACUUUCUAGGUACAAUUCCAUGGUCAUUCAUGCCCAAAGGGAGUCUUUACCUUUAGUAUUAAUUAACUGUUGUAGUGUAUUAGUUGAUGCAGAUAGUAUGUAAGUGAUAAUAGUAUGUUGUGCUGGUUGCCGUGUGUUAGUAGUGGUAUCACCUGUUUGUAAUAUAUUAAUGCUGGUAGUAUGUUAGUAGUUGUGCAUUUGUAGUGGCAGUGUGUUAGAAUGGUAGAAGUUGUAGUGUAUUAGUGAUGAUUAGUUAGUAAUUAUAGCAUAUUAAGUAUUAAUAGUAUUUUAGUUUGUGGUGGUAGUAUGUUUAUGAUAGUAGUGUAUUACUUAAUGGUUGUAGCAUGUUAGUGUAGUGAUAAUGGUAUGUUAGUGAUAGCAGAAUGCUAGUUAAUUGUUGCAGCAUGUUGGUGGUGCCAAAAUGUUGAAUAUUCACUUCCUCAUGUGCGAUUAUUUUUUGUAUAUUUUUAGUAACAAUCAUUUGACAAAUAAAAUGCUUCAUCAGGUUUUCCCAUUUUAAUAUAUAUCAAUUAAACCUAAAGAAAAGAACAAAUGAUGGAGAUCGCUAUACAUAGCAAUAAGAAUAUGCACAUACAUACACAUGGAUGUGUGCCAGCAUACACGUACACAUUUGUAUUUUCAUUACUACUUUUUAUACAAACACAUAGAAUAGAAUGAGCUCAAUCACCAAGGGCAAACACAUGCACAAAAUGUAAACAAAUAUGCAAUAUAAAUGCACAUGUACACAUUAGAUACAAAGCAAAAUCAGAAAUUAUUCUGCUUCUAUGAUUCUAUAUGUAAUGCCUUCUGGAGCUGAACUUUCACAACAUGGGUUUAAUAUGGUUGAUUGUAACACAUAUAUAGAAGUUGAAAAGCAGCAGAAAUAAUGUCUGUCUAACAUCAAAGUAUUGGCUCUUUAUUGAAUUAUUCACUGAAUUCCAUGCAUUUAAUUAGAAGGUUUUAAUGAAUUGGAAAUCAUCUAUUUUUAUAUAUUUAAUAAUUCAUAUUUAUAGUUUUAGUCUGGCAGGCACUACCUAUCUUAUGCAGAAGCUGAUCAUUGAUAGAAACCUUGAUAGUUUACCGCAUUAAAACAAAAUUUUGUGAUCAUGGUGAGCUAAAACGUUAAAGAAUUUAAAUCCUGAUUUUAAAAUUAAAUUUACAUUUAGCACUAUUCCAUGGCUUCAAACAUCUGAUGUUUAUCAUGUAUCAUCCUUACACUAUGAUCAACAUGGGUAAGACUCAUGUGCUUGCUAACAAGGGAGAACAUAAAAUUCCGGUCCAAUCUGGAGAGUGACCUCAAAAUAUAGGGAGUAGGAAAGAAACCAAUGUCAUUUACUUGAUGCAAGUAGCUUCAUCAUCAUUUGACAUCCACUUUUCCAUGUGUUAACCCUUUCGUUACCAACCCGGCUGAAACCGGCUCUGGUUCUGAGUACAAAUGUCUUGUUUUCAUAAGUUUUGAAUUAAAAUCUUCCAAACCUUAGUCACAAUUUAUGUUCCUAACACUAGCUUAAUGGUAACUAAGUUAUUUUACUAAAUUCUUUGUUAUAUUUAAAGUAAUUGGAAGAAACACAGAGCAUCUCAAAAUAAAUACAGUAACGAAAGGAUUAAUGGGUCAGAUGGAAUUUGUUGAAAUAGAUUUUCUACAGCUAGAUCUCCUUCUUUGCCAUCAACUCUCACCUGUUUCCAAGUAAGGUAAUAUUCCCCAUGACCAAAUAUGUUUUGCAAGAUUGGAAAUGAAGACAUCACUUGCAUAAUGGUGAUAUUUGCUUUACAACUAUCAUACGAAGGCAAAGCAAGGAAACAGUAAAGCAUUUGCACACUCUCUCUCUCUCUCUCUCUCUCUCUCACACACACACAGAGUUAUAUGUAUGUGCUUAUUAGUUCUAUAUAAUGUAUAUGACAGUCUUCUUUCAGUUUCUUUUUCUUUGUUGCCCACAAUGGGCUAAACUUAGAGGGGACAAACAAGUACAGACAAAUGGAUUAAGUUAAUUACAUCGACUCCAGUGCAUGACUGGUACUUAAUUUCUCGACCCCAAAAGGAUGGAAGACAAAGUCAACCUCGGCGGAAUUUGAACUCAGAACGUAAUGGCAGACGAAAUACCGCUAGGCAUUUUGCCCAGCAUGCUAAUGUUUCUGCUAGUUUGCCUUUCAGUUUCUGUCUACCAAAUCCAUUCAUAAGGCUUUAGUUGGCCUGGAGCUAUAGAAGAUACUGGCCCAAUGGGACUGUACCCAAUGGGACUGUGCCACCCAAUGGGACUGUGCCACCCAAUGGGACUGUACCCAAAACAAUGUGGUUAGGGAGCAAAUUUCUUACCACAUAGCCAUGCCUUAAGCAAUGCUAUAUUAAACUAAUAGUGAAUCAAGAUUUCCGAUCUGAUAUUGGCACAGUGGUAGCAUUUGUUGCAGGAGGAGUUACGUAAUGAACUCCAUGAAUUGCUCUGCUAGUUUACUAGACAUAAUUAAUAGUUUCUGUUACCUACAUUAUGAAAUGUGGUUGCUUACCCCCAGAUCAGUCCUGAUCAAGCAGACCUAUUAUCAGUGGCAUUCCCACAGUAACCAUCCUAUUGCUAUAUUCAGUCAUGGUGCAUCCACCACUACAUUAUCUAAUGUAACCUUCCUUUAUAUGUGUUUGUGCUCAAAUGUGAAUAAUGUAGUGAUCAUACCUACUGUUGCAUGAAAUCACUAGCAUCACUACUCAUGCGUGAACUUGUUACUGUUGUAGAUCUUUUGAUGCUGCAUCCUACCCAUCACUUGCAUUUUCAUCAAACAGCAGAUGAAUAUGUAAUAUUCUUUCAAUUUCUUCCACUUUAUGAGAAAUGCCAAUAGCAGCAGAUUCUUCGAUAAACAGUGCCAAAUAUAUUGAAUGUAAUCAAGAAAGUGAUCUUAAUCAUGAAGGAACAGAGAUUUUCUAAGAUAUGAUGACACCUCUAAGAACUUACUAGCUCUUGAUAUUUUCUUAUUCAAACUAUCUUUGGAUAUAUUAAAUAUACAUAAUAUGAAAUAUAUAUUUUCAAAAAAAAAAAUCUAUCUUUGAAUAAAUAUUUGUGUUUUACUGGCAUUCAGAUUACACAGUUUAACACAUAUUUGAAAAUAUUGUAUGGAGUUGCAAAGAAAAUAUUAUGGAUAUUUUAUGUAAAAACACAAAAUGUGGUUGUGUACGUGUGGAAAAUGAAACGGCUGCUUGUAUAUGCCAUUCCAUCAUCUGAGAAAUAUGGCAUGGCUGUGUGGUUAGGGAGCUUGCUUCCUAGCUGCAUGGUUUCGGGUUCAGUCCCACUGCGUGGCACUUUGGGCAGGUGUCUUCUACUAUAGCUCCGAGCCGACCGGAGCUUUGUGAUUGAAUUCGGUAGGCGGAAGUUACUGCCGUGUGUGUAUGUGUGCGUAUAGCUGUUCAGUGCCUUUCCAAAAGAGAGAGAGGGAUAAUCAUCAUCAUCAUUGUUUAACGUCUGCUUUCCAUGCUAGCAUGGGUUGGACAAUUUGACUGAGAUCUGGUGAACUAGAUGGCUGCACCAGACUCCAAUCUGAUCUAGCAGAGUUUCUACAGCUUGAUGCCCUUCUUAACGCCAACCACUCCGAGAGUGUAGUGGGUGCUUUUACGUGCCACUGGCAAUAGGGCCAGUCAAGCGGUACUGGCAAUGGGCAUGCUCAAAUGGUGCUUUUUAUGUGCCACCUGCACAGGAGCCAGUCCAGCAGCACUGGCAAUGACCUCGCUUGAAUGUUUUUUGCAUGUGCCACCAGCACAAGUGCCAGUAAGGUGUUGCAGGUAAUGAUCACGCUCGAAUGGUGCAUUUUACAUGCCACCGGCACGGAGGCCAGUUUGUUGCUCUGGCAACGAUCACACUCAUAUGGUACUGUCUUUAUAAUUUAUAUAUAUAUAUAUAUAUAUAUAUAUAUAUGUUACCUGAGUUAGAGGUUAAAAUAACCCUCUAAGGGAUAGAAGUAUCCAUUACACUACCGAUAUAUUACCUAUGUUUAACCAUGUGCAUACAUACAUACAAACAUAUUAUGCUCAUAAAUUAUAGGCAAAGACAAGGAUAAACAUGAGUUUACCAAGAAUCAAAAUUUAACAAACAGAAAAUGGAGAAAUACUGAUGAACAACAAUUGAUUUCAAUUAUUAUUUAUUUAAUUCAAUAUAAAUAGACUACAUCCCAUCUAACAGCUGUUUCUGCUUCCAAUGUUUUAUGAUAAAUAUUUUUAUCAUAUCAGUGACAAUACUCUACAACAUUGUAAGCAGAAACAGCUGUUAGAUGGGAUGCACUCUAUUUGUAUUGAAUUAAUAAAUAAUAAUUGAUGUAAGUCAAUUGUUGUUCAUCAAUAGUUCUCCAUUUACUGGUUUCUUUAAAUUAUAUAUAUAUAUAUAUAUAAAUAUAUAUAUAUAUAUAUAUGUAUGUAUAUAUAUAUGGCAUUAGGAAGGGCAUCCAUUUGUUGAAACUUUGCCAGAUCAGAUGUGAAGCCUUCUCACUUUCCAACCAUCCAACCCCCAUGCCAGCAUGUAAAACGGAUAUUAAAUGAUGAUGAUGAUGAUGAUGAUAGGUGCAGGCUUGGAUGUGUAGUUGAGAAGUUUGCUUCCCAGCCACAUGAUUUUGGGGUUUGGUCCCACUACUUGACACCUUGGGCAGAUGUUUUUUUUUUAUUAUAGCCCUGAGCUGACCAAGGCUUGACUGGAUUUAGUUGGCAGAAAUUGAAACAAGUCCAUCAUAUAUAUUUGAGCAUGUGUGUGUGUUUAUGAGUGUUUGUGCUUCUGCCUCCUUGUCUUUAAAUCACAUGAUAGUUGUAAAAUGAUUGUCAUUGUCAUACAUGCAAUGUCAUUCAUUUCCAGUUUCCAUGAAAGCAUGUUUGGCCAUGAGGAUAUGGGAAGAUGUUACUUUGCUUGGAAACAGGUAAGGGUUGGUGACAGGAAGGGCUUAUGACUGUAGAAAAUCUGCUUCAAUAAACUUUGAUGAAUCAAUGCAAUCAUGGAAAAGUGGAUGUUUAAAUAAUAUAUAUAUAUAUAUAUAUAUAUAGGAUGAUAUAUAUAGGAUAUAUAUAAGGAUAAUAUUCUUCUUAUGCCCUCUUUAAUAAGAAUAAUAUACUGUACCUAUUGGUAGCUGAUUCUUAUGUGUAUAUAUGUGUGUGUAUGUAUAUAUUUGUGUGUGAGUAUAUAUAUAUAUAUAUAAUCAGCCAUCAGGAAUCACUGCUGAGAUGCUUAAAACAUCUAGUGGUGUGGGCUAUGGCUUAGUCACCUGCAUUGUAAACCAGGUAGUUCAUGAUGGAGUCAUACCCAAUGACUGGUAUAGCAGCACCAUAGUCAACUGCUGAAAGGGUAAAGGUGAUGCUCUACAUAGAAAUAACUACAGGGGUAUCAAACGGCUGGAUCAGGUAAUGAAGGUCACGAAGAGGGUCAUAUCCCAUCUCAUCAGGGAGAGAGUCUGCUUAGAUGAGAUGCAGUUCAGUUUUGUGCCAGGUAGAAGCACCACUGAUGCCAUAUUCCUGGUUCGACAACUGUAGGAGAAAUACCUUGCCAAAGAUAAACCCCUAUACUUAGCUUUUGUGGAAUGGAGAAAGCCUUUGACAGGGUCCCCUGAUCCCUUAUCUGGUGGGCGAUGUGGAAACUGGAGAUUGACAAAUAGUUAAUAAGGGCUGUACAGACUCUUUACAGAGAGGCUGUUAGUAAGGUUAGGAUUGGCAAUGAGUACAGUGAAAAAUUCGGGUAGAAGUUGGCGUCCACCAAGGCUCAGCCCUCAGUCCCCUUCUAUUCAUCAUAGUCCUCCAGGUAAUAACAGAGGAAUUCAAGAUGGGUUGCCCCUGGGAGCUCCUCUAUGCUGAUGACCUACCUAGCCCUUGUAGCAGAAUCACUACCGGAACUAGAGAAGAAAUUUUGUGUGUGGAAGGUAGGUUUAGAAUCAAAAGGCCUUAGAGUCAAUGUACCAAAGACCAAAGUUCUAGUAAGUAGGAAGACAAACUCACCACACACCCCUUCAGGUAGGUGGCCCUGCUCGAUCUGUAGAAAAGGUGUAGGUAGAAACUCCAUAAGAUGUACCCAGUGUAAGCUAUGGACGCAUAAGAGGUGCAUCAACAUCAAAGGAUAAUUAACCAAGAAGAUAGCUUUCGUGUGCGGCAGAUGCACAGGGGCAAUAGACACCACUGCUACUCAGAAAACAGAUUCCAUUACACUCCUGGGGGAGAAACUAGAAGUAGUUGAUAGUUUCUGCUACCUAGGUGACCAAGUUAGCGGGGGUGGAUGCUCAGAGAGUGUUACCACUAGAAUAAGAAUAGCCUGGGCAAAGUUUAGGAAACUUCUUCCCCUACUGGUAACAAAGGGUCUCGCGCUCAGAGUGAAAGGUAGAUUGUAUGACACAUGUGUGCGAACUGCCAUGCUUCAUAGCAGUGAAACAUGGGCUGUGACUGUGGAGGACAUGCGUAGGCUCGAAAGAAAUGAAGCUAGCAUGAUCAGCUGGAUGUGUAAUGUCAGUGUCCAUGCACGACAGAGUGUAAGUGCCCUGAGAGAAAUGUCGGGCAUAAGAAGCAUCUGAUGCAGCAUGCAGGAGAGAUGUUUGCAUUGGUAUGGAUAUGUUCUACAGAUGGAUGCGGAGGGAUUUGUGAAGAAGUGCCACUCCCAAACUGUUGAAGGACUCUGGGGUAGAGGUAGACCCAGGAAGACAUGAGACGAGGUAGUCAAGCAUGACCUUUGUAUGUUGAGUCUCAUAGAGGCUAUGACAAAAGACUGAGACCUCUGGAGAUAUGCUGUGACUUCGAAGACCCGAAAAAUGAAGUGAGUUCAUGUCUUGCAGGAUGUCAAGUUCAUAAACAUCAAAUAAAAAUCGUAUGGAUAUUGUAGUUGUGAUACCUGUGCGGGUGGCACGUAGGGCCUCACAGAGGAAAUGAUGAAGACCGAGACCUCGGAGAUAUGCUGUGACUGUGAAGACCCAACAAAUGAAGUUAGUUUGUGGCUCGCAGGAUGGCCUGCUGUGCUAACCUUGGAUCGUAUAGUGACCCGCUAUUCUCGAGGGGACCUAUUAGGUCAAGUACGUCAACACCAACAUCAGAAUAAAAAUCAAAUGGAAAUUGUAGUUAAGAUACCCGUGCUGGUGACACGUAAAAAGCACCGUCCGAACGUGGCAGAUGCUGGUGCCGCAUGACUGGCGUCCGUGUCAGUAACACGUAAAAGCACCAACCGAUUGGUUACCUGUUGUAGGUAAUGCCACUUGGAUUAACGUGCUCAAAGUGUUAAUAUUGAGUGCUAACUUCUGGUCAUUUUCAAUUUUUUAACCGUUCAGUGUUCAGAUUAUCAAGUGUAAAGCAUUUUUAUUCACAUUGUUUCUAACUAGUUAUCUAUUGUCUUGUAGCGUUGAGAAUUUGAUGAUGUGAUUGUUUAUUUUCCGAAUGACAUAGGGUAGGUGUGAGAGGUAUGCAUUGUCCAGUUUGAAUAUAUAUAUAUAUCUCUCUCUCUACAAAAUUUAACCAUUAGGCUGCCUCAAGCCGUAAUCCCAUCUCUUCCCAUCUUUCCGCCAAUUCAACUUACUUUCUUCUUCAAUUUCAACUCCUGGUCGAUGCCCGCAGCAAGUUCUUAAAAAUUUAUCUUACUCUUUUUAUUUGUUGUUACUACGUUUAUUCAUACACUGUUACGAAAAUUUAACCUUUUUAGACUACUUUCAAGCCUUCGCCAUAACUUGAUUUAUCUUUCCUAUCUCUCUCUCUACAAAAUUUAACCAUUAGGCUGCCUCAAGCCGUAAUCCCAUCUCUUCCCAUCUUUCCGCCAAUUCAACUUACUUUCUUCUUCAAUUUCAACUCCUGGUCGAUGCCCGCAGCAAGUUCUUAAAAAUUUAUCUUACUCUUUUUAUUUGUUGUUACUACGUUUAUUCAUACACUGUUACGAAAAUUUAACCUUUUUAGACUACUUUCAAGCCUUCGCCAUAACUUGAUUUAUCUUUCCUAUCUCUCUCUCUACAAAAUUUAACCAUUAGGCUGCCUCAAGCCGUAAUCCCAUCUCUUCCCAUCUUUCCGCCAAUUCAACUUACUUUCUUCUUCAAUUUCAACUCCUGGUCGAUGCCCGCAGCAAGUUCUUAAAAAUUUAUCUUACUCUUUUUAUUUGUUGUUACUACGUUUAUUCAUACACUGUUACGAAAAUUUAACCUUUUUAGACUACUUUCAAGCCUUCGCCAUAACUUGAUUUAUCUUUCCUAUCUCUCUCUCUACAAAAUUUAACCAUUAGGCUGCCUCAAGCCGUAAUCCCAUCUCUUCCCAUCUUUCCGCCAAUUCAACUUACUUUCUUCUUCAAUUUCAACUCCUGGUCGAUGCCCGCAGCAAGUUCUUAAAAAUUUAUCUUACUCUUUUUAUUUGUUGUUACUACGUUUAUUCAUACACUGUUACGAAAAUUUAACCUUUUUAGACUACUUUCAAGCCUUCGCCAUAACUUGAUUUAUCUUUCCUAUCUCUCUCUCUACAAAAUUUAACCAUUAGGCUGCCUCAAGCCGUAAUCCCAUCUCUUCCCAUCUUUCCGCCAAUUCAACUUACUUUCUUCUUCAAUUUCAACUCCUGGUCGAUGCCCGCAGCAAGUUCUUAAAAAUUUAUCUUACUCUUUUUAUUUGUUGUUACUACGUUUAUUCAUACACUGUUACGAAAAUUUAACCUUUUUAGACUACUUUCAAGCCUUCGCCAUAACUUGAUUUAUCUUUCCUAUCUCUCUCUCUACAAAAUUUAACCAUUAGGCUGCCUCAAGCCGUAAUCCCAUCUCUUCCCAUCUUUCCGCCAAUUCAACUUACUUUCUUCUUCAAUUUCAACUCCUGGUCGAUGCCCGCAGCAAGUUCUUAAAAAUUUAUCUUACUCUUUUUAUUUGUUGUUACUACGUUUAUUCAUACACUGUUACGAAAAUUUAACCUUUUUAGACUACUUUCAAGCCUUCGCCAUAACUUGAUUUAUCUUUCCUAUCUCUCUCUCUACAAAAUUUAACCAUUAGGCUGCCUCAAGCCGUAAUCCCAUCUCUUCCCAUCUUUCCGCCAAUUCAACUUACUUUCUUCUUCAAUUUCAACUCCUGGUCGAUGCCCGCAGCAAGUUCUUAAAAAUUUAUCUUACUCUUUUUAUUUGUUGUUACUACGUUUAUUCAUACACUGUUACGAAAAUUUAACCUUUUUAGACUACUUUCAAGCCUUCGCCAUAACUUGAUUUAUCUUUCCUAUCUCUCUCUCUACAAAAUUUAACCAUUAGGCUGCCUCAAGCCGUAAUCCCAUCUCUUCCCAUCUUUCCGCCAGUGGCGGUGCGCCCGCCCCCCCAACCCCACCACCAAUACCGAUGAACAUUGUUCUCACCCCCACCACCAAUACCGGUGAACACUGUUCUCACCGCCACCACCAAUACCAUUAUACCCAGUUCUCACCAUCUACACCGGAUACGCCUUACUCAUCUACACCGGGUACGCCCUACUCCCUCCUCUCCCCACUACCCCUUCUCCUCAUAUGCUUUCACUGUGAAAAGACAAGCUGCUAGCGCCAUAGCUCAUCAACUGCCCUGCUAGCGCCAUAGCUCAUCAACUGCCCACCGAUCUUACGCUUCCUCCUGACACUGCCUCAUUCCGACCAUCCCCUUUAGUACCCUCCCGCCUCGUAAUAUCCUACGUUUUUAUUUCUUAGGAACCUACACCAACCCUUCCUGCCAUCGUUCCUCCUUACCCCAACCUUCCCACUGGUUGCUCCCCUAUAUUACCCGCCUCAACUGGACCCCCCUCCCCAACUCAACUCUUAGAAUAUCUGUAUUUCUUUCCUCUACCUAAUUACGUUACUCAGUGACGAUAAAUGCUGUGACUACAAAGACCCGGGCUGCUUUCUGCAGCAAUUCCACAUACCCCCUACCCAUUCUAAGUACCCCGGAUCCCCAAAGUACCCUGGAUCCCCAAAGUACCCCGAUCCCCAAAGUACCCCGGACCUCGUUGCCCCCGUGCCGCUGACACGUUAAAAUGCUCGAACCGAUCGUGACGAUGCCGGACCCUCCGGCCCCUGUGCAGGUGGCACGUAAAAAGCACCCAAUCCACUCACGGAGUGGUUGGCGUUAGGAAGGGCAUCCAGCCGUAGAAACUCUGCCAGAUUCAGACUGGAGCCUGGUGCGGCCCCUGGCUUCCCAGACCCGGUCAAACCGUCCAACCCGUGCUAGCGCGGAAAGCGGACGUUAAACGAUGAUGAUGAUAUAGGCGUAGGAGUGGCUGUGUGGUAAGUAGCUUGCUUACGAACCACAUGGUUCUGGGUUCAGUCCCACUGCGUGGCACCUUGGGCAAGUGUCUUCUGCUAUAACCUCGGGCCGACCAAAGCCUUGUGAGUGGAUUUGGUAGACGGAAACUGAAAGAAGCUCGUCGUAUAUAUGUGUAUGUUUGUGUGUUGUGUUUGCCUCCCUCCCCCAACAUCACUUGACAACCGAUGUUGGUGUGUUUACAUCCCCAUAACUUAGCUGUUCGGCAAAAGAGACUGAUAGAAUAAGUACUAGGCUCAGAAAGAAUAAGUCCUGGGGUCGAUUUGCUCGACUAAAGGUGGUGCUCCAGCAUGACCACAGUCAAAUGACUGAAACAAGUAAAUGAAUAAAUGAAAAAAAAAUGAAUGAAUAUGUAGAAUAGUUGAGCCAGACAUAGCUGGUUUAAAUGGUAAAGGGUUACGAACAUAUUAGUAUAUAUAUACGCACACACACACACACACACACACACUCAAACACUAAAGGUAGUGUUGGGCUGAGUCAUUUGAGCUUUGCAUAGAAUUAAUUUCUUGUAUUUGUUCUAUCUGUCUGGACUCUGAUUCCAAAUCCUGCUGAGAUCAUUUUUGCCUUUCAUCUUUUUAUUUGAAAUUGAUUAGUGGAAUUGUUAGUGUAAUUGUUAGUGUCAGAAGCGAUGCCUUUCAGUACCUGUUCAAGCUUUUCACAUUCAUGAUUUAAAUUCAUGUCACUGGCUUUCUUUUGAUUGAAAACAGAGCAUUCAGUCAAAAGGCUUCCAGUAUAAGAGGAUUGGAACAUCAGUUGGAGCAACAUCUCGGUUGUGUCAGUCUGGUGAAUGAAGCCUGCUCAAAGCAAGUCGAUAAAACAGUGGAUCACAGUACUAAGCUUGAGGAACCAACAAGGAAGUGUCCAUGUUUUUGUUUGACCUGCUUAGAUAGCUGUCAAAUCUCCCUCAAAUCACACCUUGUCAUUUAAAAAUUUUUACAUAGGGUGGACACACUGGAUUUACAAAAGUAAGGGAUGUUAUGCCUAGAACACCUUGAUCAACACUAAGUGGUGAAUAAACUACAACAUAGACAAAUAAACUUAUUUGCACUAGUUAAACAAGCUUGUGAAUUUACUACUGACCUGUUCAGUCAAUACUUGUACAUUUAAAUAUAUAUGUAGAGGCUGUUAAUGAUGACAAUAAUUAUGACAAACAUUGUAUUGAAACUAAACCAGCUGUCCGUUAUUAUUUUGGCCAUGACCGUAAUUAUUUUACCAUGACAAUAAUCAAUACUAAUUAUUUCAUGAAAUAACAGCUUUAUUUUCAUGUAAAAUAUAUUCUCUGUAUUCUUUUCUAUUUUUCCAUGUUUUGUUUACGACUGCUUUUGAUUAACAAAAUAAUUUGGUGUCUAUUUAAAAGCAAGUACAGUAUUGAAUUAACAGCUGGUUCAUGUUUCCAACACUGUAUCACCUAAUAACAUCAGGAUGGGAAAAUAACACAGAAUGGUAAAUUUUUGAGGUAGUCCAAAACCCAGCAGUGAUUGCAAGGCUGAGAUACUGAAAGACCCAGGCAUCCACAUGGUACCUUGUUGAGAUGGGGCAUCAGUGAUGUUAUAAACUUCCUUGUCUGAAUAUAUCUAUAGAUAUUAGUCAAUAUUGUAAAUACCUUUAUUUAUGUCAUCAUCAUCAUCGUUUAACGUCCGCUUUCCAUGCUAGCAUGGGUUGGACAAUUUGACUGAGGACUGGCGAACCAGAUGGCUGUGCCAGGCUCCAAUCUGAUCUGGCAGAGUUUCUACAGCUGGAUGCCCUUCCUAAUGCCAACCACUCUGAGAGUGUAGUGGGUGCUUUUACGUGCCACCGGCACGAGGGCCAGUCUGGCGGUACUGGCAAUGGCCAUGCUCGAAAAUGGUGUUUUUCAUGUGCCAACUGCACAGGAGUCAGACUAGCAGCACUGGCAAUGACCUCGCUCAAAUGUUUUGUUCAUGUGCCACUGGUACAAGUGCCAGUGAGGCGACGCUAACAAUGAUCACAUUCAAAUGGUGCUCUUUAUAAGCCAGACAGCUGCUCUGGUAGUGAUCCCGCUUGGAUGGAGCUGUUAGCGCUCCAAGCUGUUAGAAUCUAUAGAUAUAUUUUCGGCUCUAGUUUAGCAUUGAAAUAAAGUAUUGUUAAUAAACUGGUGUUUGGGCAUAAAUUAACAUAAAAUUUUGAUGGAAGGUUUUUUACUUUGAGAAUUUUGAAUGUAAAGUUUGUAUCGUAGAACUUGAUGUGGCCUCAAGAGGAUUGAUAUCAAAAGAUGUAAGACCUUAGAAAUAGUCAACUCACUUUUUAACUUUCUUUUGAGACACUGUCCACAAGGUGGUGUUGAAAAAUUCCUGGCUUUAGGUAAAAGAAAAUACAGGAAGAUCAAUUAAUUAUGAUUUUGUUCAACAUAUUCCCCUCUCACAUUCACACACACAUUGCAGUGGUACCUUCAGUUUUCUAAACCUGGCGUCACAGUGUCAAGCAUGGUGCCAUGACAGCAGAGAACCUGAGGACCACUACUGCCAAACUAAAGAGAACUAGGCAAAAGGAGCAGCAGCAGCAACCACAGCUCUCAUCCCCUUUCACUUACACCAGAUGUGGUAGAGACUGCUACUCGAUGAUUGGUCUGCACAGCCACACCAGGAAGUGCAGAUAAACCCACCACCUUUUCCGAGCUACACCAUCGUCUCUCGAGACGGAAGGAUGCCAAAAAAAUUCACCUUCAGUUUUCUAAGCCCUGUAAAAGAACUCAGAAGGUUGGGCUUUCAACCAGGCUUUUCACGGUACCCUUAAAACCAGGAGCUUUUCAGCUCCCUUUGUAUAAACCUUGUCUCAGUAGACAGCCAAAGAGGCUGCUCACUUGCUGAUGAAAUCCCAACACAGGAUUUAAACUUGUCCAAUUGACCCAUUUUCUUUUUCUGUCCAUGAAGAUAUUGAUUAUUGAAGGUGUUAUAUAUUGAUGUGUAAGGCAUCACUCUAUACAUACAAUAUAUUGAUAUCUCUUAUGGUAUUGUAAUACAUAAAUAAAAAAAAAUACUGUUAAUUUACUUGUAAUUUAUAUAUUGUAAUGACUAUAACAUCAUUCACACAUGCUCACACUCACAUUCAUAUACAUACACACUCAAACACCCAACUACAUACAUAUACAUAUCCAGCAUUGUCAUUAUAUCUAACAAAGGUCAUUUCAAUUUUCCUCUUCUACAUUCAUAUCUUGCAAUACAAUUUGAGAUCUUAGUGUAGUCAAAUCAUUAAAAACUUUUUUAUUUAUAUAUAUAUAUUCACCCUUUUACUUGUUUCAGUCAUUUGACUGCGGCCAUGCUGGAGCACCACCUUUAGUCGAGCAAAUCGACCCCAGGACUUAUUCUUUGUGAGCCCAGUACUUAUUCUAUCGGUCUCUUUUGCCGAACCGCUAAGUGACAGCGACGUAAACACACCAGCAUCGGUUGUCAAGCAAUGCUAGGGGGACAAACACAGACACACAAACAUGCACACAUAUAUACGACGAGAGCUUCUUUCAGUUUCCGUCUACCAAAUCCACUCACAAGGCUUUGGUCGGCCUGAGGCUAUAGUAGAAGACACUUGCCCAACAUGCCACGCAGUGGGACUGAACCCGGAACCAUGUGGUUGGUAAGCAAGCUACUUACCACACAGCCACUCCUGCGCCUAUAUAUAUAUAUAUAUAUAUAUAUAUAUGGAGCUAUUUCUCUUUAUAUUUGGGUGGAUUUGAUCAAUGAUCCAGUAUUUACUUCUAAUACUGAGUAAAGUCUAGAUUGGUUAAAGUAUUGUUAUUCACUACCUAAAAUUUGUUAGCAUCUACUAUAUUCACAUACUGUGACAUAUGUAUACAUAUAUCUGUUGUUUAUUUCCAGAUUUUAACCUAUAAUAUUUAUUGUUUAUUUCCAGAUUCCAACAGGUGCAAAAGUGUGUUUCUAACCUGUAGCAGUGUGAUGUUAACAUCCUUACCCAUAUUUUAAGUGUUCAACUGUUGUAGUUGGAACUAAGAAAAAGGUGAGUCUUGUAA
Molecule: long non-coding RNA, 99533 nt
Filed under: Octopus vulgaris (common octopus)
Lineage: Eukaryota; Metazoa; Mollusca; Cephalopoda; Octopoda; Octopodidae
Source: RNAcentral